UUUUUUUUUUUUUAUGUAUAUACAUACAUUUGAAUUAUAUUUUAUUUUAUUUCAUUUAUUUAUUUGGUAAUGAUUGAUCCGGGUGUCUAUCAGAAAUAACCUCUCUACUUCUUCAGAGGUAGCGGUAUAGAAUGCGUACAUCUUUGAUACAAGAUCUACAAGGAACACACAAACAACACCAACCGUGGACCCUUUUGAUGACCACUCUCAGAUUCCACAAAAUCACAAUGUAUUGUGGUGUUUAACACCUAAAAACAGCCUCAACAAUCUAUGUUAACAUCAUCAAGAUAAAGAACAACACACGGGUUACAAGAGAAACAAUACACCACACGGCUACAAGAUUACAACAAAGGAAAUGAUAGAGAGUGUGACAUACACUACUACAAAGACCAAGAACCUAAGUUUAUUCAAGCACACAGACCCUUGAUAAAGAUAGUAGAAACACCUACACUAAGCGGUGGACACAAGAGAGGACCUCAAUCCGUCUAGCACCCAACGAUCCAAGCAAACAAACAACAAAAGUGAUUCCACACCUAAGUUGUUUCCUAGUUUCAGCUAAGUCUUUAUGGAAGAGAGAACUUGUGUUUUUCAAGUGUGUUAUACAAUCUUCAAUAUAAAAAAAACUAAGUAAAGUAACCCUAAAAUGUUUCUUAUAUAGUGUAUUACAAAUAGAAGGCAGAAAGCCCAAAAUACCCCUUAGAGAUUAGGUGCCCCUCUAGUGUGAAUUAGUGGCUGUUUUGAUAUGUUUUAAGCCCUUAAUUCCACUUCUCUUGCACACACAUGGAAGAAUUCAAUACACAUCCUCAUAAGUUCAUCUAUGUGAUCGCACUUGUAUCAAUCUUACCCUCCCCGGAUCCCAAUCUUGUGGGAAUACACUGGGGAUGUUAUUGUUGUUGUUGAUGAUAAUAAUAGUGUCUGGACUAAUUUGCAAGCAUCUCGACUAAUUUCACAUGAUACCUUCCAUUUUCCCACCAAUGUAGAUAUCAGGUAAAUCCGUCCACCAAGACCAGAAUAAAUAUGAAGAAAUUACCUAUUAUUUGUCUUGGUCGAAAAUUAAAUGCAGAAGGGAACCCAUAAUCAAGUUGGUUGUUUGGCUCAGAUGGUCCUUUUCCAUUCAUUUUCACUAACAUAAAUAUCAACCCUUUUAGAAGUAAUUACACUCUCCAACUUUUUAAAUUACUUUACUCUCUCUCCCACUUUUUUAAUUACUUUACUCUCUCUCCCUAUUAAUAUACAUAACAUAGCCGACAUAUACACAACAUUCUGUGUAUAUGUUGAGUUUUUUGUAAUAUAUUUAGGGAGUUGGGAUUUUUGUAAUAUUGAAAACAUAAGUUGUGUAUUUGUGUAAUUUUUAGUGUUUUUUUUUUUAAGUAAAAUCCUUUUCUCAAUUUCUUAUUAAUUUUUUUCCUUUUUUGGUUCUAAAAACAAACUUUUCUUUUUUGUUUUUAACAUGUACUUAUCUUUUGUGUUUGUUAUACUGUUAUCGAUCCUAAGUUGGGGAUCUAUCAGAAACAGCAUCUCUACCUUACCUGAGGUAGUGGUAUGGUCUACGUACACUCUACCUUCUCUAGACCCCACGAUGUGGAAAUACACUAGUAAAAACCUUUUCCCUUUUCACUUCUACAAUGCAAAAUCUCACCUUUUUUUUCUUAGGUUAAAACUUGGAUUGGUUCUUCUACCAACUUCUAGCGAUAAGUUAGUUGUUCGAUUUUGUUGCAUAUUAAUUUAUUUUAUUAAAAAUCCACAAUUUUAAAUUAUAAGAAUUGAAUGAUAAAAAAAUGAUCAAUAAAGAAUUAAUUUGUAAUGUUGUUGAUAAAGACAAAUGUCAAAAAAAGAAAUAACUGAUAUAUAAUUAUAAUUAGGACGAGAAAGUGUGACAAAAAUAAUAAAAUAUAGUUAAAACUUUUAUCUCCCUAAUAUAUAAAUUUUAUAUUGGAUGAUGAAACGUAUUAUAAGGUUACAUAUUUAUUUUUCAUACAAAAACUAGAAAAAACAACAUUAUUUAAUUUGUUCGAAGAAUAAUCAAGAAAUGAAGGACAUUAUUUAAUUUAUUCGAAGAAUAAUCAAGAAAUAACCUUCACCAGUAACUUAUAAGAGUAGGUAGUUUAAUAUUAUUCCCAAAAUAUGAAAGGUUACAUAUAUUUAUUUUUCUCUCACAAACUUAGAAAUACAGCGAGCUAUUAGCCAGUGGUAGACCCAGGAUUUAAGGAUUGUAGGUGAUUAAAAAAUUAAAAAUUUGAAAAAAAAUAAAAAAAAUCACCUCAACAAGGUUCGAACAUGGGAUGUUCCUUUAGUGGAGAAGCUUAAGAUCAACUUAAAUGUCAGUGCACCAAACCAACUUUUGUUUUAGUGGGUGCAUUUCUAUGUUUUAUACUUAAUUUUGUAUAUUUUUUUAUGUAAUUAUACCUAUUUUACGUCGAGUUUACUGAGUGUCGGAGCACCCCAAAAUUAUAUGUAGGUCCAUCUCUGCUAUUAACUCAGUGAUAAAGCACCACAAAUGAAUAUUCCAAUGUGUUCACUAACAUCUGAUCCAGAUCAUCCUAGAGGACCAAGACACAUUAACAUGACGUACUCUCCUUGCUCAAGAUUGUUUAGUUUGUUCAAAUAAUAUAUAGUAACAAAAUAACCUUCACCAAUAACGUAUAUUAAUAGAAGUAGUUUACCACAUGGAACAUGAAAUAUAACAUUAUUUAACUUGUUCAAAAUAAAAUGACGAAAAUAACCUUCAUCAGUAACCUACUAGGUUAAAUAUUUAUUUUUCUAAUAAAAACAUGCAUGGAGCCACAAUAUUAUUUGACUUGAUAAAAGGAUAGUUAUGAAACAUCCUUCACUAGUAACCUAUUAGAGUAAAUUGGUAGAUUUUUAAUACAUAAAAAACUUAUAAGGUUACAUAUUUAUGUUUUUUUACACAAAUAUGAAAACACAAUAUUAUUUGAUUUGCUCGAAGGCUAGUUUCAAAAUAACCUUCAUCAGUAACAAUAGCUGAUGAACUUCACCACAUAGAACAAUCACAAUAUCCAUCGUCACUAGUAUAAGUGAAAGCACAAGUUUUACAUAAAAUUCCAUCACUGCAAUCACUAUGUGAAUUGCAACUUCGACAACAAGUCAUUUCGAUAGCAAUUGAAAGAAGUGAUUUUACUUUUAUCUCUACAGCAUCAAUUGGUAAGUCUCUCAAAGCCAUCACUUUAGAACUCCCAAGAGAGAUUAACUGCACAUAAAUUAAUUGUAAUAAUAAUUAGAAUAGUUAAUAUACACAAAUGUGUGGUUUUUUAUGUCAAACAAUACUUGUCUACUAUUAUAAAAACAGAUGUCCAAAAAUACUUAUUCAGUUUAAAAAUUAAUAGAUAAUUAUAUAGUAAGAUUAUUUCUAUUAUUUAUUGUUUCUUAACAUGUGUGUCAAGUCAAUAAUGGACAAAUAUUAUUAGACAACAAAAUAUUACAAAGAUAAAAAGAGUGGUAAAAGUAAGUUUAAAAUCUGCAAUUGUCUACUAUUAUAAAAAUAAAUGUCCAACAAUAUUUAUUCAGUUUAACAAUCAAUGAAUAAUUAUAUACUAAGAUUAUUUUUAUUAUUUAUUAUUUCUUAACACAUAUGUCAAGUCAAUAAUAGACAAAUAUUAUAAGAUAAAUUAAAAAAUAGAAAAAUGAUAAGAGUAAAUUUAGAACCCGAAAUUGCAACAAAGAGGACAAUGAAGAGAAAAACUUGCUUAAAGGAAGCCAUUUUAUUUGAUUUUGUUUUAAUAUGAAACAAGUGAUGUUUCAUUUAAUUCGUGGAAGUAGGUAUUUAUAGUAUAGACCAGCUUUGUUAUAAGGGCAUUUUAAUCAUUUUAGGUGCCAAACAUCUGUAUUCACUUAUCUCUGUUGUCAUUUGUUUUUUAAGAGUAUACCGUUAGAUAUUUUAAAAAAGAUAUUUUAUUUAUAUUUUGCUUGUAUUUUAUGUGAGAGACUGAUUAUGGAUAUAUAACGACUUACAUUGUUAUUGUGCUAAAAAGUUAUUUUGAAAAAAUACUUCGAUCAAGAAAAUCUUUGUAUCGGACCAUUUAGGAAUUAUUUUCGUGAGAAAAAGACAUGAAUCAAAUUAAUUUGGGUCGAAUCAGCAAAAUUGGUUCAGUCCAUAUGAUGAAAAACUCUUCAUUCUCUAUAUAAACAGAACUCGUUCACGAGAUAGGUUAUGAUUAAAUUAUAGUAGACUCGGGCUAGACCCAUGUAUUAUGAUACAAGACUUCAUGCUUAGAUCUACGGGCGUGGAGUUUGGACUUUGGAUGAUUUUAAUAACAAACUGAACUUAGGAUAGUGAAUCGAUGAAUUUAUCGAUGAAUAUUGAGUUAUCGAACUGUGCUAGCUCUUUAGUCACUGGGAGGUUACGAUGUUCGUACCGAGUAGGGGCAGGUCGGUGAUGUCGCGCAAAACUACACCUCCAAGAUCUAGUUUCCUGCAAAACAAAUACAAAAACACAUCAAAUCUAACAAAACGAACCUAAGCACUUGCAUAUUAAUUUUUUGGGUUUAAGCAUCAAAAGUGCCAUGAAAUCAUGACACAUCAGUGGGUAGAUGGGGGUUGUACGAGUUCAUUGAAAAGGGUAGAUUAAGGGAUGGAUUUAAUGGGUGAACUUAUUGAGUAGACGUGGAAUUGCCUUGCUUGUGUUUCGAGUCAACAAUAGAGGGUAAGUAAGUAGAUUCGGGUUGAUAAAGGAGGAAAAGAAGUAGGAGGGCUAUGGCGUUCGUAAGUAGAUGGGGGAGUCGAGAUUAGUAUAGAUAGCAAUCGAUUGAUAACGAUCCAUGAUGUUGGGGUAUGUAUGAGUAGUUAAAUUUAGUAUGGACAUGAUUUGACUUUGUACUUAUAUGUAAGCUAUACGUUUGUGAUCAGCCUUCAGGCAUGACUUGUGAUUAUUGAUUAUCAUUAUGUCAUUGAAUUUCAGUUUAUACCUCGAGAUAAUAUAGGGAUCAUGUUAUUGGAUCUAGUGUCAUGCUGAUACUAUCAUUAGAUCAGGUGUCACAUCGAUAAUGAUACAUGGACUGAGCACGUCCCCUGUAGAUCAUAGCUCAGAGUCCUUGCUAGUCCUAGUAUAUGUGUACACUUUGCAUCCAUGUAAUCAUGUUUAACUUGCUCAAAAGAUAGUAACAAAAUAGCUUUCAUCAAUAACUUAUUAAAGCAAAUAAUUUCUCAAUAUAUGAAACUUAUAAGGUUACAUAUUUAUUUGUGAGUUUGGAAUCAAAAUGAGCUAAGGAUAUAUGAAACCCUCUUUCUUCCUCUAAAAUUUUUUAAUCAAACACAUAAAUAUCACUACAUUUUCAAUAUAAAAACAAAUAUCUAUUGAACGGAAAAAAGUCCAAAGUAUAAGAGUAAGAUAAAAGCUUUGAUCAUUCAAACUUUUAUUCACUUUUAUUUAUUCUAUGUAUAACUAGUAAAGUAAUUUGUACUUUGUGUGGUUAUAUAUAACAACAUUAAUAUGUAAGUACUUUGCAAAUAAAGUACUUUAUGAAUUUACUUGAGAUAAAAUAAAUUAAUUUAUUUUAUGUAUAUCCAUAUAUUUGAAUUAUAUUAUUUUAUUUUAUUUAUUUAUUUGAUAAUGAUAGUGUCUGGAUUAGUUUACAUGUAUUUCGACUAAUUUCACGUAAUAUUUGUCAUUUUCCCACUAGUGUAGAUAUCAGAUAAAUUCGUUCAUCCAGACCAGAACAAAUAUGAAGAAAUCACCUAUUAUUUAUCUCGAUCGAAAAUUUAACUUAUGAGAGCUCAUGAUGCUCAAUCCAAUUUUUAUUCACUCACUAGGCUACACAUAUAAAGAAAGAUACAUGAUAAAUUUAAAGUAUAUUUAUGUGUGACUUGCAUGGAUCUCAUAGUGUAUUUUGCUAUAUAUAUUCGGGGCGGAUCUACGGUAGCAGAAAACCUUUUCUCUUUUUAGUUCUACAAUGCAAAGUCUCACAUUUUUUUUCUUAGGGUUAAAACUUGCAUUGGUUCUUCUACCAACUUCUAGCGAUCAGCUAGAUCUUUGAUUUUAUUGUAUAUUAAUUCAUUUUAUUGAAAAUCCACAAGUUUAAAUUAUAAGAGUUGAAUGAUAAAAAAUGAUCAAUAAAGAAUUAAUUUGUAACGUUGUUGAUAAAGACAUAUGUCGAAAAAAAGAAAUAAUUGAUAUAUAAUUAUAAUUAGGAUGAGAAAGUGUGACAAAAAUAAUAAAUAUCUCACUAAUCACUAAAUUUUAUAUUGGAUGAACACACGUCAAGAUAUGAAAACUUAUAAGGUUACAUAUUUAUUUUUCAUACAAAAACUUGAAAAGAAAAGAUUAUUUAAUUUUUUCGAAGAAUAAUCAAGAAAUAAUCUUUACCAGUAACUUAUUAGAGUAUGUAGUUUAAUUCCCAAUAUAUGAAAGGUUAUUUAUAUUUAUUUUCUCUCGCAAAAUUUGAAAAUACGGCGGGCUAUUAGCUCAAUGCUAAAGGAUCAAAACACAUUAACAUGACGUACUCUUCUUGUUCAAGAUUGUUUAAUUUGCUCGAAUAAUAUAUAGUCACGAAAUAACCUUCAUCAAUAACUUAUUAAUAUAAGUAGUUUACCACAUGAAACGUAACAUUAUUUAACUUGCUAAAAAUAAGAAAGAACCUUCGUCAGUAACCUACUAGGUUACAUAAUUAUUUUCCAAUAAAAAACAUGCAUGGAAACACAAAAUUAUUUGACUUGCUAAAAGGAUAAUUAUGAAAUAACCUUCAUCGAUAACCUAUUAUUAGAGUAGAUACAUAAUUUUUCAAUACAUAGAAAACUUAUGAGAUUACAUAUUUGUUUUUCUUACAUAAACAUGAAAAGUACAACAUUAUUUGACUUGCUCGAAGGACAGUUCCAUAAUAACCUUCACCAGUAACUUAUUAUUAAAGUAGAUGCAUAAUUUUCUAAUACAUAAAAAACUUAUAAAGUUACAUAGUUAUUUUUCUUACAUAAAUAUGAAAAACAUAAUAUUAUUUGACUUGCUCGAAGAACUGUUUCAAAAUAACCUUCACCAGUAAGGUUACAUUCCGAAUGUCUAGUACUUCCAUCGUCACUAGUAUAUCUCGAAGCACAAGUUCUACACGCCCAACCAUCACUGCAAUCAUCAUGUGNNNNNNNNNNNNNNNNNNNNNNNNNNNNNNNNNNNNNNNNNNNNNNNNNNNNNNNNNNNNNNNNNNNNNNNNNNNNNNNNNNNNNNNNNNNNNNNNNNNNNNNNNNNNNNNNNNNNNNNNNNNNNNNNNNNNNNNNNNNNNNNNNNNNNNNNNNNNNNNNNNNNNNNNNNNNNNNNNNNNNNNNNNNNNNNNNNNNNNNNNNNNNNNNNNNNNNNNNNNNNNNNNNNNNNNNNNNNNNNNNNNNNNNNNNNNNNNNNNNNNNNNNNNNNNNNNNNNNNNNNNNNNNNNNNNNNNNNNNNNNNNNNNNNNNNNNNNNNNNNNNNNNNNNNNNNNNNNNNNNNNNNNNNNNNNNNNNNNNNNNNNNNNNNNNNNNNNNNNNNNNNNNNNNNNNNNNNNNNNNNNNNNNNNNNNNNNNNNNNNNNNNNNNNNNNNNNNNNNNNNNNNNNNNNNNNNNNNNNNNNNNNNNNNNNNNNNNNNNNNNNNNNNNNNNNNNNNNNNNNNNNNNNNNNNNNNNNNNNNNNNNNNNNNNNNNNNNNNNNNNNNNNNNNNNNNNNNNNNNNNNNNNNNNNNNNNNNNNNNNNNNNNNNNNNNNNNNNNNNNNNNNNNNNNNNNNNNNNNNNNNNNNNNNNNNNNNNNNNNNNNNNNNNNNNNNNNNNNNNNNNNNNNNNNNNNNNNNNNNNNNNNNNNNNNNNNNNNNNNNNNNNNNNNNNNNNNNNNNNNNNNNNNNNNNNNNNNNNNNNNNNNNNNNNNNNNNNNNNNNNNNNNNNNNNNNNNNNNNNNNNNNNNNNNNNNNNNNNNNNNNNNNNNNNNNNNNNNNNNNNNNNNNNNNNNNNNNNNNNNNNNNNNNNNNNNNNNNNNNNNNNNNNNNNNNNNNNNNNNNNNNNNNNNNNNNNNNNNNNNNNNNNNNNNNNNNNNNNNNNNNNNNNNNNNNNNNNNNNNNNNNNNNNNNNNNNNNNNNNNNNNNNNNNNNNNNNNNNNNNNNNNNNNNNNNNNNNNNNNNCAGCUCUUCCCGAUAACUUGAGGUGUAAGUUCUCUCAUCAACACUAUUCUAACAAGGUAAAUCAUAAAAGGAAUUCGAAAAACCACUAUGUGUCGGCAUUUUAGAAGAUGAUGGAUCCUCGGGAGGAUGAGGAGCGACAGUUGGAGUGAUAUUUGUAGGUACAACUAAGUCAUAUAAAUAAGCAUAGUGAUUAUAUAAUUUUUCUAUGUAUUCAUUCGCAUCACUCAUAGCCGUCCACAAAUCAGGUUCUACUUGUUCAGAUUCAGAAUCAUUGUUAGUAUUUAUUUCUAAGUUAGCAUAAAUAAUAGUACUAAAGUGGUACAUAGUAUUAUAUUUCAUGCACGGAUUUAACAUAGCACCAACCAAGUAAAUAGGGGAAAUCGGAGAAAAAUAAUUUUUAAAUUUAGUAAACAUGACACCAACAGCUUCUUUAUAACCAUCUUUAUUUUUAUAUUCUUUAAGCAAACCAGAAAUAUCGGCUAUAUAUCCCAAAAUACUACAAACAGUAGGAUAAUACACACCGAAAAAUUCAACCGUAGCUACAUAAUGUUUUUCUAAAAACUUAACAAGAUCAUUAAUUACAAACUCAAUCAGAAUCAUGUAGCAUGCAAUCAGCAGAAUCAGUAAAUGAAUCGCAAUGUUGGUUAAAAGCUAGUGUAAUAGGAAUUCUAUAUUUUAUAACAAGUUUUUAAAAGAUCAUACAUAGAAUUCCAUCUAAUAUCAAUUUCCUCAGGCAUCAAUAUCGAUGCAAGUCCCUUUUCUUGACAUUUAAUUUUAAAUUCUCUAAUUCUUUUUCUCCGAUUAUUUCCUUGAAUAAAACCAACAGCAAGACGGAUUUUUUCAAUAUAAAACUCAAAAAAUUCAAGACCAUCUUUUACAAUUAAAUUAUAUAUAUGACAUGCACACUUAAUAUGAAAAAUUUCAGGCAACNNNNNNNNNNNNNNNNNNNNNNNNNNNNNNNNNNNNNNNNNNNNNNNNNNNNNNNNNNNNNNNNNNNNNNNNNNNNNNNNNNNNNNNNNNNNNNNNNNNNNNNNNNNNNNNNNNNNNNNNNNNNNNNNNNNNNNNNNNNNNNNNNNNNNNNNNNNNNNNNNNNNNNNNNNNNNNNNNNNNNNNNNNNNNNNNNNNNNNNNNNNNNNNNNNNNNNNNNNNNNNNNNNNNNNNNNNNNNNNNNNNNNNNNNNNNNNNNNNNNNNNNNNNNNNNNNNNNNNNNNNNNNNNNNNNNNNNNNNNNNNNNNNNNNNNNNNNNNNNNNNNNNNNNNNNNNNNNNNNNNNNNNNNNNNNNNNNNNNNNNNNNNNNNNNNNNNNNNNNNNNNNNNNNNNNNNNNNNNNNNNNNNNNNNNNNNNNNNNNNNNNNNNNNNNNNNNNNNNNNNNNNNNNNNNNNNNNNNNNNNNNNNNNNNNNNNNNNNNNNNNNNNNNNNNNNNNNNNNNNNNNNNNNNNNNNNNNNNNNNNNNNNNNNNNNNNNNNNNNNNNNNNNNNNNNNNNNNNNNNNNNNNNNNNNNNNNNNNNNNNNNNNNNNNNNNNNNNNNNNNNNNNNNNNNNNNNNNNNNNNNNNNNNNNNNNNNNNNNNNNNNNNNNNNNNNNNNNNNNNNNNNNNNNNNNNNNNNNNNNNNNNNNNNNNNNNNNNNNNNNNNNNNNNNNNNNNNNNNNNNNNNNNNNNNNNNNNNNNNNNNNNNNNNNNNNNNNNNNNNNNNNNNNNNNNNNNNNNNNNNNNNNNNNNNNNNNNNNNNNNNNNNNNNNNNNNNNNNNNNNNNNNNNNNCGAAGGCACACGGGUAUAUCUACUACUUGAACUACCUCUACCGCUAGUAAUUCGCUUUUUACUACCACUACCGCUUCCGGGACAAAAAAUUUUAACACCUUUAGUAGCAAGGUUUCUUAAUUUAUCCAUAAUAUAAAUUAAAUUAAACUAAAAGUAUUCAAAAUACACAAAUAUAAUAAAAUUAAAUAUUAAACAAUUAAUAAAAUAAAUAAAAAUUAAACGUAAGAGAUGGAACGACAACACCAAAUUUUGGAAUUAUCCGAAGGUUACGAAUUUAGAAACUUCCACUCGUACUUUGUAAACUCAAAAUUAAAAAAUUAAAGUGAGCACUUUAGGAAAUUAAAUAUAUUGAAUAUUUGAGAAUUGCGAAUUGAGAGAGAAUGAGAUUUGACAAAGUGAAAAAUUGUGUGAAAAAUGAUUUGAAGCUGUAGGGUAUUUAUAGAAUUUUUUUUGGGAUUAAAAAAUUAUUUUAAAAUUAAAAGAUAUUUUUUUAAUUAAUGGGCUCAAACUAGCCAUUUGGACCAAAAAAUGGCUAUAUAACUGUUGGGCCAACGACUAGUUUGGCCCAAAAUCCAAAAUUUUCAAAAAAAAGUAAAUAUUAUUCCAGGCCGGGUUAACCAGGCCCAAAUUAAAAGAAAAUGGUCCGGGACCCGGUACCCUAAAGCCCUUGGGCUUACCAGGCCGGGUCAAACCGGGCCAGUUUGUUUAGGCGGGCCAGGUAGGGUCGCGUCAGCCCGGCCCACUUGACACCCUUAAUUACAACACUACUCAAUUCGAAAUAAAAAUUGAUACAAAAUCAUAUACAUUGAAAGAAAAACAUUUAUACGCUCUUGAUUUUUAAGGCAAUAAUAAUAGAAAAAGGGGGGGAGGGGGUGUCAAUGCCCUAUAUUUACCUGAGGUCAAAACGAGCACGUGACAUUAUGGACUCUAAGAGAAUUGAAAUUUGUACAGAGUCGCCACCUAAUUUUUAAAGGAAAAUAAGGAAACCUAUUUAUUUGUUAAUACGUAUGAUUAAUGCUUUAGUCUUUGAAAACCUAUUGAGACUCUAGGUAAGGGUUCAAAUUAUCCCGAAGGGAAGGGGUUAGGCACCCUUCAGGAUCCACAAAUGUGGUACCCGGCUAGACUAAACUUAUCAACGAGGGAGGAGGUAUAAAUAUUUAAAAUAAUGUAAAAGUGUAUCUGUAUUAAGUAUAAAAUAAUUCUUUCGAAAAAUAUAAAUGUUUAAAACCAUGAAAAAGUAUAUGUAUAUUAACUAUAUAUAAAACAUGUAAAAGAUAUGUAUAAAAUGUAUAAAUUACAUGUGAAAAAGAAAAGUAUUUUAUGACGUAUGAAAAGAAAUGUAUUUUAAUGUGUCUUGAAAAGAAAAGGUAUUUACAAGUAAUAUUUUUACUUGAUUUAAUUAUGAAAACGUAAAAUUUAUUUGAGAAGAAAAGACUACACAAUAUGUGAAUUACUUGAUUAACUUGAUUCUUGUAUGUAAAUAUUAACGACCUAAGUUUUGCCUAAAAGUGAUGAAAUUAUGUAAAUAAAGAAUAUCUCCACCUGGCACCCAAAAAGGUAAAGUUUUCACUAUAUUCGAUAUGUACAAUUACAAGAAAUAAUAUAAAUAAAAGAUUCUUCUUCUGAAUGUCAUUUUCCGACAAACAAUCUCGAAAAACCUAUACAAACACGUUAGUAACAAAGUAAAAUAAACUAGAAACUAUGUGUGCAUAUAUACAUAAAAAUAGAAAUGUUUUAUCAAAGUGUGGGCUCGGAUUAGAUUUUAGAUACGCCAUGGCUACGAAGUGGUUGCUCGAUUAAUCGGCCAUCCUAAAUCGCCUUACCAAGAUACAAAUCAUAAAACUCUUUGUGUUGCCGUGAAAUUGUAAAGUUUUAUCAUCGCCCGAAUUUAUUUAUUUUUAUUACGUAUUUGUAUAUGUAAUAUCCAUCUUUUAUUUAUGGAGGCCUCGAAAAUUGACGAAAAUUUCUUCAUUGGCUAUGUGUCUAUUUUUGAUAUAAAUAAAUAACUUGGAAAAUAAAGAUCCGUCUUUUGUAUUGGGGUGGCCUCAAGUAUCCGACGGAGAGAUAAUGUCAUUGGCUGAGGUAUUUAUUUUGAGUAUAUGUAUGUGUUUUUUAGAAAAAGAAAAAGAUGAUCAAAUUUUGUGAAUGAAAAAAAUAUAUGUGUGGUGAAGAAUACGUGUGUGUAGAGAAGAAGUGUAUGUUUGAGAGAGAAGAAAAAUAUGUGGGGAUGAUAAAUGUGUAUAUGUAUUUGUGAAUGUGUAUUUUAUUUGUGUAUUUGUAUGUGAGAAGACAAAAAAUGUGUGUAUCGUAUUUUUGAAAAAAAAAAGAAUAAACUAUAUAAAAAGAAUAUUGAUUUGUUUAUAUUUUGAGAGAGGGGAGAAAGAAGAAUGAAAUGUAUAUAUGGUGACAAACGUAUGUGUGAGAGAAAGGAAAAAGAUGACUAAAGUUUUGUAUUUGAGGGAGAGGAGAAAGAGGUGAAAAAUAUGUGUGAAUUUUUUUGAGAGAGAGGAAGAAUAAAAAUAUGUGUGUGGAAAUGUCUUCCCAUCACUCUUAUUUAUAAUGAUAUUGGGCACCUCUUAUUUUCCAAUGGAUAAAGAGAUGUCCCCUCUUUAUAUAAUAGCACAUCCUUUGGUCCUUAGAGUAUUGACCAAAGGAUUUCAUAUUUUUGACCAAUGGAUAAAAUUAUUAUCCAAAAAAUAGUGUCAUUGAGUGGUCAUUGUCAGAUGUGACAAGACAUUAUGUGUAGUCAUUGUCGGAUGUGACAAGAUUUCAUUGUGUAGUCAUUGUCGGAUGUGACAAGACAUUAUUGUGUGGUCAUUGUCGGAUAUGACAAGACAUCAUUGUGUAGUCAUUGUCAGAUGUGACAAGGCAUUAUUGUGUGGUCGUUGUUGGAUACGACAAGACAUCAAAUUAUUAUAAUAUAUAAAAUUAAUUGAUCCGACUUAGCGUUUGCGGAUUAUAGGAAUAUAUAAAAAUUGAUAUGUAAUUAAAAAAUGCAAAGAAAAUUGGAAAAUGUAAAUAACUUGAAAAUAUUAUAAAAAGAAAUGUAAUGUCAUGUUGUGUACGUGUGUAGAUGAUUGUGAAAAAAUAUUAAAGACGAUAAUGAAAAAAUUCUAACAUACAAAGAAUUAUCAAUAAAUUAUGAAAAGCAAAACAUGAUAAUAAAUUGAUAAAAUUCUAAAGUGAGGAUGAUUAUCAGUAAUUUAUCAAAAAUAUAAAAAAAAUGUGUGAAAAAUAUGUUUUGCACUCUUUAACGAUCAGGAAGCCUGAAGACGUUAAUUUUAAGCAUGGAGGGCGAAAAUUGGGUGUCAACAGUUGCCCCUUUUCGUUUGAGGAUGAUGUAGAAGUCUUCAAACGAAAAUGUUGACAUGUAGCCAAUUUUUCUCGAUAAAAAAUAAUUUUUUUUGUUAUAGAAAUAUUCGACCAAACUCUAAUUUAGAGUUGCCUACAUACCUCAAGUUACAUGAGGAUCAGGUCAGGUGUAGUUCAAAAGAUUGGGCAAAUCGCCAUGUUAUUAAGAGUGAGAGACCGUGUGAAGUAAUUAAUGAAAUAUGGACUAUUUAGGAACAGAAGUGUUCAUCUAUUCUCGAUGUUCCUUUCAAAAUUUCUCCAGUAUCGAGCUGUGAGAUGCUAGGGAUGCAAGAUUAUGUACUUGCUGGGAAGAAAGAAUAAUUGUGAGAUUGUGAUGACCGAACUCUGCAUAGAGCUUCCUACAUAUCUCGAGUGUCACGAGAAUCAGGUCAAUGUAGUUCGAAAUGAGACAAUAGCAAAUUUUGGGGUGAUUCUCAAAAUUUGCCCCAAUGUAUGAUGUGUGGAUUUGAAAAAAAAUUGCCCUUUUGUUUUGAAUUAUAUUUUUAGUUAAAGAGACGCAUGAUGUCUCUGAUUGUCUACCAGGACCUGAGGAUGAAUGACGUCUUUGAUUGCUUAUGGAAACUUGGGGAUAAAUGGCGUCUCUGAUUGUUUACGGGGACCUGAGGAUGAAUGAAAGAUGUCUUUGAUUGCCUAUGAAGACUGAUGUAUGUCAUCUCCAAUUGUCUUACAGAGACUGAUGUUGAAUGUUAUCUUCGAUUUUCUACAGAGAUUGAUGUGAUGAAUGAUGAUGUCUUCGACUGUAUAUGAAGACUGAUGUUAAUUGCCUUCUUCAAUUGUCUAUGAAGACUGACGGAUGGCAUGUCCAAUUAUUUAUGGAGACUGAUAUUGAUGAUUGUCUCUGGUUGCCUACAGAGACUAAUGUGAUGAAUGGUGUCUUUGAUUGUCUACGAAGACUUGAUGACAUCUCCAAUUGUCUAUUUAGAUGGAUGUUGAAUGAUGAUGUCUUCGAUUGUCUACGAAGACUUGAUGUAUAAUACCUCUAAUUGUCUAUAGAGGCUGAUGUUGAUUGUUGUCUCCGAUUGUCUAUGGAGACUGAUCUGAUGCCUUCGAUUGUUUACAAAGACAGAUGCAUGACCCUUCAAAUGUCUAUGAAGGCUGGUGUAGAUUAUUGUCUCUGAUUAUCUAUGUAAACUGAUGUGACGCCUUCGAUUGUUUACGAAGACAGAUGCAUGACCCUCCAAUUGUCUAUGAAGGCUAGUGUGGAUUAUCGUCUUCGAUUGUCUACGGAGAUUGAUAUGAUGCCUUCGAUUGUUUAUGAAGACAGAUGCAUGACCCUCCAAUUGUCUAUGGAGGCUAAUGCGAUGAAUGAUGUCCUUGAUUGUCUACGAAGACUUGAUGACAUCUCCAAUUGUCUAUGUAGAUGGAUGUUGAAUGAUGAUGUCUUCGAUUAUCUACGAAGACUUGAUACAUGAUACCUCUAAUUGUCUAUAGAGGAUGAUGUUGGUUGUUCUCUCCGAUUAUCUACGGAGACUGAUGUGACGCCUUUAAUUAUUUACGAAGACAGAUGCAUGACCCUUCAAUUGUCUAUGAAGGCUUGUGUGAAUUAUUGUGUUCGAUUGUCUAUAGAGACAUGUGAUGGUCGUCCUUAAUUUUUUAUGAAGACUAAGGUCAUCAACCGAUGAGGUAAUGGCCUCUCGAUUGGUGGAACAGCUGGAAGGUAAUAGCCUCUCGAAUGGUGGGGCUAUGAGAAUGUAAAAAGCCUCUCGACUGGCGGGAUUGUUGAAAGGUGAUAGCCACUCGACUGGCGGGGCUAUGGAAAUGUAAAAACCUCUAUACUGGCGGGGCUUUGAAAGGUAAUAGCCACUCGACUGGCGGGGCUAUGAGAAUGUAAAAGCCUCUCGAUUGGCGGAUCUUUGAAAAGUAAUAGCCUCUUGAUUGGCGGGGCUAUGAGAAUGUAAAAAGCCUCUCAAUUGGCAGUGCUUUGAAAGGUAAUAGCCUGUCGACUGGCGGGGCUAUAAAAAUGUAAAAGCCUCUCGACUGGCAGGGCUUUGAAAGGUAAUAGCCUCUCGACUGGCCGAGCAAUGAAAAUAUAAAAGCCUCUCGAUUGGUGGGGAUUUAAAAGGUAAUAGCCUUUUGACUAGUGGGGCUAUGAGAAUGUAAAACGAUUCUUAACUGGCAGGGUUUGAAAGGUAAUAGCAUCUCGACAGGCGGGACUAUGAAAAUGUAAAAGUCUCUUGACUGGCGGGGCUUUGAAAGGUAAUAGCUUCUCGACUGGCGGGGCUGUGAAAAUGUAAAAGCCUUUCGACUGGCGGGACUUUAAAAGGUAAUAGCCUCUCAACUGGCGGGGCUAUGAAAAUGUAAAAGCCUCUCGACUGGCGGGGCUUUGAAAGGUAAUUGCCUCUCAAUUAGUGGGGCUAUGAAAAUUUAAAAGCCUCUCGACUGGCAGGGCUUUGAAAGGUAAUAGCCUCUCGACUGGCGGGGCUAUGAAAACGUAAAAGCCUCUCGGCUGGCAGGGCUUUAAAAGGUAAUAGCCUCUCGAUUGGCGGGGCUUUAAAAGGUAAUAGCCUCUCGACUGGCGGGGAUAUGAAAAUGUAAAAGCCUCUCGAUUGGCGGGGCUUUGAAAGGUAAUAGCCUCUCGACUGGGGGGGCUAUGAAAAUGUAAAAGCCUCUCGACUGGCGGGGCUUUGAAAGGUAAUAGCCUCUCGACUGGGGGGGCUAUGAAAAUGUAAAAGCCUCUCGACUGGCGGGGCUUUGAAAGGUAAUAGCCUCUCGACUGGCGGGGCUUUAAAAGGUAAUAACCUCUCGACUGGCGGGGCUAUGAAAACGUAAAAUUCUCUCGACUGGCGGGGCUUUGAAAGGUAAUAGCCUCUCGAAUGGCGGGGCUAUGAAAAUGUAAAAGCCUCUGAGAACACCCAAUUGAAAAGCAAAAUAUCCGUGUUUGAAGGCUUUAUCUUGAAGAGAAAGGUCAAUUGUUGGUAUUCGGAGAUAGGCGUCUCGCACAUAAAGUGUGAUGCAUGUAUGUGAAGGCAUGGUUUGAAAGGAAAGAAUUUUUUUUUGUAUUUUCGUUGUAAAAAUGUGUUGAAAGAUGAAAAAUGCGGAAGAUUGUUUUGUGUUUUAUUUGUAAGAAAUGCUGAAAGGUAAAAAUGCAGAACAUUAUUUGUGUUUUCUUUUGUAGGAAUAUAGAAAGGUGAAAAUGCAGAACAUUGUUUUGUAUUUUCUUUGUAAGAAAUGCUGAAAGUUUAAAAUGUAGAAAAUUAUUUUGUGUUUUACUUGUAAAAAGUGUUGAACAGCGAAAUAAAAUUGUUUUGUAUUUUCUUUUAUAAGAAAUGCUGAAAGUUGAAAAAUGUAGGAAAUUAUCUUGUGUUUUAUUUGUAAGAAAUGUUGAAAGUUGAAAAAAAGAAUAAUCAUGCCUUGACUGUAGUUGGUAUCAACAAUUAGUAGUGUGUAUAAGAAUUUUCCCAUCUCUUCCAGCUAACGAAGAUUGACUUCAGGGUAACUCCUAUAGCUUCGAGUGGUACCUCAGACAUACCUAAGUAUUGACAAGAUUUGUUCGUCUUGCUUCAAACAAAGAUUUUGAAUUAUGUUUGUUCCCAUGAUUCAAGUGUGCUCUCUAGAAAGAAUGUCUCGUUCUCACACUUAUUUGAAUAUUAUUUUCUUUCAAAUUUGGAGACGUCUAGAAAUAUACACUCACACUUAGAAAAAAGUUCAAUGAAUGCAAUUGUGAUACCAUAGACUUGGCCUUAUGUAAGUAUUCCACUAAUGUGAGAAAACUUAGAGUAGGAUCUUGUAGGACUUAUAAUUGGCUUGUAAUGUAGGCUUGGGGUCGGGUAGGAUGACAUUUGGGAUAAAAGUGACUAAUUCCUCAAUGAGCAUUGCACUGUAUUCGUGUUUUUGACAUUUGUUGCUCUUUGACGCUCGAUCUUCUUUAUUGUGCUUCUUUGCCCCUUGUUUGUAUUUGAUUCGACUUCUUUUGAAUCUUGUGUUGGAGUUUUUCCCCUUUUCGAUAUAUUUUCCUUAUUUUUUUCUUUUGGGGGGAUGAUGAUUCCCCACCUUUAUGAGAGUUAUUGCGUUGGGAGGGGGUGGGCGGGGAGGUCUUGCUCCUUCUUUCUUUGAAGUCAUCUUUUAUUUUUGUUCUUCUGGGGAUAUACUUCCUUUGCCUUUGGCAACUUUGAUCUUGAAUCUUCAUUCGCAACUUGCACAUACUUAGUGUGCUCAAAGAGGUAGGCCAAAGAGGGAUAGUGCAUGUAAGCACUCAAAAGGUAUAGGCUCAAAUGUAGUUAUUCCAACGAAAAGGUUUCAGGCUCAAAGGGGGGAAUACUAGGGAUCGAUGUCAUUUGGUAGGCUGUGGAAGUCACAAUUUAGUCAAGGAAGGUCUACAAUCCUUUUUUGAUUCAUCUAUCAUUAUAGGCAGACAACACUAACAAAGAUAAAGUGCCAGACCCAAACUAAUUGUAACUCAAAAAUUUUGCCUCAAUAGACAUUCAGGCCACGUUCUAGAUCAACAAUGCAAUACAGUGAACAAGUCUAAAGCUUACCACACAAUGUACUUAAAACGAUGGAGUUGACUUUGUUCUUGUCUUAGAUGUAUACAAGAGAAUUUUCGAGUGUUACUCAGGUUUGACUAAGAGGUAUCAAAAGAAUCUAUCGUUUACCGUGAAGUUGGUCCUCUCCAUCAUACCAAUUUGUUCUUUCUCAUGCACACUCCUAAUUGUGUUGGUACCAACCAAGUCAAAAUUUUAUUUUAUUUAAAAAAAAUAGGAUCGAACCCAAAUGAGGGUUGCCUUCGUAUCUUGUGAAAACAAGAAUCAGGUCUGCAUAGUUCAGGCAAAUUUGUAAAUUUCUAUGUAAAAUGUAUGAAUGUAAAAAAGUGAUGGUCAUCUUUGAAAAAAUAAUGUGAAAGACGAUCAGGAAGGGAUUGCUUGUAUUAACAAAAUUGGUUCGAUUAGACGAUCAAGAGGAUGGAUGUCGAGCAUCAGGAGAGUUUUGAAAUUACUUCAAUAUGUCGACGAGAUGGAGAAGGUCAAACAUUGGAGAAGUUAUGGCAUUAUUUCACCGUAGUUGGCCGAAUUAUUAUGAAUGAAAGAAUAUUGAACCCUUGCUUUGAUAGUGGAGAUCGAUACACCGUAAAUUUAAUAAUUUACGAUGUCCGAAAGAAGAAGCUAGGUGUUCUCGAACCAAAAUUGGGUGAGAAUUUGGAGGUAGGUCGGCUAAGCACUAAUGUUAUUGAGAUUUGAAUUUGGGGAAUCAUUUAUUUGCGCUCUUGAAGACUUUUGGAGAGCGUCUUUGAACUGUUUCAAGAAAUUGCCCCAGUAUGAAUACCGAAGGAAUUAUUUUGAAACAGUGAAGAGACCGAACCCUAAUACAGGGUUGCCUACGUAUCUUGUCAGGACAAGAAUCAGGUCAAAACAUAGUUCAAAUCUUUUUUUUUUUGAGUUAUUAUGGCAUGAUUUAUAUUCAGAAUAGGAAUUUUCCUAAAUGGUUGAGAGUAGGACCGAAUAAUUGCGAAAAGGCACACUAACCUAAAUGCACCAAUUCUGAAACUAAGGGAUCCAAAGAAGGUUCGGAGGAGUACAGUAAACCCCUCGCGUGUUCAGUGUGUGAAUUGUGUACGGCCAAAGACUCGAUGGAAUUGUGAUUAUGAUUAAAUAAUGUAAAGAAUAAUGUGUAACAGUUUUUACACUAUACAGAUACGGUGUAUUAAACAAAUAAUAAAUAAUUAAAGGAAAUGAUAAGGCAGUAAAUUUAAUUUGCGCAAAUAAUAUAAAGGAUUUAUGAAAAAUCUACACAAUUUUCAAUGUGAAAAAGAUAAAGAAUCAAAGAAUUAAUAUAUACAAAAAAAAUGUAAAAAUACCUUCCUCAAUUGAAAAAUUGAGUUUAUCAUAGUUAGAACCUGUUGUUUAUCCCUAGUGGAGUCGCCAUUCUGUCAAUGCCCUAUUUUUACCUGAGGUCAAAAUGAGCACGUGACAUUAUGGACUCUAAGAGAAUUGAAAUUUGUACAGAGUCGACACCUAAUUUUUAAAGGAAAAUAAGGAAACCUAUUUAUUUGUUAAUACGUAUGGUUAAUGUUUUAGUUGGUGAAAAUCUAUUGAGACUCUAGGUAAGGGUUCAAAUUAUCCAGAAAGAAAGGGGUUAGGCACCCUUCAGGAUCCACAAAUGUGGUACCCAGCUAGACUAAACUUAUCAACGAGGGAGGAGGUAUAAAUAUUUAAAAUAAUGUAAAAGUGUAUGUGUAUUAAGUAUAAAACAAUUCUUUCAAAAAAUAUAAAUGUUUAAAACCAUGUAAAAGUAUAUGUAUAUUAACUAUAUAUAAAACAUAUAAAAGAUAUGUAUAAAAUUUAUAAAUUACAUGUGAAAAAGAAAAGUAUUUUAUGACGUACGAAAAGAAAUGUAUUUUAAUGUGUCUUGUAAAGAAAAGGUAUUUACAAGUAAUAUUUUUAUUUGAUUUAAAGAUUCUUUUAUGUAAAUAUUAACGACCUAAGUUUUGCCUAAAAGUGAUGAAACUAUGUAAAUAAAGAAUAUCUCCGCCUAUCACCCAAAAAGGUAAAGUUUUCACUAUAUUCGAUAUGUACAAUUACAAGAAAAUAAUAUAAAUAAAAGAUUCUUCUUUUGAAUGUCAUUUUCCGACAAAUAAUCUCGAAAAACCUGUACAAACACGUUAGUAACAAAGUAAAAUAAACUAGAAACUAUGUGUGAAUAUAUACAUAAAAAUAGAAAUGUUUUAUCAAAGUGUGGGCUCGGAUUAGAUUUUAGAUACGCCAUGGCUACGAAGUGGUUGCUCGAUUAAUCGGCCAUCCUAAAUCGCCUUACCAAGAUACGAAUCAUAAAACUCUUUGUGUUUCCAUGAAAUUGUAAAGUUUCGUCAUUGCCCAAAUUUCUUUAUUUUUGUUACGUAUUUGUAUAUGUAAUAUCCGUCUUUUAUUUACGGAGGCCUAAAAAAUUGACGGAAAUUUCUUCAUUGGCCAUGUGUCUAUUUUUGAUAUAAAUAAAUAACUUCAAAAAUAAAGAUCCGUCUUUUGUAUUGGGGUCUCAAGUAUCCGACGGAGAGAUAAUGUCAUUGGCCGAGGUAUUUAUUUUGAGUAUAUGUAUGUGUUUUUCGGAAAAAGAAAAAGAUGAACAAAUUUUGUGUAUGAAAAAACUAUAUGUGUGGUGAAGAAUAUGUGUGUGUAGAGAAGAAGUGUGUGUUUGAGAGAGAAGAAAAAUAUGUGGAGAUGAUAAAUGUGUAUAUAUAUUUAUGAAUGUGUAUUUUAUUUGGGUAUUUGUAUGUGAGAAGACAAAAAAUGUGUGUAUUGUAUUUUUGAAAAAAAAGAAUAAACUAUAUAAAAAGAAAAUUGAUUUGCUUAUAUUUUGAGAGAGGGGAGAAAGAAGAAUGAAAUGUAUAUAUGGUGAAAAACAUGUGUGUGAGAGAGAAAGGAAAAAGAUGACUAAAGUUUUGUAUUUGAGGGAGAGGAGAAAGAGGUGAAAAAUAUGUGUGAAUUUUUUUGAGAGAGAGGAAGAAUAAAAAUGUGUGUGUGGAAAUGUCUUCCCAUCACUCCUAUUUAUAAUGAUCUUGGGCACCUCUUAUUUUUCAAUGAAUAAAGAGAUGUCCCCUUUUUAUAUAAUAACACAUCCUUUGGUCCUUAGGGUAUUGACCAAAGGAUUUUCAUAUUUUUGACCAAUGGAUAAAGUUAUUAUCCAAAGAAUAGUGUCAUUGAGUGGUCAUUGUCAGAUGUGACAAGACAUUAUGUGUAGUCAUUAUCGGAUGUGACAAGAUUUCAUUGUGUAGUCAUUGUCGGAUGUGACAAGACAUUAUUGUGUGGUCAUUGUCGGAUAUGACAAGACAUCAUUUGUAGUCAUUGUCAGAUGUGACAAGGCAUUAUUGUGUGGUCGUUGUUGGAUACGAAAAGACAUUAAAUUAUUAUAAUAUAUAAAAUUAAUUGAUCCGACAUAGCGUUUACGGAUUAUAGGAAUAUAUAAAAAUUGAUAUGUAAUUAAAAAAUGUAAAGAAAAUUGGAAAAUGUAAUUAACUUGAAAAUAUUAUAAAAAGAAAUGUAAUGUCAUGUUGUGUACGUGUGUAGAUGAUUGUGAAAAAAUAUUAAAGACGAUAAUAAAAAAAUUCUAACAUACAAAGAAUUAUCAAUAAAUUAUGAAAAGCAAAACAUGAUAAUAAAUUGAUAAAAUUCUAAAGUGAGGAUGAUUAUCAGUAAUUUAUCAAAAAUAUAAAAAAAAUGUGUGAAAAAUGUGUUUUGCACUCUUUAACGAUCAGGAAGCCUGAAGACGUUAAUUUUAAGCAUGGAGAGGAAAAAUUGGGUGUCAACAGGGGGGAUAAUGUCUUCGUCUAUCAAGAAUAUUCCUGAUGAAAUAUUAAGAAGUAAGAGUCAUUUGUUAUACGAUAGUUGUAAAGAACUAAAAAUAUUUAUAUUUUCUUGAUUUUUCCGUGUUCUUACUUUUAUAUAUUUUAAAUAUUUUUUGCAGUGAAGAAUUUAAUUAUGUCACCAAUUAUAACAUGUCAAUUUACAAAAAUUCUUUAGUAUCGUAUUAUAUUUCAUAGAGUUAAUGGUAUUGAAGUAUAUAUGAACAUAGACCAUGAUAUUAUUAUACUCCCUCUUCAUGUGUAGACAAAAUCUUUAAGUAAGGACAAUAAUAGUUGUUUCUUUUGUCUUUUUUUUUUUUGGCUAUGAAAAAUAGGUGGAGACAUUCAUGAUUGCAAAAUAUUACUAUAGAAGAACUAAUAUUGUGACUAAGUGUUGGAGUUCCACAUUGAUCGGUUAAAGGGUCCUUACUCUUCUUAUAUGGUCUUGGGCAAGCUUUCCCUUAUGAGCUAGCUUUUAGGGUUGAGUUAGGCCAAAGACUCAUUCUUUACAUGGUAUUAGACUCAGACCCAUAAUCUUUGUUCACCAAUGUUGGCUUUCAUAUUAUAUUAUCCACAAUCUAAUUAACGAGGCCUGGACAUGCGGGGGAAUGUUAAGUAUCCCACAUCAAAAAAAGAAUAGGUAAUUGAUCUCUUUAUAUGGAUCUGGGAAAUCCUACCCUCAUGAGUUAGCGUUGGAGGUUGAGCUAGGCCCAAAAUCUAUUCUUUACACUAAGAAAUUUGACCAUGAGCAAAAUUUGAAAGAAAUAAUUGGAGAUAAACAACUUUGGCUUUUCAUCAUGCUCUUUUUUCAAUUAGUUAAAUUUAAAUAUUUGAUAGCGUUAAAAAUAUUUAAAUUGACUUUUCAUCUUGUUCCUUUUUUUCAGUUAAUUAAAUUCAAACUUUUCACAGAGAGAUCAUAUCCACUUAAGAUGAAAAGUUCAUCUAAAAAAGAUAAUAAUUGAUAAUUAGGAUAUGAAACUCGCGAAAAAAUAUUAAUGCACGUGUUAUUUUGACCAGUAUCUCUAUAAAUAAAUGAUGAAUUGUAUAUAAAAUGAAGACAAGUGAACAAUAUAUAUUUAUUUAAGUUGUAACUCAUAUAUUACAAUAGAUAGAUAAAUCCCCAAUAUUUGAAAAACUAGCUAGGUUACAUAUUUAUUUUCUUAUUAUACGAACUUGGAAACACAACAUUAUUUAAAUUGCUUGAAUAUACACAAAGGCACAUCAAGCAUAUAAUAGUAGUUACAUUCAUUCUUUGAGCGCAGUAAUUCUAAUUUGUGUGCUUCAAGGAUACUUCACCAAUAACAACACGCUUAUUAUUUAAUUUGCAUCGAAACACAAUAUUAUUUAACUUACUCGAAGGAUAGUUUCGAAAUAAUCUUCACUAGUAAAAGGCGCUUGUUAAAACAAUAUGGAACAGUCAUUCGAAGUAAAUAAUUGUAGACACAACGUCUGCAGAUAGUCCCAUCACUGCAAUCGCUAUCACCGUUACAAAAUUGAUAACAAGUAAGACCGUCACCAAGUAAAGGUAAUUUUACUUUCAUCUUUGCAACAUCAAUUGGUAACUCUCUUAAAACCAUCAUGGGAUUCUCUUUUAGAGCAACAUUGCGUUCAACGACUUGGCGAUGUUUGUGGUCAUGACGUUGAAUCUAUUCCUGGGAAGUAAGCCCUGCCUUAUUUUUUAAAUCCAACGUCAUGUUCGAGGCAAAUUGUUGUGUCGGGGUAUAUUUUUUAAGCAAGUUGACUUAGUCAUUAAACUCAUCUAAUUAUCUUCUAUUUCUUAAAUAUUGUAUAUUUCUAUAAGGUAUAAUUAUCUUCUAAAAAAAAGAUAUAAAAAUAAUAUAUAAACUGGUGCUCCUGUAAAUAUAAUAUGAAAUUGAUAUAGAAAUUAGUGUCCUUUAAAGAUUAUUUAAUUAUAUCCAAAAAAAUAUAAUAUAAAAAAUGGUAGAAAAAGUGAUAUUUCGUAAAGGUUAUUUCAAAAGAACUUAUGACAGUUGAAUAUUUGGUAGAUUUUGUAAAUAAAAAAUAAUAGUGGUAGAUUUUGUAAUAUAGACUCUAAAUUUGUAUAUUUAUGUGAUUUGCCCAUUUUGAAAUAACGUUUAUUAGAGACCUUUUUAGAGUAGGUGCUUCAAAAAAAUUAGAAGGUUACAUUUUAUUUAUCUUAAACUUAGAAACACAACAUUAUUUAACUUGCUUAGAAACAAAACAUUAUUGAACAAUAGUUCCGAGAUAAUCUUCAUCAGUAAGAGCGCACUUGCUAAAACACAGAACAGUAAUUUGGAGUAAAAUAAUUGUAGGCACAACGCCUACAAAUGAUCGCAUCACUGCAAUUGCUAUCGUCGUUGCAAAAUCGAAAACAAGUAAUAAGACCAUCACAAAGUCAAAGUAAUUUCACUUUCAUUUUUGCAAUAUCAAUUGGUAACUUUCUUAAAGCCAUCAUUUUAGAACCCCAACACAGAUUAAUUGCACGUUACAAAAUCUUUUACUAAGAAAAGUAAGGACAAUAAUAGAUGUUUCUUUGUCUUUUUUUUUUUCUAUGAAGAGCUAGUGGAGACUUUCUUGAUAGCAUAAUAUUUCUGUAGAAGAACUAAUAUUGGGACUAGAAGUUUGAGUAAGGGCAAAAUUUGAAAGAAAUAAUUGGAAAUAAAUAGGUUUGACUUUUCGCCAUGCUCUUUUUUUUUCACUUAGUUAAAUUCAUAUAUUUGACAAAGGUAAAAGUAUUUAAAGUUUGGCUUUUGGUCUGCUCUUUUUUUCAGUUAAUUAAAUUCAAAUAUUUGAUAAAGAGAGAACAAAUCCACUCAAGAUGGAAGUUCAUAAAGUAAAAAAGAGAAUAAUUGAUGAUUAGGAUAUGAAACUCGUAAAAACGUAUGAAUUCAUGUGUAGUAUUUUGACCAGUAUCUCAAUAAGAAAAAUAGUAAAUUGCAUAUAAAAUAAACACUAGUUAACAAUACAUAUUUAUUUAAGUUGUAACCCAUAAAUUACAAUAGAUAGAUAGUUCCCCAAUAUUUGGAAAACUAGCUAGGUUACAUAUUUAUCUUCUGACUAUACAAACUUGAAAACACAACAUUAUUUAAAAUGCUUGAAUAUACACAAAGGCAUAUCAAACAUAUAAUAGUAGUUACAUUCAUCCUUUCCACACAGUAAAUAUAAUCUACGCUCUCCAAGGAUAAUUCACUCAUAACAACACACACUUACUUUUUAACUUGCUUAGAAGCACAAUAUUAUUUAACUUAUUCGAAAGAAAGUUUUAAAAUGACCUUUUAUAGGCGGAACAAUCAUAAUAAUACUUAUCACCCAAAAAAUAUCUAUUCGGAGCACAAGUUUUACAUAUAAUUCCAUCACUGCAAUCGCUAUCUGAUUUGCAACUUCGAUAACAAGUCAUAACAUUACGGUCAUUACCAAAUGGAAGAAGUAAUUUUUCAAGAAGUAAUUUUUCUUUCAUCUCUGCAACUUCAAUUGGUAAGUCUCUUAAAGCCAUCACUUUAGGACCCCAAGAGAUAUUAACUGCACAUAAAUUAAUUAUAAUAAUAAUUAAAAUAAUUAAUAUACACAAAUUAUUACAAAGAAAGAAGAGUGGUAAAAGUAAGUUUAGAACCUGAGAUUGCAACAAAGAGAGCAAUGAAGAUAAAAGCUUGCUUAAGAGAAACCAUCUUAACUUAAUUAAUUUGGCUCAAAGAUGAUAAUUGAACAAGUGAUGUUUUAUUUGCUUCAUGGAAGGUGAUAUUUAUACUAACAUUGAUAUAAGGGUAUUACAGUCACUUGAAGUUUAAAAUGUGAAACACAUUCAUCCAACCUUCAAUUAUAAAUUAGAACUUGUAAAAAUCAAAUAAUGAAACCUCUUAUUUCUUUGUUCAAAUAAUUCAAAAAGUGUUGUUUUAUGGGAAUUUUAACAUUAAUUUUAAUAUUUGUUUAAUGCCUAAUUCUUGAUUCUAACAACCUCUUUAAGUCAACAAUGUGGGAGUUUUCAUUUUUGCUACCGGUGAAAUACUUUGCUGCAGUGGGCUUGAAUCUCCUUAAAGAGAGCGAGAUAUCCGUGCCUCAGCCGAAGAAGAAGAAGACAUUCUUUUUUUUUUUUUGUACACUUGUAAUUUUCAGUUGUAAUUUUAUUGUAAUUUCACCAACAAAAAUAUACUCCUUCCCCACUUAGAAUGCCAAGUCAAAAUAAUUGCAAGUGCAUGGUAUAUAUUAUAUAUUUAUUUUACAACUAUUAAUAAGUGUGAAGAAGCAGGCAGCCCUUCGUCAACAUGUCUGCUUCUUUACCUGCUUCAGCUGCUCUGUGAUUUUACUAUAUUAUCCCUAAUUAAUUAUUUUAAGUCAUUUAAAUAUAAUAAAAUUAAUAAUAUUUAAUUAAAAAAAGGUAAAAUAGAUAUUUCUGACAUGUUUGUUUCAGCUGCUUCAUUCGUAGUAUUAUAUCAUCUCUAAUUAAUUAUUAUAAGUCAUUAGAUAUUAAAAAAUUAAUAAUAUUUAAUGAAUAAUAAAAUAAACAUAAAUGAUAAAUUAAUUCUUGAUGUUUGAAAUUAAUAGGACAUCAUAUAUAAGACUCAUUUAAAAAAAAAUCACAAGUAUGUUUGCUCCAUGAUUUUACUAUAUUACCUCUUAAUUAUUAUAAGUCAUUUACAUAUAGGAAGAUUAAUAAUAUUUAAUAAAAAAAGGUAAAAUAGAUAUUUAUGGCAUGUCUGCUUCAGCUGCUUCAACCGUAAUUUUACUAUACCACCCCUAAUUAAUUAUUAUACCUCAUUUAGGUACUAAAAAAUUAAUAAUAUUUAAUAAAAAAUAAAAUUAUAAUAAAAUAAUAAAUUAAUUCUUGAUGUUUUAAAUUAACAUGACAUCUUAUAUGAGACUCAUUUAAUUUUUUUUUUCACAAAUAUUUUCUUAUAGUAACUGUAAGACCCCGCAAAAUUUUAAGCUUAACUCAGUUCCUUAAAGCUUGUUAAGGGGUCCCAGACUUGGAAAAUUUCAGCCAAGUACUCAGACUUAGUGUUAUUUUAGCCUUUGAAAGUUGGCGAUCUUAUUUUGCGACCUUUACAUCCGUUAAAUGUUGAUAUUUAAGUUAAAUCAUGAUCAAGAAUGUCGGUAGGUUUUCUCGGACGAGUUUCGAAUUUUUUGGACCUCGUUUGAGCCAUGUUAGGAUGGCCAAAACAAUGCAUCGACACGAUCUCGACACGCCUCAUCGACCAUCGCGUCGAUCAAUAAAUUUUGUUGGUUUCCAAUGGCAAUUUCCAGUAACCCAAUGCGAAUUCGACGCAGCGCGUUGGCUAUCGCGUUGAUGCUAAUGACGCGGCGUGUCGAUGACACGGCUUUCAGUCAUUAAAACGUUGCGACCCCAGGAUUAUUUCAGUCUUUUUUCGACGAUCUUCAGCCCCCAUAACACGAAAUUUAGCCCUCUUUUGGCAAAUUAUACUCAUUCUUUCAUAAUUGCCCAAGAACAAGAAAACUCUAGAUGAUUAAUUUCAAAUUCAAGGCUCAAGAUUCCACCAUUAAUUCUCAAGAAUUCACCAACUAAGGUAUGCAAAGUGUUUAUCCAAGGGCCCCUUCCACCCUUGGAGCUCAAGAAACCCCUUUUAAAUCAUGAAUUGUGAUUUCCAUGUUGUGGAACAGAUUAUAUCCAUGUUGAUGUUGAUGUAUGGUUUUCAAGUUGAAAUCUUUAUUGUAUUUCAUGAUAUUAUGAUAGCAUGUCUGUUGAAUUUUGAUUCUCUUAUGUUGAAACCAUAGAAUUAUGAAUUAAUAUAGUAGUCAUAUGUAUUAGCAUUGUUAUUCAUGCCCAAGUGUAAAGCUAUGCCUACCAUGUGUUCGACAAAAUGCUUAAUUGAGUAUUUGGUGCUUUUAUGAUCCUUUGCUGAUCUAAAUGAUGAACUUAUGCUUUACCCAUAUGUUCAGAAUGAUUUUUAAGCUAAAGUUAUGCCUUAUAAGUGUUUGAUGGAAUGCUCAUGAGAUUGGAUUUGCGAAAUUAUAAUAUGUUAGUAUGCAUUUCUAUUCAUGUACAAGUUCAUGACUUUCAAGUGCUUUAUGAAAUCCCUCAAUGAUUGUAUUGUUAGUUGUUGACUAUUGUCAUGUAUCCAAGAAGUGUCAUGUCCUAUUAAUAUUCAUGCUAUCGAGUCCAAGGGGUAUCUAAUAUCCGACAAAUUAGCUGUGUGCCUAGAGCCAGUGUCAGUUACAGAGUAAUCUCAGUCAUGUCACGAUCAGUAGUACUCUCAGUCAGUUACAGAACUCUGGAAAACUUAGUAAUCUCAGUCAACUCAGUCGAAUUCAGUUCAGUAUACUCAUCUUAAUGUCUAUUCAGUUGGGAGUAGAAUUCAGCACCGAGUGAACCCAAAGAUAGGGACUCACCUGACAGUAGAGGGUGUGAAUCUUAGAAGUAAUCCUUGCGUUCAAGAACUACGUAGCCAGCAUAGGUUGAGAUACCUCUCUUACAGACUAGGGUUGAUAUAUCUCAUUCGAGUUUUCCUACCAGUGAGAGUUGACGGAAGAGCUUCCUAUCAAAAAAGGUUAGCUAACAACUUAUCUUUACCCGUGGCAUAGUACUGACAUCUUUCCAGCUGGGGUUACAGGUUGGACCCUACCAGUUCAGUUACACCUUCCACAGUCUUAGUCUCAGUCUUCAGAAUAGAACUCAGAUAGUUCUACAGAUUUCAGGAUUGUCAGAUACAAUCACUCAGCUCAGUACGGAACUCAGCUAGUUCCAUAAGAAUCAAGACUGUCAGAAACAGUCACUCAGUUAUCAAUAAUUAAUGUUAUCAGUAAACUUAGUAUUCAGUAUCACCAUGAUUUCAGUUACAGUCUAUAUAUUCAUGCAUAUAUUCCGACUCAGUCAUGUUCAUUUUCUCAGUCAGUUAUAGUUCAUGCAUAUGAACACUUGUAUUCAGCCUACCUCACUUUCCAUACCAGUACAUUCCAAUGUACUGACGCAUACUUUUCUCUUGCACUAUGGUGUUUUAUACCAUAGGUUCAGACGCUCAGGCUCCAAAGCACCCUUAGCAGUUCAGAUUCAGCCAGCAGCAGUAGACUUAGCAGUGAGUCCUCAUCAUUCGAGGAUGUUCUAUUAUUUUAUUAUUUCAUUAGACUAAGUAUUUCAGCAGAUAGAGUUAGUUGGGGGGAUUGUCCCAUCAACUCCACAUUUCAGAUAGUUUUAGAGGUUUUUCAGACUAGAGUAUUUUCAGACAGUUAUUUCAGUUUUGGUAUUGCUAUACCGUAUUUCAGUUAUAAUUCAGUAUUAAACCUUAUGACAUUUCAGCCCAUUAUUCCGCAUUACAUAGUAUUAUUGUUCAAUUAUUGCAGCAGGUACCAGUCAUGGGUUAGUUUGUGGUUCUUUGGGAUUAUGAGCACCGUGUAGCGUUCGGGGUACCAGACUCGGGACGUUACAGUAAUUUUGCUAUAUCACUUCUAACUAGGUAUUAUAAGUCAUUUAAGACAUGUCCGCUUCACUGCUUCAAUCAUUAAAUUUGAUUGACUCUCAAAUUUAUUUCAGUGUCACUUAUAUUGGAAUAGAAGAAAAGGUAUUAUAAAUCAUAAUAAUUAAAAACUUAAAUCAUUUUAAGAAUAUAAUUAACUAUCAAUGCCACAAAAUUUUGAAUAAGGAGAGUAACAUCUAUUAUUUAAAAAUUAAAUAAAAAAUAUUAUAAACUAUAAUGGCUAACAAUUUAAAAUAUUUUAAAAUAUAUUAAAAAUAUGAUUGAUUAUCUAAAUUAUAUUUGUGUCACAUAAAUCCGGGGUAGUUUUGGCAUUUUACAAUUUGCAUGUUUUAAUGUUUUAAUUUAGUAAUUUGUUGAUCCAAAUGAUGUUUCGAAUUUAGCAUUUUUGAAAAUUUAGUACUUUGUUUAUUUUAAUUUAUUUUAUUUUGGUAAAUAUUAUAUAUUUAAAAAUUAUGCAAAUAUAUGUCAUAACUAUUAACAUCUUAUAAUAUUUUAAAAACAUAUAGUAAAAAAUAUGAUUGACUUUUGAAAUUCUAAUAGUGUCACAUAGUUGUGAUAAAGCAAGUAACAUAAAAUAUUUGAAAUUAUAUUAAAAGAUACUAAAAUCACAAUGAGUAACAACUUAAAAUAUUUAAAUAAAUAUAUUAGUAAAAAUUUGGUUGACUCUCUAAAUUCUAAAAUUGGGACAAAGCGAGUAACAAAUUACUAAAUUACGUAAAAGGUAUUAUAAAUCACAAUGAUUAACAGCUUAAAUUAUUUUAAAAUUUAUAUUAACAAAAAUUUGAUUGACUCUCCAAAUACUAUUUGUGCUACAUGAAUUGAGAUAACGUAAAUAACAUAUGUUGGGCCCAUGCUGGCACGGGCUAAAGUAUCUAGUAUAUCUUUUAAGAGGGAACGACAAGGAGAAGCAAGUAGGUCUCCGUCAAUAUGCCUGCUUCUCCUACUUGCGUCAUAAGUUACUUCCUCCGUAAUUUUAUUAUGUCAUCUCUAAUUAAUUAUUAUAAGUUAUUUAUAUAUUAGACAUUUAAUAAAAAAGUAAAAUAAAUAUUUAUGACAUGUCUGCUUAGCUGCUUCACCCAUAAUUUGACUAUAUCACCAUAGUUAAUUAUCAUAAGUCAUCUAAAUAUUAAAAAAUUAUUAUAAAGUCAUCUAAGUAUUAAAAAAUUAAUAAUUAUAUGAGACCCAUUAAUUUUUUCCCGCAAGUAUUUUUGUAUAGUAAUUUUGUUGUAUCAUUUCUAAUUAGGCAUGUUUGUUUCGUUGUUUCAAUCGUGAUUUUACUAUGUCACUCCUAAUUAUUUAUUAUGAUCAUUUAAGCAUUGUAUCAAUUAACAAUAUUUGAUAAAAAAAGGUAAAAUAGAUACAAAGUGAUAAGUUAAACAAAAAAAAAAUUCACAAGUAUUUUCUAUAGUAAUUUUGCUAUAUUACUUAUAAUUAGUUGUUGUGAGUCAUUAAGACAUGUCUGCUUUGCUGCUUCAAUUGUAACUUUACCGUAUCACCCAUAAUUAAUUAAAUGUUCAUCUAAGCAUUAUGACACUUAAAUUGGAAUAAAAGAAAAAAUAUUAUACAUCACGAUAAUUUAAAAAUUAAAUUAUUUAAAAUAUAUAAUUAAUUAUAAAUGCCAUAAAAGUUUGGACAACAAGAGGGAUAUAUAUUAUUUAAAAAUUAAAUAAAAAUUAUUAUAAAUUAUAAUAUUUAACAGCUUAAAAUAUCUAUAACAAAAUUUGUUCUAUAUUUAAAAAAAAUAAUAAAUCACAAUAAUUAAAAUAAAUUUUUUAAAAAUAUUUAUUGGGCCCAUGCCUUGCAUGGGCUAUUGGUAACUAGUUACUUUUAAUUUUUGUUUCAAAAAGUGUUCUAUUAAAUGGAUACAAAUCCUUAAUUUUAUAUCAUUGACCUUAGGUUAUGUGAAAAAAUUAAAAUAAUAAUAAUAAUACAAAAAAAACUAAGACCAUUAGAUCAUGAAGUAGUUGGGCAAGUGGAGUCAUCAAAAUGUCAAACUCCAAAAGUUGGAAAUUCCAUGGAAUAAAAAGGAGAGGUAACAAUUUGAUCGCUCGAUAAAAAAUAUUUAUAUAAUCUUUAUAACUAUCUUGUUUGUUUUGAUAUUUUUUUUCUUUUUUGUAGCAAAAUCGAUUGUUGUAUGUACAUAACAAUAUUUGACGUUUUAUUUCAUAGUUAUAGAUAAUAAAUUAUUUAGGAAUUUUAAAAUUAUUUUUAAUAUUGUAAAAGAUAAGAAUACUAUUUAAAUUUUAAAUCGGAAGAAAAUAUGCAUAAGUGGGAAACAAAAUUUUCUUAAAUUGAAAUCCGAAUGAAAUUCGGAUUAUGUUAAGUUCAAAAUAGAUUAGUCUAAAAUAAAUAUUGCGGAUUAAUAUAAUUGGAUUAAUUAUUUAAGUCCAAACAUGGAUGAAAUUAAUUAAAGUCCAAUUUUUAUUGGGCUAGCCAAUUAAUUUGAGUUAUAAAUGAUGAGCCCACUGUCAUACCCUAUUUUUACCUAAGGUCAAAACGAGCACGACAUUAUGGACUCUAAAAUAAUUAAUUCAUACCGAAUCGCCACCUAAUUUUUAAGAAAAAAUAGGAAACCUAUUUAUUUAUUUAACAAGUAUGACUUUAUUCUAAUCUACAAACCAUUUUCGAUUCUAGGUAAGGGUUCAAAAUAUUUCGAAGGACAGGGAUUAGGUACCCUUCAGAAUCCACAGAUGCGGUUCCCGACCAGACUUAGGUUUAUUAAAAGGUAAAAAGUUUAUGUGCAUAUAUAUAUAAAUAUAAAAUGUGUAUUAAAAUGAUGUAAAUAAUUUAUAUAUAAAAGAUGUACAAAUUACCUAUAUUUUAGUAAAACUAUGUAUAAAAGUAUAUGAAAAUUUGUAAAUAAAAGUAUAUAUAAGAAUGUAUAUGAAAAGAAAAUAAAGAUUGAAUAAAGGAAAAUUUAUUUUAAAGAAAAGAUUAUAUAAUGUUUUUAGAGUAAAACUUAUGAAUUAUUUUAUUAGAUGUCUAAAUCAAUUUAAUAUAGAUAUUAACGACCUAAAUUUACCAAAGCGUGUGUUAGAAAAUUGUGCAAGUAAACAUAUUCUCACCCAUCACCCAAAAGUAAAGUUUUCACUAUAAUUAAUAUUUUGUGCAAGUAUAAGAAAAGAGAGAGUGCAGAUGGAGAUGAGGGACUGACUUUUUUUUUGUGUGUGUCUUUGUACGUACUUUGUGUGUGUGUAUUCUGUUGAAAAUCAGUGUGUGAGGUGCGUGAAUUCUUAGGCAGUGCGCUGUGUGUGUUCUGUGUGAAAAAAAAAUGGAGGAGAUGAGGUUAUUAAUUGUUGUGGCAUGAGAAUAAUUGUGUGGGCCCGUGUGAGGUGUAAUUGUGUUGGAAAGGUAUACAAAUAUUUUGCUGUGAUCAAAAGUGUGUGAUGGUGAUAGAAUAUGUACAUGUAUCAUAUAUUGUUUUGGAAAAGGCCAAACCCAUCAUCAGUCCUCUUAAGUACGCGUGAUCUUUCACUUAGGCACCUCAAGUGGACGUCGCUCACUUUUGGCACCUCAAGUAGCCAUAAAGUGGGUCAUUUUGGCACCUUUUGCUGAGUCAGCAAAAUAAUACUACGUGUGUGUGUUACACGCGCCGAUGAGCUCAAAAAUGAUGAAUAAAAUGUGGACAUAUGUCAUUUUUAUCCAAAUAAUUUAUACAUAAUUAAUUUAAAUACCCUGUAACGCCCCGAAUCUAGUACCCAGAACGCUACUCGAUGCUCAUGACCCCGAAGCCAUGACUGAUAUCUGUACCUGUACACUACAUAAUAUAACAUGAUAAUGCAGAAACAUGCACUGAAAGGCCAUAAGGUUCAAUACUGAACAUAACUGAAUAACAUAACAUAUGUGUGGGGUAAUAGAAUACCCAAAACAAAACUGAGAAUACUAAAGUCUGAAACAUGAUAGUCUGCAUCUAGUUUGAAAGCCUCUACUGUCUGAAUAAUCUGAAUAAGGAGUUGAUGGGACAUGUCCCAAACUAACCCCAACUAAUAAACUAAUCAAUGAGAUAGUAGAAAAAUAAUUAUGUCCUUGAAGGAUGAGGACUCACUUCUGACUCUGACUAUUGAGAAUGAGAUCUACUGCUGAUCUGGAACUCGUGUCUUUGAACCUAUGGUGUAACAUAAAAAAAAAGCACCACAGCGCAAAUGGGUCAGUAUAAUGGAAUAUACUGAGUAUAUAUGUGAGGUAGGCUAUAUGCAAGGGUUCACAUGCAUGAAUAACUCUAGCUGGCUGUCUAACAUGAACGUGAGAGUGCAUGUAUAAAUACGUAACUGACCCCGUGAUAGCAUGAUUACUGAAUCUGAAUACUGAUAACAUGACACACUAAUAACUGUUAUGACUGAUAACAUGAAAGACUGAAUCUGAAUAUAACUGAUAACAUGGGUGACUGUAUCUGACAGUCCUGAAUCACUAUCUGAGUUCCGUAUUGUAUCUGAGUUAACUGUAUCUGACCGUCCUGAAAUCUGAAGAACUAUCUGAGUUCUAUUACAGAUACUGAUUGACUGUGUCUGACAGUCCUGAUUUUGUAACAUGAAACUGUGGGAAGUAGUUAUCUAACCGACAUGCCCCAAAUGUGCUAUAAUAGCUGAGUUGGGGUUCAAUUUGUGCCCUGAUUGGAAGGGUGUCAAUACCGCGCCACUGGUAAGGACAACAUGUAAGUAGCCUUCAUAUAACAAGUAACUCUGGUGAGAACGAUGGGAACCCUCAUAUAACAGGUUAAGGCACCUCAUUUACCCUUAUAUAGCAGGCUACGAUGUCUCAAUCUAUGCUGGCUACAUAGUUUUGGAAUGCAAGGAUUGCUUCUAGAAAUCAAACCCUCAUAUAAUAGGUGAGUUCUCAUCAUUGGGUUCACUCGAUGCUAAUUCCUACUCCCAUCUGAAUGGACACUGAACAUGAUUUACUGAACUGAACAUGAGCUGAGUUACUGAGUUUUAUUGACUGACGGAAUACUACUGAUAUCUGACAACUGACUGAGUCAUGAGAUCAUGGAGAUUUCCUGAGUCAUAAGAUUAUUUGAAGUCUAAGGAUUCAUAGCUUGACUGAGAGUAUCGUGAAAACAUGACAUGGCUCUAGGCACACAACUAGUAUUUUGGGUACAAGUACCCUCAAGACUUGAUAGAAGGAAACUUACAAAGCAUGAUUUACUUAAAGACUAAACUAACAUCAUAAUACAUACUAUGUUCAUAGAAGCAUUUCAUCAAACAUGUGAUAGGCAUAAGCUUGUACAUUCAUGGGGAUUUCAUGAUAUCAUGCUAGUUAGGAAAUUUUCCUUCAUCUAGGCAUUUAAUCAAACAUAUUGUAGGCAUGGUUCAUGUAAACAUCAUUGUAUAAUAAUUAAACAUCAUGGUUCCAAUCUAAUUUCAUCAUUCAAGGGUUUAAACCAUAAGGUUGCAUGAAUCUAUAGCUAUAAUAAUUAAACCCACAUAGAAAUUAUCACCAACCAUGGAGUAGAAUCCAAUUUCUCAUUUAUCAACAUGAACAAAAGCAGCCAAAUCAUGAAAACAUGAACAAAAUCCAUAACUUGUAGUUGAAAAAGGGAUUCUUAACUUCAUGGAUGAAAGGGGUCCAUGAAUGAACACUAUGCAUACCUGGGUUAUGAUUCUUAAUGUUUCUUGAACUUGAAGAAUUGGAAUCCCCUAGUUUCUUAAAGAAAAUCGUAUUUUGUUCUUGGAGAGUAAUGUUAGAGAGAAACCCUAAUAUUUGUUGUGAGCUAAUGAUGAACCAAAUGGCUAAAAUCAGAUAUAAUUGGAUAUAUUUAGAUGGGUGGUAAAUGACCAAAAUACCCCUGUUAAAAUGUCAUCAAAUAACUGAGAGGGACGUCCGACGGUAGUUUGCGACGGUCUGUCGCUUGGUCGACGAUCCGUCAGACCUCUCUGUCGGCCUGAGGAAGAACUGGGACUUAUUGCCAUUGAGCGACAGUGGGGUGCGAUGGUCUAUCGCUGGGUCGACGGUCCGUCGGACCUCGCCGUUGUACAUUUACAGAAAGUGGACUUACUGCCUCGAUGCGACGGUCAUGGCCGACGGUCCGUCGCCUGCACCGUCGCUCCUAGGCGUUUUUUUGUUUUCUGUAUUUCGGCCAUAAUUUUCUCAUCUAACACCGAAUUUUGAUGAAAUUAAUAUUGAUGGAAAGCUUAAUCAAUUUUUCACGUGAUGGGAAGUAAAAAAUCAUAAAAAUACCACGUGUACAAAAAUAAAUUUGUAUUUCAAAGCAAGUUCUAACAUUCUUGAGAUGAUUUCAAACUAAGAAAAAGGUACGGGUAUUAUACACCCCUCCCCACCCCNNNNNNNNNNNNNNNNNNNNNNNNNNNNNNNNNNNNNNNNNCACCCCCCCCCCACCUCCGCACCCCAGUCAUCUUUAAUUUUUUUUCAUCGAUUUUUAAUUUUUCUUCACUGAUUUUAUUUGGUUUUUAGAUUCAAUUUUAUUUUUUUCAGAUUUGCUUCAUCUAUUUUACUUCAAUUUUUAGUUUUUAAAAUUGAUUUUUUUAAUUUCAAUUUUCUUCACAGAUUUAGCUUUAUUUUUUAAUUUUUUUCAUCGAUUUUUAAGUUUUCUUCACUGAUUUUUCUUGAUUUUUAUGCUUCGAUUUUAAUUUUUUUUAUUGAAUUUGUUUGAUUUUUCUUCAUUAAUUUUUUUUAUUGAAUUUGUUUGAUUUCAAUUUUUCUUCACUGAUUUAGCUUUAUUUUUUAAUUUUUCUUCAUCGAUUUUGUUUGAUUUUUAGUUUUUCUUAGUUGAUGUUGCUUAUUUUUUAAUUUUUCUUCAUCAAUUUUACCCUUAAUGAUUAAAAAAAAGGUGCUUGUUAUUUAAUCUUCACGAACCUUUAAAUGCGUAUAUAAAUUUCUCUCAAUAAUUCUUACCGUUAAAUAAAUUAAGAUUGAUGAAAAAUAACGGAUAAAAAUGUGAAAGAAGUAUAAAUUAAUGGGCGUUGAGUUAAUAUAUUAUUUUUGGCAAGGCAAACUCCUAAAUGUGUAUCUAAUUUUUAAAUCUCUCCCAAUAAUUUUUACCAUUAAAUAAACUUAAGAUUGACAAAAAUGAUGGAUAAAAAUAAGAAAAAAGGUAUAAAUUAACGAAAAUGAGUUAAUAUACUUUUGGUGGGCCAAAUUGGGCGCCGCAUCAGCCAAAAAAAGGCUUCCACGCACCUUCAUGGAGGUGUAAUACACGCACCUUGUCAACUCAACAAAAGGUGCCAAAUGACCCACUUUAUGGCUACUUGAGGUGCCAAAAGUGAGCGAUGUCCACUUGAGGUGUGUAAGUGAAAGAUCGCGCGUACUUAAAGAGUCUGGCAAUGGGUUUGGCCUUUGGAAAAGAAAGGAGAAUUGUGGAAGACGAUGGGUGGGUGUGGAACAUUAUGAUGAUGUGGGGGCCCUUUUCUUUUUGUAGAAUGUGUUGGUGGAGUGCUAGGUCUGAAAGGGUAGGCGGGAAAUAUUAUUAUUUGGGGAGAAAUAAAAUUACGUGUCUACAAUGUACAAACAUAUGGUGUCGAUAUAUAGUUACAGAAAAAUAUAAAGAACCAAUAUAAUUAUCUUGAAAAAAUAUUUUAUGCUAUAAACAAUUAAAAUUAAAUUACGUAAAAAGAAUUGCAGUGUCAUGUUAUGUACGUACGCAAAUGACUAUGCAAAAAUGUUAAAAUUAUAAUAAACUGAUAAAAAUCCUAAAAUUUAUGAAAUUAAGGGUGUGAAUAUUUGUGGUGUUAUAGUAAAAAAAAAAAAAAUUGUGUUAUGUGGUAGGUGGGAUGUUAGGUGGGAAAGAGAUAAGUGGGGUAGGGUACGGAAAGGUAAAAAAUGAAUAAAUAUUAAUUAUUCAGGGAGGGAUAAAAUUACACGUCUAUAGUAUAUUAAUAUUCAUCAAUACUACGUUACUAUUCAUCGUUACUUUUCAUCAAUCAUCUCAAUACGGUAAAAAAAUGUGACGUCACGUUGUGCACGUGUGCGGAUGAUUUUAAAAAUAUUAAAAGAUAAUAAAUUAAUAAAAGUUCCGAAAUAAGAAAAAAUAUUAAUAAAUUAUGAAAAGUAAAAAUGUGACAACAAAUUGAUUAAAAUCCUAAAGUAAGUAUGAUUAUCAAUAAUUUAUCAAAAAAAUAUAAAAAGGUGUAAAAAUUAUAUUUUGUGCCUUUAAUGAUCAGGAAGACUGAAGACGUUAAUUUAAGGCAUGAAGAGCAAAAAUUGGGUGUAACACCCACUUUUCGAAGCCCAAGAUAUUGUCAUAUUCUAGAGACCCAAAUAAGCGUCACAUGUCAAACGAUGUGACAUGCCUAGUCAAGCGAAAGAAUCAUUACGAUCAUGCCACAUUUCAAAAUGAUGCAGCAGGCAUAGUGAAAUCAAAAACCCAUAAAAGGUGUCAUAUCACUUAAAUUUGAUUGAUCAAAGGAAGUUCAUAUUCAUCAUGAUUCUUCCUUUUUCACAACUAUAAAUAGGGUCUCAUAAUUCAGAAAAAACCCCAGAACUCUAACAAGAACCAAGAGAAAACUCGUGGAUCAAACCCCGCAAUUUCUCAACAAAGCUCAAGUUCAUCAAGAUUCAAAGUCAACACCGCAAUAUUCAAGAACAAGCUCAAAAGCCCUUGAAUUCAAGCACAAGUUAAGAUCAAAUCCCUCAAAUUAACAAAUCAAGUUCAAAUUCAAGAUCAAGCUUUAAUCCCUUGAAUUUAUAUUUGAAAAAUUCAAGAUCAAGCUUUAAUCCCUUGAAUUUAUAUUUGAAAAGACGAAUCAAAGAAUUCAUAGAGAUUGUAACACUCACAUAUUAAAAUCAAUAAAACAAUUAUUGCAAUAUUUUCUUGUCUCGAUUAUUUAUUUUUCGGCCUCGAGAAUUUUAUUUUCCAACAACAUAUUUUACUAAUUAAAAAUUAAAGAAAGCUAAGCAUUAUCAGUAAAUUCAUAACCAAAAGUACAAAGAUUUGAGCUCUAAGACACAUUUUUCAAGUGGCUCUUAAAGUUAUCCUUUUCAGAGACAAGAUUAUACAAAGAAUUAGAGUUUGUGACCACUGAGUGACCCAGUACUGCACCAUUUAUUGGUUUGAAAAGAACUACUCGACCUCGUACAUACAUUAUUAUUAAGUCCACCCAACUUUUAAAUGUAGAUUUAAUACGUUCACCUAACGUUAAAGCGUUAUUAGUAAAAUGCUCUCAGUAUUUUGUUUUCAUUCAAGUUUUAUGCUUUCAUCCUGUUCAUGUGAUAUUUUUCAUUUUGGGGAGUUAAUUUGAUUAAUUUUUAAAGUAAUAUUAAUUUAAUUUAAUAUUAAGAUAUUUGAUCACUAUACGAAACCUUUGCGACAAAGAGAAUACCACUUUAUAGAAUAAAACACUCUAUAUUAAAGACAACUCUGUUAACUUAAAUUAAGUCGAACUUCUUAUUAAAGAAAGACAAAAUGAUCUAAUGAACCCUUAUACUUGUUUUCGUUUGUAGAGUAGACACCUCUACUUAACCAUUUAUCAUCUGAACGCUUCAACCUAUCAAAAUACAAGAUUUUAAAUCCUUCAGACCAUGUGUGGCCAGAGGCGGAGCUAGAAUUUUUACUGAGUGGGUUCAAAAUCUAAAGAAAAACUCACCGAAGGACGUUCAACAUUUGCAAUAUAUGCAUAAAAAUUAUUUUAAUUAUUUAUUAAUUGUAUAAUUUUUCAUCGAAAAUGAUUCAAACCAACCCCCAAUUAUUAGGCUGGCUCUGCCUCUGUGUGUGACCCACUCUCCGUAAAAAAAUUUCACAUCAUAUCCACGUCACAUAAAUCAAUGACAUGUCAUAAUAUCUUCAUUAAUUAAUUUUAAAAAUUACUAAUCAAUAAUAUUAAAUAAAAAAUAAAAUAAUAAAUUAAAAUUUUAUUUUUUAAAAUAAAACUCAUGUCCAUCAUUAUUUAAAAAUUAAAAAUAACAAUUUAUAUUCAUCCCCAACCGCCUCCACAUCAAUUUCCACAGUAUUUUUAAAUAUUACAUUAAAUUUGAUAAUAUUUUUAAACGGCACAUAAGAAAUUAAAUCUUAAAAUAAAUUUUAUUCCAGCAAGUCCUGCGGUUGAAUAUCGUUAAAGUAGCUGUAAUUGUGCGAGUAAGGGUUGAAUAUCGUUAAAGUAGCUGUAAUUGUGCGAGUAAGGGGGGGAGGGGGUUUCCCUUUUUCUAAUUUGUUUUAAAAGCUAUUUUAAUAUAAAAACGACGCUCACUCGCACCCACGCGUGUGACUACACACGUUGUGUCCAACUCAGUCGCCUUAAAGCCACAUAGGCUUGAUCAACGAUCAUAGAGAUUAAACAUGUUGUGUUUUGAUGAGUUGAGGGGUUCAAAUGACAAAGAGCUAAGUAAAAGUGUCCACUUUACAAACAAGAAUACAGAGCUCCAUUAGACCAUUUCGCAUCAAAGAAAAGAUUAUGUUGUUCUUAGAUAGCUUCAAAUAAGUUUCACGAUUACAAAAACCAAUAGUUUAUUUAAGUAUUUUGUUUAUAAAGUGUAACAUUUGAUUAUUUAAAAUUAAAUAAUUUUGUUUAUUGCAAAAAAAAAAAAAUUAAUAAAGUGUAAAAGUUCAAAUCACUUUUCAAAAAUCUUUCACACUUUAAUAUAAUAACUAAUUUAGGUAUAUGCGCUUCGCGCAUGUACCUUACUGUAUUUAGUUCAAUCGUUACACUAAAUAGGAUAUUUCUCUAAACAACAAAGAUGAAUACAAUAAUUAAAUUAAACAUAUUUUGAAGAAUUUAUUUAAUUAAAUCUGGCCUUUACCAAAAACAAUUGUUAAAGAUGAUCAACAUUAAACAAUAUAAUUAAAUCUAUUAUUUACACAAAAAUUUUCUCAAAGUCGCCUGACACUUAUCUACCAUAUGUAAACUAUAACAAAAUAAUACGAUAAUAGACAUAUCAAAAUAAUACAACUAAACUUAACUUUUACACAAAAAUAUACUCAAAACAGAGAUAUAAAAAUAAUACAAUUAAACUUAACCUUUACCUAAAAAGAUUCCUCAAAGCUGAUUGACAUUCAUCUCCCACCUGUAAAUUCAUCUACGACUUGUAAAUUAUAACAAAAUAAUAGAAUAGUGAUUACAAAGUUUCGGUUUUGAUGAAAAUAAUUCUUUUCUGAGUGAAAAUUUUGACUUUAAAAAAUGACUUGAAUAAAAACAAAGAAGAUAUAUAUAUACACAUACGUUGAAUUCUAUUAUGUUGACAAAAACAAUGAAGAAAUUGAGGGUUAGAAAAUUAAGCAUCCACCAAUCUAGACAUGCAACCGAAUUAAGUUAGAUGAACAUCAAUCAUUUUUUUUUCACUAAUUAAAUUGAUUUAUUCGGUAGUUUAACGUGCAUCCCAAUAUUUAUAGAAGUAUUUUCUUAAUAGAAUCCUAUUUUAGGAGUAUUUUUCUAUCAUAUUUUUGGUGUAUUUUUCUAAUUGAUUAGUACAAGGAAAAAAAUUAAUUGAUUCUCCUUCCAUAUAUUUUAGGAGUCUAGUUAAUAUAAAAAAAUAAUUAAAUAAUAAAUUGAAGUAAAUAGUAAAAAGACAAUUUUGUCUAAAGAAAGGUUUUUCAAUGAAGGACAAAAAGUUCAAAUAACUUUUCUAAGGAUUUUCACACUUUUAAUAUAUUAUAGAUAAAUUAUAGAUGUAAAUAUAAGCAUAUAAUCUGGUUUUCCUUAAAUUUAUCUUCUUCUAACGGAUUUAUAUUUAUUUUUAAAUUUUUUAAAUCUUCUUAAAAUCAAAUUUAGUUGAUUUAGAAUUCUUAAACUAAUGAAAAUUGUAUUAGUUGUGAUUAAUUUUGAUGGCUUUCAAUAAAGAAAGGUUUUAUUAUAAACAUAUUUAAUUAAUUUUCAACUCUUAAAAUAGGAAAAAUAGUGAAAUUAUGAUGACUUCUAAUAAGGAAAGAAAAUGCUUUACCAUUAAUAUAUUUAAUUAAUUCCAACUCUUAAAUAUUAGGAAAAAAUAGUGAAAAUACAAUUUAAUCUAAAGUAAAUUUUAUUAAUGAAGAGCAAAAAGUUCAAACAAUAUUUCUAAAGACUUCACACUUUUAAUAUAUUAUAGAUAUAUAUAUUAAAACAAAUUUUAAGAAAAUAUUUGUUGGGCCCGUGCCUUGCACGAGCUAUUAGUAACUAGUGUGUGUGUGUGUGUGUGUAUAUAUAUAUAUAUAUAUACACACACUAGUUGAACCACACGUAUCUCGCACGUGUAAUCUUUCGUUAUUUAAAAUUAGACAAUUUUGUCUAUUACAAAAAUUUUUAAUGAAGUGUGAAAAGUUCAAAUCAGUGGGUGAAGAAUAGAAUUUUUGUAACUAUAUAUUUUUGGUUUGACAUGAGAAGAAGGGUUAUUCUUUUUUUAAAAAAAAUUAUUUUUUGUUUUCUGGAUAUUAAUUGGGAUUUUUGGGUUAUCCUCUUUUAGUUAUUAAUCGUAAGUUUUCUUUAGAUGAUGGAAAAGAAAUCUUAUUUUUGUGAGAAAGGUUUUUCUUUUUGCAAUAUAGUAAAUAUUUAAUAUUAUUAAAAUAAUAGGAGAUAGGUGAAAAGAUAAAUUUGUAUAAAGCGAAUACUUUUAACAAAGGACAAUAAAUUCAAACGAUAUUUUUAAGACCUUUACACUUUUAAUAUAUGAUAGAUUAUAAAUAACUUAAAUAUUGAAAAAUUAAAAUCCUGCCUUCAUCCUAAGAGUGUUAAUUCAAACCCUUCAUUGAAAAUUAUAAAAUAUGAAUUAUUAUAUAUAUAUAUNNNNNNNNNNNNNNNNNNNNNNNNNNNNNNNNNAGGUAAUUUUUGUGAAUUGAUGUGAUGGAGGAGAAUCCAUGUUUGAUUAUGGUGUCAUUUAAGAUCCCUUCAUUGAAAUUAUACUAUAUGUUAAAUUCUCAUAGUUUCUUCACGUGUUAUAUUCUCUUAAAAAACAUUAUUAAAUUUUCUUACUAAAAUUCAAAAUUUAUCAUUUUAUUUUGUAAUACAUAUUAAUUAAAUUAUGCCAAUUUUUUUUUCAAAUCCAACAACAUAUUAUUAUCAUAACAUUUUGAUCAUGCAUGGUUGUUGAAUUUUUCAAGUACGUUAUGCUAUUCGUUACUGAGAUGGACAAAACACAUUAUUCGAAGAAAGCAACAAUACAUAAGAAGAACACAAAAAUGUACUCUGUAUUAUUGGUCCACUCUCAAUAAUUAUAACAUAAGCAUUCACGUGAAUAAUAAAAUUUCUAACUUGUUUUAUUCUUUUUUUUUUUUUAAAUCUUUUUGGAGUUUCCAAUCAAGGUUUUACAUUGCAGAACUUCAAUUGUUAAGAGACAAAAAUUGAAGACCAAUUUAUUUUACUGAAAAAAUUCAAAGACCAACUAAUUUAAGAGACAAUUCAUGCUAAUUUAAGAAAAAAUUGCUAUGUUAUUUAUUCGCUACGCCUACAUUAUUACUAUGUCAUUUUCUUUAGAUGUUAAAACAAGUAGAUAAUUUAGAUAUAUUGCCGCAAUUUCUGUGAUAGAGAAUUCCUCUUCAAUCAAUGGCAUAGUCAUCCUUGUUCAAGAGGAGUCAUCAAAUAAAGAGAUAAAAGUAAUAUGUACAUAGACAUCUAUAGGAAAAAUAAAAUGUAUUGAGUACCUGUGAAAAGUUUAAUACUUGCGACAACCAGAAAGCAAAUCACCAUUUCCAUAAAAAAUAGUUGAAAAGGAAAAGAGAUUGAUAAACCUUUGAUCUUCUUUGCUACUUAAAAAAAUGUGUCGAUGUAAGCUCAACUUUUUUUUAUAAAAUACUAUCUUUAGUUGUUUCUCAUAAUUGAUAGAUGUUUUUGUUCGUAACCUUUUUCACCUGAAUUAGUUUUGAUUGGUACAAUAUUAAUUUGUAUUAUUAGUUUUUGUAAUUAGAUAUUUAAAGCUUUCACUUUGUCAUUAUGCAUGGGCAUAUCUCGCGCCUCCACUUGCAGAUUUCCUACACUAUAAUUCUUAACAGUUUGACCCACGUUAUGGCUUAUCUAUGCACAUAAAUAUUUUUAUAUAUGAAUUUUUCUAUUUUAUAUAUUCUUUCUAUAUAUAUGCUUUUUUUUAUAUAUUUUGGAGCUCCAUAAUUAUUAAUUCUCUUGACAUAUAUUACUCUAUAUUUUUUUUAUUAUCACUAGUUUAGCUGCACGUGCCUCGCACGUGUAACUUUUGAUUAUUUAAAAUUAAACGAUUUUAUCUAUUACGAAGGUUUUCAAUGAAGUGCAAAAAGUUCAAAACAGAUAUUUUAGUAUAAAUACAUAUAUAUAAAUGAGAAAAUAAUUACGUUGUUAGAUUCGAACAUGCGAGAAUAUCAAACCUAGAAAUCAAAAUUCACAAACAAAACAGAUGUGAUAAUGCUUGAUGUGUUGAACUUAAAAUCACUCCUAAGCUAAAGAAAAAAUAUUAAGUUACGAAACCAAUAGAAAAGGAAAAACAACUCAAAGAGAGAGAGAGAGAGAAUAACACACUAACCUGGAGGAUGACAAUUACAAUGGAUGAAGAAAACAUAAAAUAAAAGCGUGGGAUGGGACAAUAUAUAUUAAUAUAAAAAUAUGUUGAAAAUUAAACCUAUAUAAAUUACAAAACAAAUAGGAGUCCUAAUUUAAGAAAAAAACUUACCAUAUUUUAAAGUCCUAAUUCAUUAACAUAUUUUAAAAUCCCAACCUAUAUAUUUUAGGAUUCAAAAUUAUAUAUAUAAUUAAAUAAUAAUUGGAGAAAAAAAGUGAAAAGACGAUUUUGUCUAUUGUAAAGUGUUUUAAUGAAGGACAAAAAGUUCAAAUCACUUUUCUAAAGGCCUUCACACUUUUAAUAUAUAUAUAUAUAGAGAGAGAGAGAGAGAGAGAAAGAGUUUGUCAAUUAUCCAUAAAGGCUUAUGGAUAACAAACCUCUAUACUAUGUUACUCGAGAAAAUUGAAGAAAGGUGUCUUUUAAAUCUUGAAUGAAGGAUUGGUGAUAUUGACCAAUUAAAGGAUCAAACAUAAUUAAAAAAUUUGAUUAGGUUAAUUGUGGACUUGAUUAAUAUUUUCUAAACUUUUUAAUCUUUUCAAAAAUACAAAUUAACCCACACCCACAAAACUUUCCUCCCUCUGCAAAUCAAUCUCUCUCUCUUCUCUCUUUCUCUCGAUAGUUUAUCUCUCUAACUUCUUCCAACCAACAACUUUUCAAAUUUUUCCCUUCAAUUUUGCGCAACUUCAACUUCUGGCAACAAAUAGUUUUAAGUUUUUGCCCAUUCCUUUUUAACUUUCAACCGUCAUUCGACGUGACAACAUUCUCUGGCGACAAUAACUUCGAGUUCUUCAUCGUUUCUUUUCGAUUUUCAAGAGAAAAAAAUUAGGGCUUUGAAGUUAUGAAGAAAAUGAGGAACUUGAUUUGUUGUUGUUUGUUAUUUUUUUAUGUUUUUUUUUAUAAUUUUUUUAAUAUUUAUUAUUUUUUAGUUGAAUUUCUCAUCUGGAUGUAUCUGGUACUUCUGUUUUUUAAUAAUGGAUAAAACAUAUAAUGUAAAUCCAACAUAUGAGUAUUUGUUGCAACAUAUCUCUUUAUUCAAAUUAAGUAAUUAUUAAUAAUAACUAAAUUAAUUUAAUUAAAACUGAAGAGAAGUCUUUAAUACAAGACCUUAGACAAGGGGACAAAUGUUUGAAUUCUCCUAAAAACAUUUGAGCUUUAGUAUUUUAAAUUGUUUUUCAACAUAUAUCGAACUCGGAACCAAAAUGAGCCACAGAAUUAAAAAAGUGACCAAAAUAGGCCACUUAUUUAAAAAGUUACCAAAAUAGGCUAAACGUAAUAGUUUAUUACAUUUUCUAACGGUCAACUAACGGAGCUGACUUUUACAAAAAUAUAAGAAUUUCUUACGUUUUACAAGAUAACCGAGGAAAAAUACAAUGAAUUGUCAAAUCCAUUAAAAAGGUACUUAAAAAAGAGUUGUUCAACGUAACAAAAAGUUACGUUCUUAACUUUUUUAUAGCAGUGGUCCCCCACCCACAAUUUUUUUUUCCACAAAUGUCCCAUCACUUCUACUUUUUCCUCUUUUUACAUAUGAUAAUUAAAAUUUAUUGGUUAAAUUUAUUUAUAUUGUACAUGUAGUUCAAAUAAUUAAUUUUGCUAAUAUCCUAAUCGAAACACUAAUCGAAAACUACGAUGAAUAACUAUCCGAAAAAAUUAAUUUCAUAUUUUUAACACACCAAAAAAAUAUAAUUCUUGUAUAUUGUAGCAUAUUUGAUCGAUGAUAAUUCAACAUUUCACUAUUUUGGAGUAGAGAAAAACUCAAAAUUAUAAUUUUUUUAAGAGAAAAUCAGACAAUUAAAGAUAGAAGUGAUUAUUUUUGUCUAUAGAAUAAAUAUAAGAAAAUUGUUAAGUUAAUGAGGUAAUUGAUACUUCUAUUUUUUAAAUUUUUUAUGUUAAACGUAAAGAUUUAUUAGAUAGAGGAAAAAAUAAAUUAUUUGAACUACAUGUAAAAUAUAAAUAAAUUUAACUAAUAAAAAAAUUCAUAAUUAUCAUAUGUAAAAAGAGGAAAAANNNNNNNNNNNNNNNNNNNNNNNNNNNNNNNNNNNNNNNNNNNNNNNNNNNNNNNNNNNNNNNNNNNNNNNNNNNNNNNNNNNNNNNNNNNNNNNNNNNNNNNNNNNNNNNNNNNNNNNNNNNNNNNNNNNNNNNNNNNNNNNNNNNNNNNNNNNNNNNNNNNNNNNNNNNNNNNNNNNNNNNNNNNNNNNNNNNNNNNNNNNNNNNNNNNNNNNNNNNNNNNNNNNNNNNNNNNNNNNNNNNNNNNNNNNNNNNNNNNNNNNNNNNNNNNNNNNNNNNNNNNNNNNNNNNNNNNNNNNNNNNNNNNNNNNNNNNNNNNNNNNNNNNNNNNNNNNNNNNNNNNNNNNNNNNNNNNNNNNNNNNNNNNNNNNNNNNNNNNNNNNNNNNNNNNNNNNNNNNNNNNNNNNNNNNNNNNNNNNNNNNNNNNNNNNNNNNNNNNNNNNNNNNNNNNNNNNNNNNNNNNNNNNNNNNNNNNNNNNNNNNNNNNNNNNNNNNNNNNNNNNNNNNNNNNNNNNNNNNNNNNNNNNNNNNNNNNNNNNNNNNNNNNNNNNNNNNNNNNNNNNNNNNNNNNNNNNNNNNNNNNNNNNNNNNNNNNNNNNNNNNNNNNNNNNNNNNNNNNNNNNNNNNNNNNNNNNNNNNNNNNNUGUAAUUACCAUGAGAUUAAUUGAAACAAUAAUUGAACUUAUUAAUACUAGUUAAAUCAAUUUAGUUAUUACUAAUAUAAUGGCUUAAUAUGAAUAAAUAGAUGACUAAGAUGUUGCAAAAGAUGAGUAAUCUGUUGAAAAUGACCAAACAGAUAAAGACAUCUGUGGAACAGAUUAGCCACCUAUUGCAACAGAUUAGUAAUCUAUUGGAAAUAACAAACAAAUAAAGUCAUAUAUUGCAACAGAUAGGGCAUCUUUUGGAAAUGACCAGCAAAUAAAGACAUUUGUUACAACAGAUGACUAAUCUAUUGCAACAUAUGUGUUUAUCUGUUUGAUAAUUUUCAACAAAUGAUUCAUCUGUUGCAACAGAUUAAAUCUGCUGCAAUAGGUUAUACACUUAAAUGAUCAUGUAAUUACUAUGAGAUUAAUUGAAAUUGUAAUUAUUAAAUCAAUUUGGCUGUUACUAAUAAUGGCCAAUUUGAAUCAUUUCAAAUAAAAUUAGUCAAUUGAUCACUCUACUCAGAACGAACACAUUAAGAUGAUCGUGUAAUUAAUAUGAGAAUAAUUGAAAUCGUAAUUGAACUUAUCAAUUCAUCUUUAAUUUUAGUUAUAUCAAUGUAGCAAUUACUAAUAAUAUCUUAAUUUAAAUCAUUUCAAAUAAAAUUAAUCAAUUAACACUUUACUCAAGACGAAUACACUUAGAUGAUCAUGUAAUUACUAUAAGAUUAAUUGAAAUCGUAAUUAAAAUUAUCAAUUCAUCUUUAAUUUUAGUUAAAUUAAUUUAAUUAUUACUAAUAAUUGCUUGAUUUUAAUUAUUUCAAAUAAAAUUGAUCAAUUGAUCAUUCUACUUAAGACGAAACACUAAGUUGAUCAUGUAAUUACUAUAAAAUUAAUUGAAAUUGUAAGUCAACUUACUAAUAAAUCUUUAAUUUUAGUUAAAUCAAUAUAGUUAUUUCUAAUUAUGGUUUGGUUUUAAUCAUUUCAAAUAAAAUUGGUCAAAUGAUCACUCUACUCAGGAUGAACAUACUUAGUUGAUAGUGUAAUUACCAUGAAAUUAAUUAAAACUGUAAUUGUACUUAUUAAUUCAUGUUUAAUUCUAGUUAAAUAAUUUUAGUUAUUACUAAUAUAAUGGUUUAAUAUGAAUCAUUAGAUGACUAACAUGUUGCAAAAGAUGAGUAAUCUAUUGAAAAUGACUAAACAGAUAAAGACAUCUGUUUGAAAUGACCAAACAGAUAAAAACUUCUAUUGGAAAUGACCAAACAAAUAUAGACAUAUGUUGUAACAGAUGACUAACCUGUUGCAAUAAAUGACUCAUCUAUUGAAAAUUAUCAAACAAAUAUAGACAUCUGUUGCAACAGAUGACUAAGUUGUUGCAACAGAUGACUCAUCUGUUGAAAAUUAUCAAACAUAUAGGAUAUAUGUUGGAAAAUAAUUUAAAUACUAAAGCUCAGAUGUUUUUAAGAGAACUCAAACGUUUUUUCCCUUGUCUAAGGUCUUGUCUUUAGUUUUAGUUAAAUCAUUUUAGUUAUUAAUAGUAAUUGCUUAAUUUGAAUCAUUUUAAAUAAAAUUUAUCAAUUGAUCAUUCUAUUAAGGACGGAUACAUUAAUUAAAAUUGUAAGUGGACUUAUCGAUCCAUCUUUAAUUUAGUCAAAAUCAAUUUAUUUAUUACUAACAAUGACUUAAUUUGAAUCAUUUGAAAUAAAAUUGGUCGAUUAAUCACUCUCCUCGAGACGAAUACACAUAGUUGAUCAUGUAAUUACUAUGAGAUUAAUUGAAAUUGUAAGUAAACUUAUCAAUUCAUCUUUAAUUUUAUUUGUUNNNNNNNNNNNNNNNNNNNNNNNNNNNNNNNNNNNNNNNNNNNNNNNNNNNNNNNNNNNNNNNNNNNNNNNNNNNNNNNNNNNNNNNNNNNNNNNNNNNNNNNNNNNNNNNNNNNNNNNNNNNNNNNNNNNNNNNNNNNNNNNNNNNNNNNNNNNNNNNNNNNNNNNNNNNNNNNNNNNNNNNNNNNNNNNNNNNNNNNNNNNNNNNNNNNNNNNNNNNNNNNNNNNNNNNNNNNNNNNNNNNNNNNNNNNNNNNNNNNNNNNNNNNNNNNNNNNNNNNNNNNNNNNNNNNNNNNNNNNNNNNNNNNNNNNNNNNNNNNNNNNNNNNNNNNNNNNNNNNNNNNNNNNNNNNNNNNNNNNNNNNNNNNNNNNNNNNNNNNNNNNNNNNNNNNNNNNNNNNNNNNNNNNNNNNNNNNNNNNNNNNNNNNNNNNNNNNNNNNNNNNNNNNNNNNNNNNNNNNNNNNNNNNNNNNNNNNNNNNNNNNNNNNNNNNNNNNNUGAAACACUUAAUUGAUCAUUUAAUUAUUGAGAUUAAUUGAAAUCGUAAUUGAACUUACUAAUUCAUCUUUAAUUUUAGUCAAAUCAAUUUAGUUAUUUCUAAUAAUGGUUUAAUAUGAGUUAUUUCACAUAAAUUUGUCAAUUAAUCAUUUUACUCAGUACGAAACACUUAAUUGAUUAUGUAAUUACUAUGAAAUUAAUUGAAAUCAUAAUUGAACUUACUAAUUCAUCUUUAGUUUUAGUCAAAUCAAUAUAGUUAUUUCUAAUGAUGACUUUUUGAAUCAUUUCAAGUAAAAUUGGUCAAUUGAUCACUCUACUCAGGACGAACAUACUUAGUUGAUCGUGUAAUUACCAUGAGAUUAAUUGAAACUAUAAUUGAACUUAUUAAUUCAUAUUUUAUUUUAGUAAUCAAUUUAGUUAUUACUAAUAAUGACUUAAUGUGAAUCAAUAGAUGACUAACAUGCUACAAUAGAUGAGUAAUCUGUUGGAAAUGACCAAACAAAUAAAAACAUCUGUUGAAAAUGACUAAACAAAUAUAGACAUCGGUUGCAACAAAUGACUCACUUGUUGCAACAACUAAUUCAUCUAUUGAAAAUUAUCAAACAAAUAUAGACAACUGUUGCAACAGAUGACUAAGUUGUUGCAACAUAUGACUCAUCUGUUGGAAAUUACUAAAUAGACAAAAUAUGUGUUGAAAAAUAAUUUAAAAUACUAAAGCUCAAAUAUUUUUUAGGAGAACUCAAACGUUUCCCCCUUGUCUAAGGUCUUGUCUUCAAUUUUAGUUAAAUCAAUUUAAUUAUUACUAAUAAUUGCUUAGUUUAAAUCAACAAAUGACUAACUUGUUAUAAAUAUUUAUUGCAACAGAUGACUAACUUGUUGCAACAAAUAGGUGGUCUAUUGAAAAAUAAUUAAAAUACUAGAGAACUCAAACAUUUUUAGGAGAACUCAAAUGUUUGUCCCAUUGCCUUAAAGACUUAUCUUUAAUUUUAGCUAAAUCAAUUUAGUUAUUACUAAUAAUUGGUUAAUUUGAAUCAACAGAUGACUAACAUGUUGCAACAGAUGAUUCAUCAGUUGAAAAUUAUCAAACAGAUAGAAAAUCUGUUAUAAUGGAUGGUUUAUCAAUUAGAAAGCAAUUAAAAAACUAGGAAACUUAAAUAUUUUUAGAAGAACUGAAACGUUUGUCCCCUCGAUCCUUUUGCAUUUGAUGUAUGAUACACUAUUUUUGUCUUCUUUACCCGUUUCAUAAAAUUUUUCAUGUGUUUCACUUAUUCAUUGUGCCCUUGUUGAAAUUUUUAGAAUUUUUUUAGGUCAAAUUUUGUUCGCAUAUCACUUGGACAUUACUUUAUAGGUGAUUUUGUAAGUAUAAUUAUAAUUUUUGUUGAAUUUUUUAUUUGGUAUAGUUGCUACUGCUACAAUAGAUAGAACCUGCAACAUGAAUUCAAUAUAUGAGUCAUUUAUUGCAAUAAGUGAGUAAUCUGUUGCAACAUAUGACUAAUCUCUUGCAACAGAUUACCCAUAUGUUGAAUUCAUGUUACAACACUAUAGUACAAAUCCAACAGAUGAGUAAUCUGUUGCAACAGAUUAGUCAUAUAUGUUGCAACAGAUUACUCAUAUAUAUGUUGCAACAGAUUAGUCAAUAUGUUGCAACAGAUUACUCAUAUGUGCAACAGAUUACUCAUCUGUUGGAUUCACGUUAUAUGUUUUAUCUACUAUUGAAAAAAAAAACAGUAGCAGAUACACCCAGAUGAGAAAUUCAACUAGAAAUUAUAAUUUUACUUACUAAAAUCACCUAUAAGUAAUUACCAAGUGAUAUACAAAUAAAAUUUGACCUAAAAAAUUUGAUCAAGUAGCAAUAGUAGAGGUAACAACAAUGUUCAACAAUAAGAAGAUGAUGAUGAUGAACAAGAAGAGAUGGUAAUGAAGAACAAGAUGAUGAUAAUGAAGAAGAAGAUGAUGAAUAAAGCAAAAACAACAAUGAACAACAAAAUCACGAAGAGAGAAAACUCCAAUAAAUGAGAAGAGAGAGAAACAUGCCUUUUUUUCACCUCCAUUUCUAGUUAUAUUAGGUUUUACAUUGGAUCAAAGUGUAAAUUAAAAAACUUGUGAGUUAUUUUCAAACUUUUCUUACUUUCUUAAUCCUUAAUAAAGUAAUUGCCACCUCAACUCAAUUAUUAAGACUCUGUCACCCACACUUCAUUUUAAAAUUCUUUUGUCAGCUAGAGCCAAAGCCCCAAGUUACCCCUUUCUUUUUUAGCGUAAAGGCUAAUGGAUAAUGAACCACUAUAUUAAUUUGAGAUCGCCAUAAAAAAUUAAGGAUUUAAAUUAAUAAUUUAUACAUAUUAAAUAAAAUUUUGAAGAUACAUACAUAUAUUGGAUCAAAAUUAUUGAGCUUUGUUGAAACUUAAAAAAGAAAGAUUACAUCCAAACUUAAUUAUUUGAAUUUAGUUUUUUGAAUUCGAAGACAUAAAUUCAAAUUGAAGUCUUCAUAUUUAAUCUGAAAUAUCUGAAUGCCCGCCCUAAAUUAACAUCUUUGAUUUAGUCGGUGUAUUAUUGUAAAGACUAAUAAAAGUAGUGUAACAGGACGGGAUAGGUGAUUCUUAUCGGAGUUGGCGAAAAUUUAUUUACUCUUUCUAUUUUAUUUUUAUGUGACACUAUUUUUUUUAACUUGUUUUAAAAAAAAAAAAUUUCUUUUGAUGUAUUUUUUUUUAAAAAUUAUAUUACAUUUAAUGACAGAAUUUAUAAUCACAUAAAUAUUAUGAUAUAUUUAGAUAAAAGACAUCAAAUCACCUUUAAAUCGUUAAAUUUAUCUGCAUAACUUACUUUUAUACUUCAAACUUUAUGGAUAAUUCUUUACACCUCCCUCCUAAACUUUUUUCAAUUGAAUCUAAUGCCUCCUUAAAGUUGACAUGUCAAAACAAGUGAUACUACUCAAUUACAAGUACGCUAUGAAUGAAAAAUAUAAAAUAAAUUCAUUUAACUAUACACGUAUCACCUUUUAAUUGAAGGUUAUUAAUUAAUUACUAAUUCUUAGUGGUCUUUCUCUUUUCAGUUUUUUUCUAAUUCUCUUUCUUUUUUUUUUCUUUUGGUUAAAAGGAAAGGGGGGGGAUUGCAUUAAACAAUAAAGGUCCCCGAAGGGAGUACAAAACACAAAGUUAAUCCGAAUUCAUUACAAAAGAUUUAGAGGCAUUCCCCUCAGUAAAGUUUGAAGAUUGUUUGAUCCUUCUAACAAAUGAGUUCUAGUCAUGUCUGCCCAUAGCGAAGGGUCGGCACACAUUGGUGGAACUUCAAAAUUUUUUACUUCGAGUUCCACUUCUGAGACAACUGCCUUCUUAGCCAAGACAUCGGCUACUCUAUUUUGUUCUCUAAAGCAAUGGACCACCGAUGGGUUUCCUAUUCUUCCGAGUCUUAACCUGCAAUCAUCAAUAAUUGAAUUGUAGAGUAAGUUGUAAGAGUACAACAUAGAAAUAACCUCAGUAGAGUCAAUGUUAAUCACAACUGGUAACAAGUUUCAUUCCUCCACUAGUUGGAGUCCUUCCUUGAGGGCUAACAACUCUAUUUGGUUAUUUGUGGCCCAUUGAAAGCUUUUAGUAAAACCCAUAACCCAACACCAUAUAGCAUUGCAAAUUAGACCACCAAUUUCCUCUUUUCCAGGAUUCCCAAAGAAAGAACCAUCAGUGUUCAGUGUAUAAUGAUACUCGAGAGGGGGGAGGGGGAAUUUUAUAGAAAUGUCAUAAAGGAGGCCGAAGGGUUGGGGGUUUUAAUAAGUAAGGUGCACUCAAUGGCUUCAGCAUGUGUCAAGGUGAAAGAAGGCUUAUCCUUUUUUUUAUCAAAGGAGUUAUGGUUCCUAUUUUUCCAUAUUUCCCAAAGAGCAAAGGAGAGCAUAUUGUGCCACUCUAACAAGGUAUCAAAUUUUUUUCUGCCCAUCCUAGACCAAGUUGUGGUCCAACUUUCUAGGAAAAAAUCUUUGAUGGAGAUUUUUAAACCCCCAUAGUUAGUAUUGAGAAGACUAUGCCAGAAAUCUAUGAUAAUGGGACACUCAUGUAAAAUGUGAGUGAUGUUUUCCUUAGGAUGGUUGCAAAUGUCACAGUUGGGGGUGAUGGGAAUUCCCAUUUUAUGUAGCUUUGUUUUAGUAGGCAGCCUGUUGUGUUGGGCCAGCCAAAGGAAGGAUCUAAUUUUUUGAGGGCAAGGAGUCUUCCAAAUCUACCCAAAAGAGUUGGGAAUUAAAGAUUCGGGCUGUUUAUGAAUACCAAAGAUGCUGUGAUAAACAUUUCUGCUAGAGAAAAGGCUAUUGCUAUUAGAGCUCUAUAUCAUUUUAUGGAGAUUAGGAUUACAGUGGAAGGAGUUCUAGUUUUCAUUGGUAAUGGUGGGGGAAAGUUGAACGGAGAGGUUGGAGAAGUCCCAAAGUCCCUCUUUCCACACCUAAGACACCCUCCUCCUAUCUUGGUCCAAGCUUAAGGGGCCAACAAUCAGAUUUCUGAGAGGACCUGAGUUAGGGAUCCAACUGUCAUACCAAAAACUAAUGAUAUCCCCAUUUUGGAUGAGCUAGUGAGCACCCUAAAGACAAUAUCUCUAUCCCUUGGUGAUAUUCUUCCAGGUUCUAGAGGCUGAAGGCUUGCAUAGAGGUUGAAGGUUGCUAUAUUUAACCCUGAGGAUUCUAUUCCAGAGACAAUCGUUACUAUGGAAAAACCUCCAAGCCAGAGCAAUAAGCAUGGUGUGAUUUUUAUAGUUAUCCUUUUAGAGGCCCAACCCCCCAUCCCUCUUAAGGUUAGUUAAGGUGUCUCAACUAACCAUGUGCAUUUUCCUCUUCUCCAUAGUUGUACCCCAAAUGAAGUUUCUUUGAACCUUAUCAAUUAAGGAUAAAAUUCUACUGGGAUAGAGAUGUACUGCAUGACAUAAGUGGGUAUACUACUUAGGGAAGAUUUACCCAAGGUAGUUCUGGCAGUGAGGUUCAAGAAUUUGGUUUUCCAACCAGCCAUCUUAUUACUCAUAUUAGUAAUAAGGAAGUGGAAAUCACUAUUGCAAGGAGUGGUAUGUAAAAUAGGGAAUCCAAGAUACUUCCCAAAGGUAUUCUUGCCUUGUAUAGAAAGAAUGAAGGUCAUUUGAUUCCUGGCCUGAGUAGUAUAAUUACUAGAAAAAAUCACUUUGGACUUUGCAUGGUUGAUCUUUUGUCCAGAGUGAUUUUUGAAAGCAUUGAGUACCCUAGAAAUAGUGUUAGCAUUACCAGUAUUGGUCUCAGAAAGAGGGUUAAGUCAUCAGCAAAGAAGAUGUGAGAAGUUUGGGGGGGGGGGGGAGGCGUUGCUUAUAGAGAUAGGGAGCCAAUUAAGGGUAUAAACUUCAUAUCAAUUCUCCUAGAAAGAAGCUCCAUGCACAUUAUGAAAAUGUAGGGGGAGAUGGGGCCCCCCUGCCUUAUGCUCCUGGUGGGAAAGAAGAAGUCAAAAUUUUCUCCAUUGACGAAGAUGUAUAUUGAAGAAGAGGAGAUACAAAACAUGAUUAGGGAAGAAAACUUUGGGGGAAUUUUGAAGAAGUGGAGGGCUUGUCUAAUGAAAGACCACUCAAGUCCAUCAAAGGCCUUUUCAAGGUCAAUCUUUAAGACCAUAUUACACUUCUUCCCUUUUUUUAAAAAAAUUAGUGAUAACCUCUUUGACAAUAAUAGCAUUAUCAGAGAUUCUCCUUUGAGGGAGGAAGAUAAUUUGGUUAUUGCUAAUGAUGUUGGCUAGGAAGGUCCUUAAUCUUCUGGCAAUAAUCUUAGUGAUGACCUUGUAUUGGGUAUUGCAUAACCCAAUAGGUCUGAAGUUCUUAAGAUUGCUGGCAUAAUUGCAUUUAGGGAUGAGGCAAAGGUAGGUCAAAUUAACCUUGGGGUCCAUGAUGCCAGAAGUGAAGGUAUUGAUACAAAACUGGGUAAUAGCAGGGCCUAGGGUAUCCCAGUAUCUUUGAUUAAAGAAAAGAUGGAGGCCAUCAGGACUAAGGGCUUUAUAGGGAUUGAAGGAAUGGAUAGUAUUUCUUAUCUCUUAGGGGGAUGGAAUACUCUCAAAAAGAUCAUGGUCAUCUCUAUGUAUAGAUCCCCAAGAGGAGGGGUUGGUUUGGGUAGCCAAAUGGGAAAGAGAGUGGUUAGUGCUAAAAAGGUUUUUAUAGAAAGUGAGGAUGUGAUCCUUGAUCUCCUUGGGGGAGUAGAUCCAAUUACCACAGUCCCCUUGGAUAGCAUUUAUCUUCUAAUUCUCUUUCUUUCCUUCCCACAAAGUCGCAAACUGUACAUCUGCAUCAAAUUCUCACAAUGAAAAAAAGAUGGACAUUUUCUUCGGUGAACCCCUCAAAGUUUUUUACUCCUAUUUCUUAUUUAUUUUUAUUCAUAUAUAUAUAUAUAUAUAUAUAUAUAUUAGUUACGAGUAGCCCGUGUAAUGCACGGACCUAAUAUUUAUAUUAAAUUAAUAUUAUAAGAAUAAUUAAAUUAUAAUAUUUAUUUAUUUAUUCAUUUCAAAAAAUAUUUAUUUAUUUAUUUUUAAGAAAAUAAUUAUUCAUAUCUCAAUUUAAGUGACACAAUGCUUAAAUGGUCAUAAUAAUUAAUUAUGAGUGACAUAGUAAAAUCUCAAUUGAAACAACAAGGCAUAUAUAUCUUAAAUGACUUAUAAUAACUAAUUAGAAGUGAUAAGAUUUAUUUAUUUAUUCAUUUCAAAAAGAUUUUUUUUCUUUUUAAAUAAAACAACUACUCAAGUCUCGAUUUAAGUGACAAAAUGGUUAAAUGGUCAUAAUAAUUAAUUAGGAGUGACAUAAUAAAAUUACGAUUAAAACAGCGAAGCAGACAUGUCUUAAAUGACUUAUAAUAACUAAUUAGAAGUGAUACAACAAAAUUAUUAUACAAAAAUAUUUGUGAAAAAAAAAUUAAAUGAGCCCCAUAUAAAACGUCAAGUAAAUUUAAUAUUUAAAUUAAAUAUUUUUUUUUACUAUUUAGAUGACUUUAUAAUAAUUAUUUAAUAUUAUUUUUUAACUAUUUAGAUGACUUAUGAUAAUUAACUAUGGGUUAUAUAGUCAAAUUAUAGGUGAAACAACUGAAGCAGACAUGUCAUAACUAUCUAUUUUUUUAAUUAAAUAUUAUUAAUUUUUUAAUACAUAAAUAACUUAUAAUAAUUAAUUAGAGAAGAUAUAAUAAAAUUACCGAGGAAGCAACUUAUGAAGCAGACAGAAUCACCAAGGGUUUUUAAAAAACAACCUUUCUAGCUCUCGAGAUAGUGGUAAGAUUUGCGUAUAUUUUAUCCUCUGCAAAUCUUACGUAUGAGAUUUUACAAUAUUUAUGAAGAUUGGAACAACUUAAAAUUAAUGCUUGGUAAUGCAAUUACUCAUAAAUUAUCUUAGAAUCUGUAAUUUUCAUUAAUUGACAUAGGAAUGUAGACAAAAUCAUGUAGUUCAACUUUUAAUCCAUGGGUAAAUCUUAAAAUCUUGCAAACAUUGAAAAUGGGUAUAAACCCUAACUCAAUUUCAUGGAAAAUCUCAUAAAUUGCAGAAAAUUUGUAUUUAAAAUAAAAUUUUGGGCACAAGGAUGAAAGGAUUGUUGUUCAAACCCCACAUAUCUUAUUUGGCUUGAAUUCGACGGAACAAGUUGACCUUUGAAGCCCUUAGAAUGAUCUUGGAGACUUUUCUUGAAGGUUCUUGAACGGUGAUAUUUUGAUUCUUGAGUUUUCUUGAAGAAGGGUUUGAAUCUUGUUCUUGGAGAUUGAUCUUUAAAGAAACCUUAAUUUUGAUGUUAUGGAUGAAAGAGGAGUUAUGUUCUUUGGUUUGAUGUAAUUAGGUGUUAAAAAAAUUGUGGAAAAAGAUCCAAAAAUCUCAUUAAAAUGCCGUUUCAGCGCUGUUUCGAGCAAAAUUGACGGUCUGGGUGACAGACCGUCACUAUGGUGACUGACCGUUACUCAAACCGCCAUUUUGGGCCAGAAAAUGGGCUCAAUGCCUCAAUUGUGAUGGCCAAAGCGACGGUCCGUUGCUGGGUUGAUGGUCCGUCAGCUUUCCCGUUGCACUUUGGCAGUCGGAUAGCUUUUUGGUAAAAUGGCCAUACCUUUUACUCCGGUAUCGAAUUUUGGAAAAAUUAGUAUCGUUGGAAAGAUAAUUCAAUUAUCUAUCUUUUGGUGGGUCAUGACCUAAAAAAUUUGUAGUAUAACGAGAGAUAUACUCGUUUGAAGUUGACUAUACCAAUAUCCUUCUCAAGAAUUCAAUCGGUAAGGGAUGUUUUGAUUCGCCUAGUAGCUAGGACAUAUUUGAGGUCUUAAUACACAUCAACCUUGGUCAUAAGACUACCAAACCUUUAUAAUUUAUUUAUCAUGAGCUUGAAUCAUUGUUCUACAAUUGGUUAGGAUUCUCGGGGUAUUAUACUAAAGGAAACACUAAGAAUCUCAACACUUAGUCAAAUUUUCUAAGUGAGAAAUUCUUCUUGACAUGCUUUGAGGGCUUUAACGACUAGGAAAACUUACGGGGGUCUUAUAGUAUCUCCCCCUUGGAAACAUUUGUCCUCGAAUGUUGCUAAUUAGGCUACGAACACCGAGAAAACUGAGGAUGCACAGCUGAAACAACUUGUUAAACUGAAUCUAUAUCUUUCUAAACUUUGGAGUACUUCGUUGAAUGCAUAUACUCAUGAUAAUAAUAGCUAUAUAGCUGAAUCUGAGACUGGAAAAGAGUUGAAUAAAGGACAACUGUUAUCCUCUAUUGAGUCUAAGCUGACUUGCCUUUUUCUUAUUAUAAAGAGCUGACUCAUGCUGAGAUUUUAAACUUUGCUUGAUGCGCUCAGGGUGUGAUCGUACUAUUACACUGCGGAGUGACAACUUAUGCAAGCAUAAUUCAUGAGAAAACGAGGCUAAUAUUAUAUAACGGUAUUACAUUGUCUGAGCUAGAACACUUGGGAAAAAGCAAAGAUCGUUCAAUGAAUGCUUAUGAACUGAAUUAUAACCGGAUAUCCGAAUUAUGAAACUGAUCCUGAUACAUAUACUGAGCUGAAUUCGCAAUUUUCAUGGGUGCGAAAAACUAUUUCUUGGAAUGACCAUAUUUAUGAAACUUCAGGUAGUAAAACCAGACUAGCUCGGGAAAUGGAAACUAUAGAAAUCUAUCCGUCUGAUGGUUAAACUGGAUUGCUGGCUAGUCAAACUGAAUCAUACUAAAUACUCAUACCCAAUUGGAGGAUUCCUUCAACACUCUUCUAGGGAGUUCUAACGAUAUGAGGGAGCAAAGAACUUUGAGCAUGAUCUGAGUAAGGCAUUUGAAAAAGAGAUUACAAUAUUGCUACAACUCUAUAGGUUGGAACAUCGACCUAUGAAUCAUAAGUCGGAAUAGAAGUACUAGGCCUCAAGCAGUGCAAUUUUUUCUCUCAACUAUACUAUUCCCCUCAAUUAUUAUACUCACUCGAUUCAACUUAUAUUUCUCACAUGGCACUGACAAAUUCGUCAACUCAAAUCUAACUGAACCAAACUCACUCAUCAUCAUCAAGCCUAACUCAAAGUCAUAAGAUACACUACUCUGAAUCAUGAAUUCAACACACCUUGCACAUUAACAACUUUUCAUCUCAUGCAUAAUUCUCAUUACCACUGCAACAACCACAUUCAACCUUGUACUAGACAUUUACUAACGCGCAAUGCAUUCAUCCAGGUAUACAAACAUAAUGUUCAAGCCUAUAUUUAUAACCACAUAUACACUUCUAACAAACACUCAUACAGUAUCCUCCUCACAUUCUCUAAUAACCCCAUCAAUAACAUUAUCCACGCACUGUUCAGUUCUUAGGAAAACACACAUAAGAUCAUGGUCAUCUCUAUGUAUAGAUCCCCAAGAGGAGGGGUUGGUUUGGGUAGCCAAAUGGGAAAGAGAGUGGUCAGUGCUAAAGAGGUUUUUAUAGAAAGUGAGGAUGUGGUUCUUGAUCUCCCUGGGGGAGUACAUCCAAUUACCACAGUCCCCCUGGAUAGCAUUUAUCUUCUAAUUCUCUUUCUUUCCUUCCCACAAAGUCGCAAACUGUACAUCUGCAUCAAAUUCUCACAAUGAAAAAAAGAUGGACAUUUUCUUUGGUGAACCCCUCAAAGUUUUUUACUCCUAUUUCUUAUUUAUUUUUAUUCAUAUAUAUAUAUAUAUAUAUAUAUAUAUUAGUUACGAGUAGCCCGUGUAAUGCACGGACCUAAUAUUUAUAUUAAAUUAAUAUUAUAAGAAUAAUUAAAUUAUAAUAUUUAUUUAUUUAUUCAUUUCAAAAAAUAUUUAUUUAUUUAUUUUUAAGAAAAUAAUUAUUCAUAUCUCAAUUUAAGUGACACAAUGCUUAAAUGGUCAUAAUAAUUAAUUAUGAGUGACAUAGUAAAAUCUCAAUUGAAACAACAAGGCAUAUAUAUCUUAAAUGACUUAUAAUAACUAAUUAGAAGUGAUAAGAUUUAUUUAUUUAUUCAUUUCAAAAAGAUUUUUUUUCUUUUUAAAUAAAACAACUACUCAAGUCUCGAUUUAAGUGACAAAAUGGUUAAAUGGUCAUAAUAAUUAAUUAGGAGUGACAUAAUAAAAUUACGAUUAAAACAGCGAAGCAGACAUAUCUUAAAUGACUUAUAAUAACUAAUUAGAAGUGAUACAAUAAAAUUGUUAUACAAAAAUACUUGUGGAAAAAAAAUUAAAUGAGCCCCAUAUAAAACGUUAAGUAAAUUUAAUAUUUAAAUUAAAUAUUAUUAAUUUUUUAAUAAUUAGAUGACUUUAUAAUAAUUAUUUAAUAUUAUUUUUUAACUAUUUAGAUGACUUAUAAUAAUUAACUAUGAGUUAUAUAGUCAAAUUAUAGGUGAAACAACUGAAGCAGACAUGUCAUAACUAUCUAUUUUUUUUAUUAAAUAUUAUUAAUUUUUUAAUACAUAAAUAACUUAUAAUAAUUAAUUAGAGAGGAUAUAAUAAAAUUACCGAGGAAGAAACUUAUGCAGACAGAAUCACCAAGGGUUUUUAAAAAACAACCUUUCUAGCUCUCGAGAUAGUGGUAAGAUUUGCGUAUAUUUUAUCCUCUCCAAAUCUUACGUUUGAGAUUUUACAAUAUUUAUGAAGAUUGGAACAAAGCAAUUUCCAGGUUAAGCCAACUUUUCAAUACGGCGUUGAUAUUCAUAUUAAGAAAAAGAGACGCGAUGACACAUAUAGCUGUUCAAUACUUUCUAUGUGACUAGAGGAGCACGAUCUGUGCCACCAUGAGCCCAACAUUAAGAUUUGAUUAUGUCUAAUAAACUAGAUUGAUGUCAAUUCAAAUUAUAAGUUGUAAAACAUAAAUAUAUAAAACGUAUUAACUACUUGAUAGCAUUUUCCUAAUAAAAAAGGUUGUGCAAGUUCUAAACCUUGCAAAUUAGACCCACACAUCUAACAUUCCAAGUUGAUUCCACACAGAGGCGGAGCCAGCCUUCUUUAAGGAGUUUUGACGAACCCCCUUCGACGGAAAAAUAUACUAUUUAUACAUGAUUAAAUUUAUUUUUUAUGUGGUUAUAGUAGGUGUUGAAUCCCCUUCAACUAAGUUUUCUUUGAAUAUUGAACCCCAUUACUUAAAAUCCUGGCUCCGCCUCUGAAUUUCCACAUGUAAUAUUCCGCAAUUUCCAUACAUACUAUUUAUCAUAAUUCUAAUAAAAUUGCAAGUUGAUUCUACAUGAGUUGUUUAACAAAAGAUUAACAUAUCAAAUUAGCAUAUUUGGAGAAGUGGAUUAUACGAACAUCCUCUAAGCUUUGUAAGAUAGUCCUUAAUACUUUUUGGGAAUCACAAUGGAGAAACCUUUUCAACUAAUAUAAUGGGACAAAACAUUGGCAGAGAAUUAAUUCUCAAACAAAAAGGUGUAGAUAUGUCUAUCAAAUAAGAUUCAAUCUCAAACAAAAAUAAUGUGUAAUAGGUUAAGUUCGUCAGUUUCGCACACAAGUCAUCUAUGGUUGUUGCCCUAGCAUAGGUCCUCCGGUUAUUCGAGUUUUUCUCUCAAACAUAGAUAAGAGUCGAGGAACCGUCAAUAACGCUAUAACCGCCUCAUGCCACUUGUUCUUUACUUGCACAUUAUUAAUCAUACAUACUUAGAGGACACCCCAAGAACUACAGGAGGUAAUGGAGCAAGCAAAUGAACUCAAUUUUUUGCCUAAAUCCAUAGAAUGAUGUACCUCCGAUAAAGAAAUUUCAAAAUGACUCUUUCUACAAAAACUUCUCCACUGGUUAUAUCUCAUGCCUUUGCUCACGGUCAUACCUCUCUUCUUCACGUUGGUUUUCGCAGAGCAGUUUUUCUUUCUCUUUCUGCCACUCCUGUCCUGUUUCUCCAUCUUUUUCUCAUCUGCUCCUCUCUGCAGAUAAGCAAUAAAUAGGAUUUUGGUGAGUUGGACGUUGGAUCACCUUCUCAUACAUUAUGAUUUUGUCACAGUAGUGUAGGUCUCAGAUUUCAAAUUUUGACACAACGUAUGUUGCCUAGAACAGUGGCAGACUCAAAUAGCUAGCAGAUUGGAGGUUAAGUAAUCUGGGAGGUAAAAAAAAAGUAACUAUGCAUAUAAUUUUUCUUUUGGUCAGGAAUCAAGGUCAUUAAUCCUCUUAUGUUCUGCCAACGUAUUACUUGUUAGUUUAGUAAGCAGAGAAGUUGAAUUUUUUGGUAAACACCAUAUAUGUUGUUUGUUCAGAACAACCUCUCCACAUCAUUUGAGGUAGUGGUUGCAUACACUUUACCCUUACCAAUUCCACUUUGUGGGAAUACAAUCAAGAUGCAGAGCAUUUCUGCAAUAGAAAACGUAAUCAAUCAUUUUGGGAGAUUCCUGAGUAUUGUAUUGUAUUGUAUUGUAUUAUCAUCAAAUAGUGGGGGAAGAUUUGUUUUAAUUGUCCCUGAACCAGCAUUAAAUGCAGGGUGGAAGGAAGCCACCCCCAGAUUAAUGGAAAUCAACGACCCCUAUUCUAAGGCUAUCCAAAAUAGCAAUGGCAGACAAAGAAACUAGGGAAAAAUUGGGCAAAACUACCUUUCUUAAAACUAUUUUACCAAAGGGACACUAAAUUUCUUUUUGAAUUAUUUUUUAAGGUUAGGGUAUAAAAAGUGUGAUAAAGUUGAAAACAGUAGGCCCACAUGUGAGCCAAGGGACCAGUGUAUCAUUUUCUUAACUUUACAAAUUUAACAUAAUACACUAACACCCAUCAACUUAAACCCUUCUCUCUCCUCUUAAAUUGUCUCCCAACUCCCGCUUUCAAGAACUUUUCUUCCCAAAUGUCAUUUUCGUUUUUCCUUCUUCUGCAGCUGUUAAGAGCUCGUUGUUGCUUCAUAAGGUUAGUUAAAAUUAUGUUCCGAUCAUUUGUAGAUCCAUUUAUACAGGUUUCUUUGCAAAUCGAUUCGUAGUGAUGUAGGAAUUUUUUUUUUUCGAAUUUGGUUGAUUAAGGAAUUUUGGUUUAGUUCCAUUUUUUUUUAGCAAAAAAGUGUUGAAUGGUGGGAUAAUAGUUAUUUGAAGAGUUAUUUUGACAGUUUGAUUCGAACAGUCACCUGUUUCUAUCCGUAGACCCGUGGUCUAUGAAAUCGACCCGUGGUCUAUGAAAUCAGAAUGCCCAGAUGGAAAUCAAUUUUUAGACGUAUGAAGUUCUUUUAAAAUAUGGUUGCUUAAAUAGUGAAAAUUGAAAGAUUAAUAGCUAAUUAGUUCAAUUAGGUGCACUAGUUUGAUUUUUAGCAAUUGUUGUAUUUUGAUACUGCAUGUUGGAUUUUGGUUCAGUUAUUGAUGUGUGCAGUGAGCUGUUUGAUGUGGAAGAGUUAUUUCGGCAUUUUGAUUCGAACAGUGACCUGUUUCUGUCCGUAGAACCGUGUUCUAUAAAAUGAGAAUUCCCUAGAUUGAAAUCAAUUUUUAGACGUAUGAAAUUCUUUUAAAAUAUGAUGGCUGAAAUAGUGAAAAUUGAAAGAUUAAUAGCUAAUUAGUUUGAUUUUGAUACUGCAUGUUAGAUUUUGGUGGGGUAUUUCUUUGUCUUUUUGGGGGUUUCAUUUGAGCAUUGAAUUAUUUCUAUUGAUAAACUUGUGGUCUCUAAACUGAAACUGAGAGAUUUAUUCUGUAGGUGUAGAUUGUGUUGAAAAUGGGUAAAAAAACCAUCCAUCCAUCUUAAAAACAAAGACGCUACCGGUUCUUAUUCUGCUGGUAGCAGUAGAAAAAGAAAAGCCGAGACAGUUGAAAAUGUCUCAAACAGAAAUAAAAUUGACGAGGAAGUGUUCGAAUCAAAUCCGGAGUUAAAGGAGAUAAGUGACUAUGCUGAGUCUAGUGAAGAUGUCCUUCCCAAGCACAGUGUUAGUGGUGACAGUAAAGAGAGUUAGGGAAGUGGGAGAAACAGUGAUGAUGGGGAUAAUAAUCCCUUGUCCAUUCCAUGUUUGUCAAGGUUCAUUUUCGUGGAGCGGUAUGACCUUUGAACGAUAAUGGACGAGGUCGGAUCUUUCCUGGUGAAGAUAUCGAUCAGAUCAAUAACGGAUGCUUAUCGAGAAUUUAAGAAAGUUAUCGUCGACCAGGAGUUGAAGAAAAGAUUCAAGCAAUCCUGUUUCGGAUACCUGAGAAACUUACCGAAACAUCUCAAGUUCAAUGGGCAGUUGGUCCAUUAUUUGCUAUUGCGACGCGUCAAGAGCAAUAAGAUGCGUCUGAGAUGUGAUUCUGCAUUAACAACAAGCCUGUCUAUUUUGGCUUGAAAGAGUUUUGUUUGAUCAUGGGGUUGAACUGCUCAUCAUACCUCAGUGAAUAAAAAAUAAAAAAGGUGUUAAACAAGGGGGAUCAUUUUUGCUUUAAGGUGAAGAAAAAUAAAAACAUUACGAUGGCCAACUUAUUACAAUUGAUCAGAGGGAAUAAGAUGAAAGAGGACCAAAAGUUUAAGUGUUGUUUACUGUGGUCCUUGCACACCAUGUUCCUUGCAAAAGAUUCGACGCAGGUUGUCGACACUAAACCGAUUCGAAUGGUCGAUUCUUCGAGUUUCUUCGAGAAUUAUCCAUGGGGGAAAGAAACAUUUAAACUGACCCUAGACUAUCUGAAGAAAAAAUUAACCUGAAGAAGUAGAGGGAAGUAUUUGAUGAGAAGUAGAAAGCAUCCUAUGCUUUAUUCGAUUUCCCUGGGCAUUCAUGGUAUCUACCAUAAAUCCUUUAGUGAGUUUAUCAUAGAUUCUUGUUUUAUUUAUACCCUGUCAUAGACUCUGAGUUCUUUUUUUACUGUUGUACUUCUUAUAGGUUUGGAUCUAUGACGCCUUUCCUUAUCUUAAAAAAUUUGCUUGAAAAUUAAUGGAUGAGCCCUUUCCCAUUCCCCGCAUCCUCAGAUGGAACUCUAUAAAAAGUGACCAGAUAAUCGAAGGCGACUACAAAGGAAAAUUUACCGAGGUAUGAACUUAUUUUUUAUUAUGCAAUAAUACUACUGUUGUAUCGAAUGUUAUGUAAUUGUUAAUUGAUAUUUUGUAGAACGUGCACCCGUACAUCAUCCCUACUGUUCGUGAGACGAAGAUGGAUUGCAUGAUUACGUUUAAGCCAUAUACGGACGAGGUGAAGAAUAACGUCCUCGAUCGUUUAAAGAAAGAGUUAGAAAGGGCGACUGUCCUUAUUUCAAAUAAGGACAGUAAUGAUGAUGGGGAUUUGGGUGGUAACCUCGUUGAAAUACGCGUUGGUGAUGAUAAUUCACCGAGCACGUCGAAAGAUGCAGUGGGAACCUCAUCCCCUAGGAAUCUUCAUAAGCGUGUUGCUGUUCUUGAGGAAGCGUUGUUGGAUAUUAUUGCCUAUAUCAGAGAGAAAAGACUGAAGAAAAAGGAAAAGGAUGAGCGACAACAUGAGCAAGGUAACUUCAUUCAAUAAUUGAUAUUGUUAAUGAAUUUUCAGCUUUAAAUAUUAGUAACACAUUGUAAUAUGAUGGUACAGUGCAUAUGAACCUUCAUGAAUUAGAGAGGAAUGAAAAAGUAGAAAAAAGAAGCAAAAUGGAUGAGUUGGCCACUGUUGUGACGGAAGAGGAACAAGAAGAAGAAAAGAAGGUUGAAGAAGAAGAAAUGGAAGAAGAUAAAAGCCAAGAAGAAAGUGUAAAAGAAGCAGCUAUAGUGAAAGAAGAAAAAGUUGAAAAAGAAGCAGUGUAAGUUGAAGAUAAAGUCAAGGAAAAAGAAGGAGCUGUAGUUGAAUAACGCAAGAAAAAAGAAGAAGCUGAAAAAAUAGGAGCAACAGCUGAUGAAGAAAAAAAAGAAGAAGCUGAUAAAGUUGUAGAGGGUGAAGAAAAAGAAAAAGAAAAAGCUGAGGAAGAAAAGGAAGGUGAGAAAGAAGUAGCUAUUGAAAGUGAAGAAAAAAAAGAAGAUGAGGAAGAAAAGAAAGGUGAGAAAGAAGCAGUUGUUGAAGGUGAAGGAAAAAAAGAAGCCGAGGAAGAAAAAAAAGAUGGGUUCAUGGAUAUCGUUGAUGAAAUCAACAACACCUAUGCUGAUGAGGAGGAAAAUAGUGAAAAAACAUUUGAUUGCUAAUAUUGUUAAUGUGUUGAAUGAUCUGUGGUAGGAUAUUUGAAACAUUCUUUUAUUUCAUAGAAUAUUUAUUUAAUCUUUCAUAUACUUCUUUCAUAGUCUAUCAUUACCAUGCUGCUCCAUUUUAAGUUGAUAUGUUGAUUGAUUGACUAUGAUUCUAUAAAAAACAGUGUUAACAUUGUAGAAAAAUAGAAGUAUUAUUAUUUAUUCAAUAUCACUACAUCCAUGUUACACUUUUUCAAAGAACGAAUACUAGCAUUAUAACACAUAACAUCAUUUUUAAAAAUCAAUUUUUGUUUUAGUUGAUCCCUCUCUAUUUGGGUUUCAUGUAGCAAUACUUUAAGGUGAUCCCUUUGUUCUUCGGCUUCUUUGAAUAAAUUCAUAAGAAAAUCUCUAUUUUCUUCGCAUUUUUGGAACCUUUGUAUUAGAUUAAAUUUUGCCAAGCCACAAAAAUUUGAUGUCUCGGGUCCCGGACUCAACGUUGAUGGACUUCUUGGAGGUGAUAGCUCAUUGAGCCAUUUAAAAAACGAGCAUGUGCCAUUAUCCUAGAAAAUAAAUUAUAAUUACAUAACGAUUAACUUAACUUAUAAAAAAGACAUACACGACUCACCUUCGCAAUUGCACAGUUAUAAAAUUUACGACCUGGAUUUGAGUCCGUGCGGGACGUCCUCAAGACAGCCGCAUUCCCAUAAUGACAAAUUAGAGUCUUCUUAGAAUUGGAUGUUUGAGAUGCUUGAGACAUUAUAGAAGCUUUAAAAAAAAUAAAGUUGAUGAAAUAAAAUAAUGAGGGAGUGACGACUUUAUAUAUGAAGUAAAAAAGAUGUGUUAAGUGCAAAAUUAUCCGUUUGUUACCGUUGGAACAAUAAUUUUGUUUUUUGAAACUGGUGGUGACACUUAAUAGACUCUCAUAGAUCAUGACCAAUGUCAUCCAUCAAUGAGAUACUAAAGUGUACUGUAGACUCUUCCAAAAAAUAGACCUACACCCGUAGGAGUGCAUCGAUGGAUCUCUUGAUUAUGCGUAGACCACUGUGAUCUAUGUACACUGCUAUAGAGCAACACUUGGAUGUUGUUUAAAAGAGAAUAAAUAAAUAAAUUAAAAAUAAAUGUAGGGUGAGUUUCUACAUAUGUGAGGGAGUGUAAACAAGUCAUACAAUCAUAUUACAGCUUAUUCAAAUUAGGGGUGGUGUAUUAAGGAGUGUGUGGAGGGGUAGUGGUUGAAUGUUCAAUCUCCUAAGAGUAAUGUUUCUCAAAUCUUAAGUAUGUAUUGAGGAUGAUGAUUGUUCAACCACUAUCCAUUCCACACACUUUUGAUUUGGGGGUGGUGAUUAAAAGAGUAUGCGGAAUGUGUAGUCAUCAAAUACAAAAUAUAUCCUCAAAACAUACAUGUGUUUUGACAAACAUUACCCUUAGGAUAUUGAUCAUUUAACCACUACCCAUAUACACACUCCUUAAUACACCACCCCUAAUUUGUAUAAGCUGUAAUAUGAUUGUGUGACUUGUUUACACUCCUCCACAUGUGUAGAAACCCACCCUACAUUUAUUUUUAAUUUAUUUAUUCUCUUUUAAACAACAUCCAAGCAUUGGUCUAUAACAGUGUAUAUAGAUCACUGUGGUCUAUGCAUAAUUAAGAGAUCCAUCGAUGCACUCCUAAAGGUGUAGAUCUACGAUAGACCGGACGAGUCGAUGGACCCUCAAAGCACAAGUAUAUCUUUUACUGAUAUUUGACAUAGGCCAACAUCGAUGACAGUCUAUUAAGUGUUACCAACAGUUCAAGAUUAUCUAUUUAAAUUAUUUUUGAUUUAAUUAUUUUAUUCCACUAUCCCCAAAACAUGUUAUUAUCAGUUUAAAUCAUUUUUAAUUUAAUUAUUUUAUUCCACCAGCCCCAAAACAUGUUAUUAUCAAUUUAAAUCAUUUUUAAUUUAAUUAUUUUAUUCCACUAGCCCCAAAAUAUGUUAUUAUCUAUUUAUAUCAUUUUUAAUUUAAUUAUUUUAUUCCAUCAGCCCCAAUACAUGUUAUUAUCUGUUUAUAUAAUUUUUAAUUUAAUUAUUUUACUCCACCAGCCCCAAAACAUGGCCCAUCGAUUCACAUGGUCGACGAUCGACUACUAUGUUAGGUCAAAGACUGAUGGAGUAUACGAUCGAUGAUAGACUAUACGAUCUAACAUUGCAUAAAAUUUUGAAACGUUGUCUGCACAGACGAAUAGCCACAAAAAAAUAAUAGUCACAAAAAAGAGGAAAAACAUAAUGUUCAAACUGAAAAUACUUAUAUUGAUUGAACUUGUUCAUUGUAUUACAUGGAUUUUAAGCAAAAAAAGGCAAAAUCAAAGAAGUUUUCUUCUAACAACAUCCUAUUACGAAAGCUUCUUCAGAAAUGAACUAUACAAAAAAAAAACUUAAAAACAUAAAAUAAAAUAAAAACUUAAAAACUAAUUUCAGGGGGAUGCUGGGGGGGGGGGAUGAUGUAGUCAGGCCCUUCCAUUCCAAGUCUUUCAAGAAUUGCCCACAUGAAACGGCAAUUCACCGGAGUUCACGCUCGAGGUAGAUGCGGUCUUGACCUAAGCCAAAGAAAAGGCAAUCGAAAUCAUUUCUAAGCAGGAGGAGAUCGUAAUGUCUUGGGGGAACAAGUCGGAUGGGGCGUAGGGAUAUCCUUCUGGGUGGUAUUAGUUCAGUUUGCUAAGGAAGAAGAAGAGGGUUUCUGGUGUGUUGGGUUUAUGUACAACUAAAGGGUUAGAUAGAAAUAGGCGCUGCAUUUAUAGAUCUAUAGAAUGUGGCCUUUCGAAUGUCCACCCAAUGGUGAGUCGACGUGUGUGGGAAUACCGGUGGUUUUUCUUGAAAAAAAAUGUGUCAGCAACUUUUCAUUAAAUGAGAACAAAUAACAAUGAUUCAAUGCAUCGAAUCUCGGUAGUCUAUCGUAGACAACACUUUAAGUCGAUUACAACUGAACUUUAAAUUUUACAAAAAUAUACUUUUAUCCCCCAAACCAGUAGCUUUACAAUUGAAGCAAAAAAAACCUAUCUAUGAUUUGUUGGCCAUGCUACAUGUGGUUCUUUUGUGUUUGGAUUUCUUGCAUAUUGAACACCUUUUUGGACUUGAAUGUCUCACCGACGCCCUUAACUCAUUUGACUUUCUUCCUUCCGAGUUUGCGAUCAUAGGGGGUAGAGAAAUCUUACUAUAUUUCACUCUCUGUGGCACAGUCCAUUCAGCUUCUGGAGGGACAACGUUAAUAGCUUCCGAGUACACGAGAAGGUAAGUUUCAGCUUUAUAAAUUGGCAAAGAGUACUCGUAGAUGGAGUUAGCAUAACCUACACCAUCGCUGUACUUUGCUCGUAAAGUUGCCAUCGCAUGUUCGCACGAUAUUUUCACCAGGUCAAAUUUUUGACAAAAACAACUCUUCUCCAAGAGAUUGAUCUUGGCAGUAAUGCUGUUGCCGAACACCGUGAAUUAGUCGAGAUCCCCGUUUACAUUAAUCAUAUACAAUGAAUCACCCGCAUUCAUGUUAUCCCUUAGGAUCCUUUCCGCACAAAGCACAAAUUUGUUAUCUUUACUAUCGACAAAGGCAUGCCGCUCCCUAAAAUUUUCACCAAUUUUUCUAGCAAUUAAAUUGAAUAUGUGUGAAACGAGGUACUUCCGUUCAUCUAUCAACAUGACGUUGAGUGACUCGAUGAUGUUUGUGUUCAUCACAUCAUACCUAUUACCCGGGAAGUGUGCUUUACUCCAUUUCUCAAAACUAAGCACAUUUUCAAGGACAUGUCCUGCCUCGUGGAUAUUAUUCUUCAAUUUGGCAAAAUCCGCACUAAACCCAUCAACAGUAUAUGCCUUUGCCGUAGCGUAGAACAGAUAAAGAUGUUCUCUACAGUGUUGAUUUACACGUAAAUUUUCAGCAAGGUGCCUCAUGCAAAGUCCAUGAUAUGCACAACUAUUAACAUGGGAGAAGGCAUUGGCAAUGCUGAUGUGCCUGUCGGAGAUGACACAUAGAUCUGGUUCAUCUUCUAUGAUAGACUUCAACUUCUGAAAGAAGAAAGUCCAAGAAGCAUCGUUCUCUUUAUCGAUAACCCAAAAGGUAAUUGGAAAGAUGUGAUUUUCGGUGUCUUGUGCAACUGCACUCAGCAACACGUCCCCGUACUUUCCAUACAAAUGUGUGCCAUCAAUGGCAAUUACCUUUCUCAUGUGGGCAUGUUCCCGUAUGCAAGCUCCGAAUACUAAGAAGUAGUAAACGAAUGAUCCUUCAAUCUGGUUUAUCAUGAUAGAGUAGGAAGACCCUGCAUUCAACAACUCCACCAUGUGGGAAAAAGCCGUCAAGCAAGCAUAUUGUGCUCCAGUGUCCCGCGAAUGAUGUUCUUCGCAGUUACACUUCCUUUCUAACAUAUCCAAUAGCUUGCAUGGCAAUGCAUUUCCUUAACACAAUCCUUUGAAUUUCUCUUAUGCUUGGACCCUUACCAUCUAGAAAAUGAUUUAUGGAUAGUGAAACAAUUAAUUCAGAGGACAAUCUCUUAUGCCUGCGGGUGGAGUAUUGAACAUCACAUGUCUGCAACCCAACAUAUAUGUAUAUGAGAAAUCUGCACAAGAUUUCAUACUUCAUUGCCCUAAAAAACUAGCCGUAACCACGAGAUAAGCAUUUUGCCUUCAAGAAUUUAGAGCAUUUCUCAUCCAAACAAUAAUCAAAAGACUGUCUCACCACUGCUGCGUCUAGUGACAUUUUGAACUCUUUUUUGUCGGUGAAUGUUUGAUCGAGAUAAAAAUUGGUGCUGUCGGUGAAGGAAUAUCUUGGUUGUGAUCCCGUUCCACAGUCUUCUUCAUUAUCUUGCUAGUCUAAUAAAACGUCUUUCAUAUGCAUAAAAUCAUCUUACGUAUUAAUAGGAUGAUCUCUAUCGUUCUCGUAAUUACUGAAAUCGUCGUUGAAUACCGGGUGCAGAGGUAGGAGUUCUGAUGAAUUUAAUGGUCCUUCGAAGGACCUCUCAACUACAUUUAUCCUUAAAAUAGGCCUAAAUCCAUCUGCAUCGACAUCCAUCAUGUACAUCAGCACACAUACAUCACUAUUUAUGAUCGUACGAUUCACCUUUCCCUCGAAUGCAUUAGAUAACUAAUCACCAGGUCGCCCAAUGCGCAAUCUAGAUCCCCACUCUGCAUUACGCUUGCAACCACUUCGUCAUACGAAUUGUUGCAGCGAACAACAAUGGGGAUUGUCACCUUGGUAAAAGAUCUCCAUUUCCAGCAUUUGGGAGUCUCCACCCAUUCUCCCAUGAAAUUACCAGAAACCAGAACAAAUUCUGCAAUAGACAUCCUGGAAUUAGGCUUUGGUCGAUGGUAGAUUAUGCUUAUGGUCUAGGUCAGGUUAUAUGCACGGUCGAUGAAUGGCGAUCAGUGGUCGAUGAUUUGGCAGCUAUCCCUACAAAAACCUUAAAAUUGCAAAUAUUUUUUCUAAUCAACAAUCGUUGGGUUUAUGGAAUAGAGAAAUGAACUUGGAGUCGCCUGAGCUUCUAUAAUGUACUUUCUGAAGUGGUUUUUAAGUAAUGUGAAUAGUUUCAAGCUUUUUAACAAUGGUGGAAAGUGUGUUUUAGAAGAUACCAAACAAAUGGGGUAACAAUGAAUGAAAUGGACAAGCUUAUGAUGUUUGUGGACUAAUUUAGAGAUGAUCGCCGAAAAAUAAUGCCAAAAAAGUUGUUGAAAUUGAAGCUUUUUGGCGGAAAAAAUAACCACCUUCUAUUUUCAGCUUUUGAAUUUUUUUUUAAUUUAAUAUUUUUGGAAACCUAGAUAUUUUUGUAUAUAUAAUGGUAGAUGAUGGAGUGGGUUGAAGUUUCUUAUUUAAAACUUGUGGAUGAAUUUAUUAAGUUGGAAGUAUUUGGUUAAAGUGAAUUAUUAUAAAAUUUGUGGGUGAACUUGUUAUGUUGAAAAAGUUGAUGAUGAUGUGGAUUUUAGUGUCCUUUUGGCAAAUUUUUCAAGACUUUUGUCUCUUUGGCAAAAUAGUUUUCAAAAGUUUCCUUUUGGCAUAAUAGCCCAAGAAACUAUGUAAAGCAGAAUGUAGACCUGGCAAUGUCAUGUUGAUAGUGAAACAUAAACAUGUGCAUGAUAAAAGAAACAAGAAAAUUAUAUUAAUAAAUCUUACUUGCAAGCCUGUACAUAUUGAUGGUACACGGAGUAGGUCCUUGUCACCUAGCAAGAAGAGUAUAGGAGUUUUGACCUGCAAUAAUAGAUGAAACAGGUGUAGCAAAUGCACUCAACUCAAUAGGGGAUGAUUUACUUCUUGCACAACUAUUACCAAUGAUAGUUGAAAUCCAGAAAAAACUUAAUAUUUCAUCUUUUAUUUAUGAUUUGAUAUACAAUUGCUUAAAAUGGAAAGCUUUUUUGAAAUCCAGACUUUGCUGAUUACACCAAACUUUGGAAGUUUGUGAUAUAGGUGAUUUGUUGUGAAAGAUGGCAAAGUGUUCAAAUGAAGGUGCUUUGGUAAACUGUCAAUCUAUAGUCUUUCAGAUACACAAGCUUGUACACCUUCGCUACAUAAAGCAACAAAUGUGCAUAGAACAAAGCUAGCAAGGACCAGUAGUUUCACAAAUUUAAAUGGAUAAGAACUACAACAGACCUAGCCAAUCAAGUGUGUUGUCAGGAAUCUACCAUGGAAACCACCGAGCACAUUUAUUUUAGAUGGAUCUGCAAGUCCCAUAUCUAUGACAAGAUCUAUAUAUAGCAGCUAGCACUUCAUUAACAUCCUACACAUGAAAGACAUAAGAUAAGUUACAAAUACGUAUGAACAUUUUAGAUUUCAAAUCCUUGAUAAGCAAUACUUUAAGCGAACAAAGGAAAGGACUACGUAGCAGUACCACCUGUGAUCCAAUUUUGCUUGGAAGAAAUUGCAGUACUUCCUCACCAAAACCCAAGGACCCUCGAAGAUAAUAUGAGAAAAAAAAAGAUACUUGAUCAAGUAAUUGCUGCUUGGCCAAAAAAAAAGAAGAUAGCAAAGUAAAUAUUUUGAGAACAGUAAUAAUCCAUAUAUGCAUUUUUCUGGCUUGGAUUCCCAACAUUUCUAGGUAAUAAAAAAUGAGUUUGUGGAUACAAGAAUAAGCUAAAUUUAGUUAAUGAAAGUUAAUUGUUAACUUGCCCAAAAUUGAAACUUAGGAUGGAAUAGUUCCUUGAAAAUGGAUUAAUGCCAAAAUUGAAUGUUAGGAUGGAGUACAAACUUCCUUGAAAGAGAAAGAACAAUGGAGAUUAGGAGUUUAUUGUUAAAGUAUGAGAUUUGGAGGUUUUGGGUGUNNNNNNNNNNNNNNNNNNNNNNNNNNNNNNNNNNNNNNNNNNNNNNNNNNNNNNNNNNNNNNNNNNNNNNNNNNNNNNNNNNNNNNNNNNNNNNNNNNNNNNNNNNNNNNNNNNNNNNNNNNNNNNNNNNNNNNNNNNNNNNNNNNNNNNNNNNNNNNNNNNNNNNNNNNNNNNNNNNNNNNNNNNNNNNNNNNNNNNNNNNNNNNNNNNNNNNNNNNNNNNNNNNNNNNNNNNNNNNNNNNNNNNNNNNNNNNNNNNNNNNNNNNNNNNNNNNNNNNNNNNNNNNNNNNNNNNNNNNNNNNNNNNNNNNNNNNNNNNNNNNNNNNNNNNNNNNNNNNNNNNNNNNNUACAUAUAUAAAUCAGAUAAUAGUUAUUUUAUCAUCACAUUAACACGAGUAGUAUAUUUCCUCAAUCAUAUAAUAAUAUCAAUGAUUUUUGCAAAUUACGAUAAAUUUUUGGUUAAUUAGCUUUUAAAUACGAUAUUAUAUAUAUAUAUAUAUACGUAUGUAUAUAUAUAUACAUCAUAAUACUAGUCUUAAGUUAUUGCAACUUCAACAACAUAUGCGUGUCUACAUUGACCCAUAAUAGUAUGUCUACUUCCUCAAUAGUAUGAUAUAUAUCAACGUAUCAUUCAAACUAUACUGAUAUAUACAUUUAGUUAUCUAGCUUUCGAUUACUACAUACGUCACUACACAAGAUAUACGUUUAUAUACAUAUAUUCAAUUGUCUAUCAGCUUUCACAUACGUACUAAAAACAUCACAUACACGAUUCUGCUACCCCAUAAUAAUAUAUAUAUAUAUACAGCGUAUUUCACAAAUACUAAAAUGAAUUAUAGAUUACAUUAUCUUAUGUAUGUCAUUAGUAUACCUUCACCGUAUAAUAAGUAUAUAUAUAUAUAUACACACACACAAAUACUAUAUAUAUAUAUAUGUCACAUCCUUUUUUAACCAAAAAGAUUCGUUUUAAGGGUCGAAAGGGUUUUUAUUAUUAAAGUGACAAAAUGAAGAUAAUUGUUUCGAAAAAGGAUUAUUUUACAUUCAAAACUUAGAGUCACCACUUGGGAUAAUCUGGUGUGCCAAGUCACCUUUGAAAAAUCCUUUUCAAAAAAAUUUUACUGUUUAAGACUGAUUUGCGAACAGAGAUUUUGGCUAAGGAAUUCUGUUGACCGAGAGAAAGAUGUUAGGCACCCCUCGAUCUCGUGGUUCGACCAUGGUCGCUUGGUGGAGCAUAUCGGCUAAUUUAACACUACGAAUGUGUAAACCACACAGAGCACGCACAACAAUCAAUCAAGUAGACCAAAACAAAACAAUUCAAAAUUUAGUGUUCAGUCCAAGUUAUACAGUCCAAAAAUAGAAAAAUAUGAAAAUAUAAAUCCUAUUCUAAACUAAUCCUAGACUAAGCUCCAAUUCUUUACCCGAUGCAUCGGGCUUUCAUUACGAACGUCUUUCGCCGAUACAAUACAUUGGGGCAUUCCCGGGUGAACAAAUACAAAUGACUUCGGGGCAUUCUCGGCUAAAUGAGUACAUUUUUUAAUGCGAGAAAAGUAGAAAGAAUCAUUCACACCCACACUCAAACAUUAAACAAUCUCAAUUCCUAUGUUUUUCCUACCCCGACUUACCGUUUGCCUACUUGUUUAACGGCUUAACACAUAAUACUAGCGUGUUCAACAAUUAACAAAAAUAAUCAAUAUUCACCAAAUCAAUCUUUCAAUUCCCAACCCAAAUUCUCAAUUGAAGUUGAUGUCAUUCAAUUAUCCAAAUCAAGUGACCAAUCAACCAAUAUCCACCAUCAUUCACGAUUCAGACACAACCAAAUAAGAUAAAGUAAGAUUCCCACAUUAUGAAUUCACUACUCAAAGCAUCAAUAAUUUAAAAAUUAGUAAAAAAUGAGAGGAGAAAUGGAACUUAAUGUUGCUUUCAAUUAAAUUUCUCCUUCCGACUAAAACCACAGUCGGAGUCUCAAAUUAACCUCAACGGACAAAAUCCAACUCGGUAUCUAGAAUGCAAAUUCGACCAGAACGGAACCCACAAACAAAACGUAAUAUACAACCCAAACCUACAAACCCACAAAGAAACAAGUGACCAGAAAUAGCGAUAUGCAAAUUCACAUGGAAUAUGAACAACAACACAAUUCCGGGUUUGAUUUGGGGAUGAGUGGAGCUAGUGACAUCAUUUCCCGGAGGUUUUGUUGGAACAUCAGCAAAAUAGAAACUAGAGUAUUUUCCGACAGCUAAUACGACGGGUUUUCGGUGAGUUUCUCACCGAAAAUAGUCAAUAAGCACCGAUCUUACUUCCUCUCUCUCGAUUCUCACUCUCUCUAUGAUUUCUCUUACCCGUUCACUUUUUGAUCCAUUCCCUCCUUUAUUUAUUCUAUUUUUGCUCUUUCUCUCAACUACCUGAUUUUGUUUUUUGAUCGUGUGUUCUGUCUGUGUGAGUGAGUCUGAAUCAGUAAGGUGUAGUAUAUGAGAGUGUGUGUGUCGUAGGUAUUUUUGAGUAUAUGGAGAUGAGUGUGGAUGUGGAGAUGAAGCUAAAAAAGAUGGGAUCUGUGUCCCUUUUUCUCUAUAUUCUAUAUGUUGGGAAUAAUCCCCUUCCUUUUUUUUGGUUAAUGUGUUAGUUAAAAGGAAUUAAAAAAAAAGUGAGGGGUUGGUGACGUGAGUGGGGUAGGUUUAGGUGAAGGUAAGGGUAUUGGUGGGGUUGGGAUUAGGUGAUUAGGAUAAAGUUUGUCAGGAUAAAUUAAAAUAAGAUAAAAUUUGUUAGGGAUUUUGUUAAGGGUUGUUAUUUUUGUAUUUUUGUGAGGGGAUAAUUACAUGGUUGAGGGUACAUGAUAGGAUAAGGUAAAUAUGAGUAAAAGUGAUAUCGGGGAGGGACAAAAUUAGGUGUCUACAUCAUUACCCCUUUGCAUGUAAACACGAAGUGUUUCCACACAAAGAAGUAGACAACGAGACAAAAUUUUGUGCCGACCAUUAUUUAGAGAAACAGAAGGAAAAAGAUAAACCGGGUCUUGACUUAGGAAAUCAUACUCAUCCUUAGUUAUGAGGGAAUCAAUUAACAGGUAUCUCCAAAGGAAGGAGAAGGACUAUACCGAGUUGGAGAGUCGAGUGAGGUCCCGUCGAGGUUCCGGUCUGCGGCUCUCUUAUUACAUCAAAAAUUAAAAUUAUAAGUUAAAGCAUAAAUGAAAUUACAAAAACCCUAUCUAUACAGCUUCUUUUGGACACUUGACUUGAGUUUCAUCACCCUAUGCUUCAAGCGGGCUCCUGACUUGCAAUUUCUUCAACUUGUUGUUUGGCUUUCAAUUUCUUCAACUUAUUGUUUGACUUUAAACUUAUUUUCCCUGCUCUCUAGGCGGGAUCCUAACAGUUGGUUUCAUCAACUUCUGGUUUUAUCAGCUUGUUCUUCAGGCGGACUCCUGACCUUCAAUGUUAUCACCCUGUUCUUCAGGCGGGAUCCUAACUUUCAAACUAAUCACCCUAUUCUUUAGGUGGGAUCCUGACUUUCAAUUUCAUCACCCUGUUCUUCAGGAAGGCUCCUGAGUUUCAAUUUCAUCACCCUUUUCUUCAGGUGGGCUCCUGACUUUCAAUUUUAUCACCCUAUUCUUCAGGCGAGCUCCUGACUUUCUAUUUCAUCACCUUGUUCUUCAGACGGGCUCCUGACUUUCAAUUUUCUAACCCUAUUCUUCAGGCAGGCUCCUGACUUUCAAUUUUAUCACCCUAUUCUUCAGGCGGGCUCCGAAAACCAAAAUCAAAGCUAAAAUGAAAAUUAUCCCAAACGAAGAUUAUGAUAAAGAAAGAUUUCAUUCAUUCAUUUUUGUUAAAAGUAAUGUCCCAUUUUCCAGGAGGGUCUUGAACAUAAAGUAAAAUCCUAUUUUCUAGGAGGGUCCUGAACCUAAAGUAAAAUCCCAUUUUCCAGGAUGGUCCUGAAACGAAAGUAAAAUUCCAUUUUUCAGGAGGGUCAUGAACAAAAAGUAAAAUCCCAAUUUUUAGGAGGGUCCUGAAUAGAAAGUAAAGUCCCAUUUUUCAUAAGGGUCCUGAAUCGAAAAUAAAGUCCCAUUUUUCAGGAGGGUACUGAACAGAAAGUGAAUUCUCUUUUUUCAGGAGGGACCUGAGCAAAAAGUAAAAUCCCAUUUUCCAGGAGGGUCUUGAAUAAAAAUUAAAAUCCCAUUUUACAGGUGGGUCAUGAACAAAAAUAAAAUCCCAUUUUCCAGGAGGGUCCUAAACAGAAAGUAAAAUCCCAUUUUCUCCUGAACAGAAAGUUAAAUCCCAUUUUCCAGGAGGGUCCUGAACAUGAAGUAAAUUUCCAUUUUUUUGGAGGGUCCUGAACAGAAAGUAAAGUCCUAUUUUUUAGGAGGGUCUUGAACAAAAUGUAAAAUCCUAUUUUCUAGGAGGGUCCUGAAUAGAAAGUAAAAAAUCUCAUUUUCCAGGAUGGUUCUGAACAUAAAGUAAAUCCAAUUUUCUAGGAGAGUCCUGAAUAAAAAGUAAAAUCCCACGGAUGUACUUUUCCAAUGGUAGACGUAGCUGAAUUAUGUGAAGCAAAUUUGCCCCUGUUUCGACAAAGAAAAUUUGUCAGUUGAAAACAUGGUGGUGGCUUGCAGCACUUGGCUAUCCCGCCACCUGCUCUAGUGUCCAUUCCCUUCAUUUUGUUUUGGAUUGCAGGCACUUGCCCCUGCUUUGUCGCAUCAUUGAACCAAACUAAGAUUAUUAAGAGUGACUCAGAAAUAAACACAGUAUCUCUGCUUUGCAAUGCUUCUCAAAUAAACCCUUUAAACCCUGGUAUUUCCAUGAGUUCCUAAAUUUUCCUAUUGACAAAGCUUUCUGUAUGCUUUUUUCUUUCGGCUCACAAUCAUGUCUCUUUCAUGCGCUAGCCAUUUUGUCGUGCUUUAUGCAAUUGAAGAAGUUGGUAGCCAAUUUUGAAAUCUUUUCUCCCGUAUUUUAACAUGGCCUUACUCAAAGACAAGAGAAAAAUGACAAUAAUUUUUGUUUUAUUUGGAUAACUGAUUCAAGAAAAUAAAAAUAUAACUAAAGAGAAGAAAAAAAUAACAAUUAAUGUCCCCAUUGAAAAAGAUAAAAGAAAGUUUUACCUGAAAAUAACAGUCAACUCCAAUGAUUAUGACAUGCAUAUCGGAUUAAACUGCUUGAUCUUUCCAUCCAAAACUUUCUAACAAUUGUUGUUGAGUUAAUGACCUCAAAAUUAAGUUGCUUCCUUAGGUCAAUUACAUUUAAGACCUCAUUCGGCUAGUGGCUCCUUGAAGGGUUUUUUCCAACAAGCCUAUCUCAUUUUUUCCCAGCUCUCCAUUAUCUUAUGAUGUCAUAAGGGUUUUCACCAAUGAGACUCUCUUAUUUUCAUUUGUAUCAACUCACCGUCGUCUUACAAUGCCCGUGAGGUUUUUCAUCGAUAAGACACUCUCAUUGUUAUCUCUCUCAGCUUACCAUCGUCUUACGGGCCUGUGAGGAUUUUCACCGAUAAAACUCUCUCAUUUUCAUUUCUCUCCUGAUUCCUUAUGAUAAGAAAGACAAGCAGUUCCCAAAAAUACGUCAUCACAUCCAUUGCAUGCUUAGACUUAACAUUCUCAAAGAUUGAUCUGAAGGUCUUUUUUUGGUUGUAACUUGGCUAUUGGAUAGGGUUAGAAAGAAAGGAUGGCAUAGGGCUCAAACGACACUUAAAGUGGGGUGGGACUUACAACUUUUGGAAUCAACUCAAACAAUGAGGAUAAACUCAUGCCCCAGUUUAUUUUAACUGGGUGACUCUAAAUUGUUUAUUUGGUUGGACCGAGUCCAGAUUAGGGCAGCCUACGUCCCUCACCCUCGAAAGAGGAAAAUCAGGUCAGGCAUAGUUCUGGCAGCUUGUCUUUUGCUUGAUUCUAAUUUUUGUUUCUGUUUUUUUCUCUCUUUUCUCUUUGGGAUUUUUUUAAUAGGCCCUAUUUUUGAUAAUCUUCUAAUUUCUUUCCUUUUGGACAGAUUUUUUUGUUUUUUCGACACUUUUGUUUUGAGUUUUACUGACUCUAUCUUGAUUCUAAAAGAGGGGUAUGAAAGAAAAUAGGAUUAAAGCGCAAAUGGGUAAACAAAGGAGGACACAAUGUUUGGAUAGCAGAAUGAAAUGCCUUUGUCAUAUCAAUCCUUAAAAAUGCAAGUACAUAUCAUGCAAUAUGGAAGUGAAAGAUGAAGAUCAUUUGUGACAUCUUUUGCAGAAUUAACUUUGACUGAGUCUGUCCAUCACUAUUUCUUCUACGUUUUUCUAGUAUACAACUCGACUUUUGUUACAUAUACCUCACAUUGAAUGACUCAUGAUUUUGUGGAGCAGAUUUUCAUUCUAUUCACGCAGUCACUAUUUGAGCUAAUUGAGAUAUAUCUUUCAAUUGAUGACCAAGUUAUUCUUGUGUUUCUCAAAUUAAGUGCCUUAAUUUUCAAAGAAGGCUUCAACUUGUCACCAAAUGUCUCAGCACUCUACCUAUUUCCUCAUAUGUUCUCUUUUACUAUCUUAAACCUCUGAUUCAAUGUUUCAUGGUUAAAUUGGAUUUUAAGAUCUGACUAAAAAUUCCACUAGCAUGUCAUAUUACUAGAAUCAACAUAAAAUGCACUAUGUGAAGAAAACAAACAAACAACAUAUAUUUGAACACAAAGGGAAAAAAGGACACUCUAUUUAAUUAAAAAUAAAAGAUAGAGGGUUCAGAAGGGUUUGAACAUGAAUGACAAAAGGACAAAACAAGAUAGAUCCCGAACUACAAUCCUAAAAUAAUUUGAAAAACAGAAAAAAAAAAAAACUACCAGACCUUUUCCUAGUAAGGAGAGAGGCGACUUUCCAAUUGCUCAGCCUGACAACUUAGUCACUGGUUUGCAUAUCAACAUGACUGGAGCUUCCCUCACUGUCAAUGUUCUACACCAUAAUUGAUCCAUCUUGAAUCAUCUUUUCACUUUCUCUUUUCAUAUCUCGACAAUCUUCAAUACUAUGACCCUGAGCAUCAGAAUGAUACACACAUCGUGCAUUAGGAUCAAAAUUUAUUAAAUGCCGAUUAGGAGUGUGCUCAAGGAGAGAAUUAAUCAUUCCCCUCUAUCUCAAUCUCUGGAACAAACUGGCAUAGGAUUCCCCAUUAGGAGUGAAAUUAUCCUUUUUCUUCCUCUUCCUUGCGAACUCUGGCCUCGGUGAAACUUGGAUUUAGAGGUUCCUUGGUAAAUUUGUGGGGGUCGAGGAUGAUUUUAUGGGAAAGGUGCAUGCCAUUGUGGAUAAGAAGAUGGAUCGGUAUACAAUUGUGCAUUGUUCAAAGGACAUUCAGAAAGUAGAAUGAAACUCCCUGGAUUUUAAAAAAAGGAACUUUGUUGCAGAUGAGUAAGUAGAUUUGAUAUGUAAGAUCGAGAUUGAGGUAAACAGUAUUGCUGAGUUUCACCUCUUAAAUCUGCUUUGGUCCUGCCACGACAAUAGGUGCGUUUUCCUUCUUAUUUCCUUUAGUUUCCCUUGAUUGAUUGCAAUAUUGUCCUAAAUGUCUUAUAGAAUCAUGUUGUCCACCAUGGUAUACAAAUUUUGAUGUCUCAAAGCUUAGAGGAAGGUUAACACUUGACAAUAUGCCCCAGUUUUUGUAUGAAACAUCUUCAUAGACUACAAGUCACAAGGAACUUUCCAUAUCAUUUUCUACACUCUUAACUUUCCCAACCAUUUCCUUUGGCUCUUUUAGAAUGCUAGGCUUCUUAGUAAGAAAUUUUGGCGGUCUACUUAAUUCAACGGUAGGCUCAAGAGUAUAACAAUGAUCAUCAAGAUUAUUGAAUAUGGAUUCCCUAGUGGACUGGGGAAGCAUAAUCGUUGGAUUGAUAGACAAAGUGGAAGCCUUAGUAGAAGGUUGAGCAACAAAAGCACAAACGGUAUGUGGUGCUGUGAAUGUGGUAAACUUAUACUGAGGAGAUAAAGAAAGAGCGGUAGAAGUAUUGUGGUGCAUUUGACGUGAAAUGAAUUCUGAGGCAUUCUAUGGUGCAUCAACAACAGAAGAAAACUUACUUGGAGAUUUUGGUGGAAGACUCAAGGUAUUUGCAGGGUCAAAAAUGGGGAACGGAGAUGGAGGCAGCCCACUGGCCCAAGCUCGGUACAUUUUCAUCAUUUGUUGUCUCAAUCUCAAAUUCUCUUCCUUUAAACUCUCAAUUUCCUGACUCUUUGUUUCAUCCAUGAUGUCACUCUUUAUAUCCUUCUUGGACACAGCUAACCCUUCCAUGGAUUUGGUGUGAAAUGGAGGACCAGCCAGGAAGCCUCAAACCAACCACAUUAAACUAACUGAACAAGAGGCAAAAAAUAUGUUAGAGUUCAACAUUUUUUCUUCAAAACCUUUUUUUUCUUUUAGAAAAGAUCACCGAACCCAAGAAGGGCGCUUACGUAUCUCACCCCUGAAAGAGGAGAAUCAGGUGUGCGUAGUUCGUGAAGUUUUGCCAAAAUGACCAAUUAAACUUUUUUUCUUUCUUUUUUUUUUGAAACUUCAAAAAGAGAAGAAAAUAACAAAUUUUCAAAAGAAUAGACUCUUUUUGCAUUUUUCACGUUCAAAAUUCCUAUACAAAUGAAACCUGUGAUUACCAAAGAAAAAUCUUUUUGGAUUUUCAAUUUUGAAUUUCAUAUGAAAAUGAAACUUGAACCUAUUAAAGAAAAAUCUUUUUGUAGUUUUCUUUUAAAGAUGUAUAUGAAACACCUACUCUAAAUGAAGAGUGAAGAAAAUCUUUUUGAAUUUUUAUUUUAAUAAGAUCCCUGAACCAAUAAUAGGCUGCCUACGUAUCUCACUCCCGAAAGAGGAGAAUCAGGGAUCCGUAGUUCAACAAUUAACAAAAAUAAUCAACAUUCACCAAAUCAAUCUUUCAAUUGCCAACCCAAAUUCUCAAUUUAAGUUGAUGUCAUUCAAUUAUCCAAAUCAAGUAACCAAUCAACCAAUUUCCACCAUUAUUCACGAUUCAGACAUAACUAAAUCAGAUAAAGCAAGAUGUCCACAUUAUGAAUUCACUACACGAAGCAUCAAUAAUUUAUAAAUUAGUAAAAAAUGAGAGGAGAAAUGGACCUUAAUAUUGCUUUCAAUUAAAUUGCUCCUUCCGACUAAAACCGCAACUGGAGUCUCAAAUCGUCCUCAACGGACAAAACCCAACUCGGUAUCUAAAUUGCAAAUUCGACCAUAAUGGUAACCCACAAACAGACCUCAAUAUACAACCCAAAACUACAAACCCACAAAGAAAUAAGUGACCCAAAAUAGUGAUAUGUAAAUUCACACGGAAUAUGAACAACAACACAAUUCUGGGUUGGAUUUGGGGACGAGUGGAGCUAGUGAUGUCAUUUCCCAGAGGUUUUAUCGGAACAGUAGCAAAAUAGAAACUAGAGCAUUUUACGGCAGCUAAUACGAUGGGUUUUCGGCGAGUUUCUCACAAAAAAUAGUCAAUAAGCAUCGAUCUUCCUUCCCCUCUCUCUCUCGAUUCUCACUAUCUCUCCCUGAUCUCUCUCACCCAUUCACUUUUUGAUUGAUUCCCUCCUAUAUUUAGUCCAUUUUCGCUCUUUCUCUCAACCACCUGAUUGUGUUUUCCGGUCGUGUGAUCUGUGUGUGUGAGUGAGUGUAAAUCAGUAAGGUGUAGUAUAUGAGAGUGUGUGCAUCGAGGGAAUUUUUUGAGUAUAUGGAGAUAAGUGUGGCUGUGGAGAUGAACCUAAAAAAAUGGGAUCUGUGUCCAAUUUCUCUAUAUUCUGUGCAUUAGGAAUAAUCCCCCUCCCUUUUUUGUUAAUGUGUUGCCUAAAUGGAAUAAAAAAAUGCGAGGGGUUGGUGACAUGAGUGGGGUAGAGGUAGGUGAGGGUAAGGGUAUGGGUAGGGUUGGGAGUAGGUGAUUAGGAUAAAGUUUGUUAGGAUAAAUUAAAAUAAGAUAAAAUUUGUUAGGGAUUUUUUUAGAGGUUGUUAUUUUUGUACUUUUGUUGGUAGAUAAUUACAUGGUUGAGGGUACACAAUAGGAUAAGGUAAAAAUGAGUAAAAGUGAUAUCGGGGAGGGGCACAAUUAGGUGUCUACAUCAUGCCCCCUUUGAAUGUAAACACAAAGUGUUUUCAGACAAAGAAGUAGACAACGAGAUAAAAUUUUAUCCCGAUCAUUAUUCAGAGAAACAGUAAAGAAAAGAGCAACCGGGUCUUGAAUUAGGACAUCAUACUCAUCCUUAGUAAUGAGGCAAUCAAGUCACAGGUAUCUCUAAAAGAAGGAGAAAGACUAUACCGAGUUGGAGAGUUUGGUGAGGUCCCAUUGAGGUUCCGGUCCGCGGCUCUCUUAUUACAUCAAAAAUGAAAUUAUAAGUUAAAACAUAAAUGAAAUUACAAAAAUCGUAUCUAUGCAGCUUCUUUUGGACUCUUGACUUGAGUUUCAUCACCCUAUUCUUCAGGCGGGCUCCUGACUUGCAAUUUCUUUAACUUGUUGUUUGGUUUUCAAUUUCUUCAACUUAUUGUUUGACUUUAAACUUAUUUUCCCUUCUCUUCAGGUGGGAUCCUGACUUUUGUUUCAUCAACUUCUGAUUUCAUCACCCUGUUCUUCAGGCGGACUCCUGACCUUCAAUUUUAUCACCCUGUUCUUCAGGUGGGCUACUGACUUUCAAUUUUAUCACCCAAUUCUUCAGACGGGCUCCUGAAUUUCAAUUUCAUCACCCUGUUCUUCAGGCAGGCUCCUGACUUUCAAUUUCAUCACCCUAUUUUUUAGGCGGGCUCCUAACUUUCAAUCUUUUCACCCUAUUCUUCAGGAGGGCUCCUGACUUUCAAUUUCAUCACCCUGUUCUUCAGGCGAGCUUCGAACUUUCAAUUUUAUCACCGUAUUCUUCAGGCGGGCUCCUAAAACCAAAAUCAAAGCUAAAACGAAAACUAUCCCAAACAAAGAUUAUGAUAAAGAAAGAUUUCAUUCAUUCUCUUUUGUUAAAAGUAAUGUCCCAUUUUCUAAGAGGGUCCUGAACAUAAAGUAAAAUCCCAUUUUCCAGGAGGGUCCUGAACAUAUAGUAAAAUUCCAUUUUCCAAGAGGGUCCUGAACUGAAAGCAAAAUCUCAUUUUUCAGGAGGGUCCUGAACAGAAAGUAAAAUCUUAUUUUUCAGGAGGGUUCUGAACAGAAAGUAAAUUCCUAUUUUUUAGGAGGGUCCUAAACAGAAAGUAAAAUUCCAUUUUUUAGGAGGAUCCUAAAUAGAAAGUAAAAUUCUAUUUUUCAAGAGGGACAGGUGCAUGCCAUUGUGUAUAAGAAGAUAGAUCGGUACACAAUUGUGCAUUUUUCAAAGGACAUUGAGGAAGUAGAAUGAAACUCCUUGGAUUUUGAAAAGAGGAACCUUGUUGCAAUGAGUAAGUGGAUUUGAUAUGUAAGCUCGAGAUUGAGACCGACAGUAUUGGUGAGUUGGACCUCUUAAACUCUGCUUUGGUCCUGGCAUGACAAUAGGUGUGUUUUUCUUCUUAUUUCCUUUAGUUUACCUUGAUUGAUUGCAAUAUUGUCCUAAAUGUUUCACAGAAUCCUAUUGUCUACCAAGGUCCUCAAAUUUUGAUGUGUCAAAGCUUGGAGGAAGGUUAACACUUGACAACAUGCCCCAUUUUUCGUAUGAAACAUCUUCAUAGCCUACAAGUCGCAAGGAACUUUCCAUAUCAUUUUCUACACUCUUAAAUUUCCCAACUAUUUCCUCUGGCUCUUCUAUCAUGCUAGGCUUCUUAGUAAGAAAUUUUGGCGGUCCACUUUAUUCAACGGUAGGCUCAAAAGUAUAAUAAUGAUCAUCAAGAGUAUUGAACGUGGAUUCACUAGUGGAAUGGGGAAGAACAAUCGUUGGAUGAUAGCCAAAGUGGAAGCCUUAGUAGAAGGUUGAGCAAUAAAAGCACAGACGGUAUGUGGUGCUGUGAAUGUGGUAAACUUAUACUGAGGAGAUAAAGAAAGAGUGGUAGAAGUAUUGUGGUGCAUUUGACGUGAAAUGAAUUCUGAGGCAUUCUAUGGUGCAUCAACAACAGAAGAAAACUUACUUUGAGAUUUUGGUGGAAGACUCAAGGUAUUUGCAGGGUCAAAAAUGGGGAACGGAGAUGGAGGCAGCCCAUUGGCCCAAGCUCGGUACAUUUUCAUCAUUUGUUGUCUCAAUCUCAAAUUCUCUUCCUUUAAACUCUCAAUUUCCUGACUCUUUGUUUCAUCCAUGAUGUCACUCUCUAUAUCCUUGUUGGAAACAACUAACCCUUCCAUGGAUUUGGUGUGAAAUGGAGGACCAGCCAGGAAGCCUCAAACCAACCACAUUAAACUAACUGAACAAGAGGCAAAAAAUAUGUUAGAGUUCAACAUUUUUUCUUCAAAACCAUUUUUUUUAUUUUAGAAAAGAUCACCGAACCCAAGAAGGGCGCCUACGUAUCUCACCCCUAAAAGAGGAGAAUCAGGUAUGCGUAGUUCAUGAUGUUUGGCCAAAAUGACCAAUUAAACUUUUUUUCUUUCUUUUUUUUUUGAAACUUCAAAAAGAGAAGAAAAUAACAAAUUUUCAAAAUAAUAGACUCUUUUUGCAUUCUUCACAUUCAAAAUUCCUAUACAAAAUGAAACCCAUGUUUACCAAAGAAUAAUCUUUUUGGAUUUUUAAUUUUGAAUUUUAUAUGAAAAUGAAACUUGAACCUAUUAAAGAAAAAUCUUUUUGUAGUUUUCUUUUAAAGAUGUAUAUGAAACACCUACUCUAAAUGAAGAGUUAAGAAAAUCUUUUUGAAUUUUUAUUUUAAUAACAUCCCCAAACCAACAAUAGGCUGCCUACGUAUCUCACUCCCGAAAGAGGAGAAUCAGGGGUGCAUAGUUCGUCCAGUUUGUACAAUUUAAGAUUAAAUAACGAACUGAACCCUGACUUGAGAGACACGACCAAAGACAAACGAUGAACAAUGUAAAUAAAAUCUUGUUGUGUUUUCAGAUUGACACUUCACAUAAAAAUGACACCAACAACUAUGAAAGAAAAAUCUUUUUUUCUUUUUGUAUUUUCCUAUAUGAAAUGUAUAAAACCUCUACCAUCUUUUUUGAAUUUUUCUUUUAUAAAAAGUUCCUAUUGAAAAAAUCUUUUUGAAAUUCUCGAAUUAUGGAUGCUUGCUAAAAUAAACAAAGGGACAUCUUUUUGAUGUUUUUGUUUUUGACAAAUGAAUACAAAAAAUAAAAAAUCUUUUUAAUUUUUGAAUUGUGGAAAAUAAAAGUCAUAAAGAACUCUAAAAAUUCCAAAAAUCUUUUUUUUUUCAGCACACCUUACUUCUAACACAUGCUUUUCCUGAAUUAGUCCGUUAAAUGACCACGUUACCCUCAAAGAUGCAACAUUUAGCACAUAGGGAUGCUUUAGAGGUGAGUCUCCUACAAAGGACCAAGUGGGGCCCACUAGGUUUCAAUAUGAUACACAUAAGUAUGACCUAAAGGCUGACCUACGUUGGGGUUCACUAACCAGGCUGUUCGGGGGAGCGUAUGGUCGAUAGUGGCUGCGACAGCUUUGCACCCACUCCAUACUUCCGACAGCUCCCCCUUCUAAAAUAAGGGUGACUCAACUAGAGUUCGUGUACACGAAGUGCACUCUGAGACUUGUUGCAGAAAGAAUUGACUCGGGUUAUGCAAAUGAUGUCAGAUAUAAAGCGGUAACACAUAAGAUAAAAAUUCUAAACAAAGAGCACGUAGACACUCAACAAUGAUAAACAAUAACACAAAACAAUCACAAACAAAAUAUCUAUACACCUAUAGAGCCAAACUAAGCCGAUACAACUCUAAGAAUAUGCUCGAAUUCUGAAAAAUUCCCCAGCAGAGUCGCCAGAGCUGUCACACCACUUUUUUAACCAAAAAGAUUUGUUUUAAGGGUCGAAAGAGUUUUUAUUAUUAAAGUGACAAAACGAAGAUAAUUGUUUCGAAAAAGGAUUAUUUUUACAUUUACAACUCUGAGUCGCCACUUGGCAUAAUCCGGUGUGCCAAGUCACCUUUGAAAAAUCCUUUUUAAAAAAAUUUGACUAUUUAAGACUGAUUUUACGAACGGAGAUUCUGGCUAAGAAAUUCUGUUGACCGAGGGGAAGGUGUUAGGCACCCCUCGAUCUCGUGGUUCGGCCACGGUCGCUUGCUGGAGAAUAUCGGCUAAUUUAACACUACGAAUGUACAAACCACACAGCACGCACAACAAUCAUUCAAGUAGACCAAAACAAAACAAUUCAAAAUUUAGUGUUCAGUCCAAGUUAUAUAGUCCAAAAAAUAGAAAGAUACAGAAAUAUAAAUCCAAUUCUAAACUAAUCCUAGACUAAGCUCCAAUUCUUUACCCAAUGCAUCAGGCCUUCAUUACGAACGUCUUUCGCCGACACAAUACAUCGGGACAUUCUCUGGUGAACAAAUACAAAUGACUUCGGGGAAUUCUCCGGCUAAAUGAGUAUAUUUUUCAAUGCGACAAAAGUAGAAAGAAUAAUUCACACCCACACUCAAACAUUCAAAAAUCACAAUUCCUAUGUUUUACCUACCCUGACUUACCAUUUUCCUACUUGUUUAAUGGAUUUUCACAUAAUACUGGCGUGUUCAACCAUUAACAAAAAUAAUCAACAUUCACCAAAUCAAUCUUUCAAUUCCCAACCCAAAUUCUCAAUUUAAGUUGAUGUCAUUCAAUUAUCCAAAUCAAGUGACCAAUCAAUCAAUAUCCACCAUCAUUCACAUUUCAGACACAACUAAAUCAUAUAAAGCAGGAUGCCCACAUUAUGAAUUCACUACACGAAGCAUCAAUAAUUUAAAAAUUAGUAAAAAAUGAGAAGAGAAAUGGACCUUAUUGUUACUUUCAAUUAAAUUGCUCCUUCCAACUAAAAUCGCAAUCGGAGUCUCAAAUCGACCUCAACGGACAAAACCCAACUCGAUAUCUAAACUGUAAAUUUGACCAGAACGGUAACCCACAAAUAGACCUCAAUAUACAACCCAAAACUACAAACCCACAAAGAAAUAAGUGACCUGAAAUAGCGAUAUGCAAAUUCACACGGAAUAUGAACAGCAACCUAUUUUCGGGUCGGAUUUGGGGAUGAGUGGAGCUAGUGAUGUCAUUUCCUGGAGGUUUUGCCAGAACACCAGUAAAACAGAAACUGGAGCAUUUUCUGGCAGCUAAUACGAUAGGUUUCCAGCGAGUUUCUCACCAAAAAUAGUCAGUAAGCACCAAUCUUACUUCCUCUCUCUCGAGAGAGAUUCUCACUAUCUCUUUCACCCACUCACUUUUCGAUUGAUUCCCUCCUGUAUUCCAUCCAUUUUCGCUCUUUCUCUCAACUUCCUAAUUGUGUUUUCUAAUCGUGUGUUCUAUGUGCGUAAGUGAAUGUGAAUCAGUAAGGUGUAGUAUAUGAGAGUGUGUGCAUCAAGGGAAUUUUUUGAGUAUAUGGAGAUGAGUGUGGCUGUGGAGAUGAAGCUAAAAAAAAUGGGAUCCGUGUCCCUUUUUCUCUAUAUUCUUUGCGUUGGGAAUAAUUCCCCUCCCUUUUUUGUUAAUGUGUUGGUUAAAAGGAAUGUAGACAUGUGAUUUUGUCCUCCUACACACACAGAAACCUCUAUUAACACACGCACACAGAAGCCAUUAGGGAGUUUUUUUUUUCUCUUCUUUUUUUUUUUUGCUUUUUGGCACUCUCACAACACUAGAAGGGGACGGUAUUUCAUAAGAAAAGGGGGGAAUUGUCGAAAACUUGAUUUUUUUUAUUUAUUUCUUCUUUUCCUCUUCAUCACGCACAGUCACAAGCCUACAUACACCCACAAAAAAGGAGUAGACUGGAAAGAGAGAAGUCACGAUGAGGGAGAGAUAGGGGAGAUCGAGAGGGACAAUAGAGUGUUUGAGGUUUUUCGGCGAACCCGGCGCCGGAGCUGUUGGUUUUGGUCGAUUCCAGUUGAAUCUGAUCGGAAAUGGUAAGUUUCACCAAAAUCUGUUAUUAGCAUUGGGGUUCCCAUCAUUGAUACAACCAACGCUGAUUUGUUCAUCGCUGUCUCAAUCAUUUUCUUAUGAAAAAUCUCACUUAGGUUGAGUUUAUCACGAUUUCUGUUUUGAAUAUUCCGGGUUUGCGUUGGUUUGGGAUUUGACUUCUGUUCAUCUCAAAUCGUGUCAUAUUAUAGUCAAUUUUGGGUUACUAUUUAUCGAUACCGAUUUGGGGUUUCAUCGUUGUUGAGGUUUUCUAUUUGAGCUUUCGGAUUCGGACUUCUUUUGACUCUUAUUGUCAUUAAAAAUUCAAUAUCGGAAGGUCCAUUUCUUAACUCUAUCCUUUCAUUAUUUUGACUGUGGUUUUAUUGUGAUUUUGCGAUUCGGGUUUGGAUAUUUUAGUCAUAUUAAUUAUUGUUGCGAGUAUGAAUUACUCAUGUGCAUGAAAUGUUUGAAUCUCUGUUGGACGUAUAUGUUUGAUGUUGGUUUCGAUUGUUGAAAAGGGAUUUGAUGGUUGAAUUGGUUUGGUCAUGUGGUUGAAAAAGGAUGUCGGGGUGGGAACAAGAAGUUGUUAAAAGAUGAAUGUAGUUAAAUUUUGGACUAUUGUCAUUUUAUUUAAUUCGGAUUAAGCAUGAAUUUGAUAGAAUUAUUUUAAAUCAAAAGCUUGAUAGGCAACAUAGGUCGGGUAGGCAAAUUUAGGGAUUGUGGAUUGAUGGAAUAUUUGAUUUGUGUGAUUGAAUGGUUUUUGGAUAUAUUGCUUUGGGAUCACUUGUAUCAUUUGGCAGGGGAAUGCCCCAAAGUACUUGUAUUAUUGUUAUCCGGGGAAUGCCCCGAGGUAUCUUAUACUUGAAAAUGUUUGUGGUGAAGGCUCAAGGCAUCGGGUAAAGCACGAGAGCAUAGUUAAAAUUAGUAUAGGUUAGAUUGGAUUUACUUUUGCAUUUUUAUAUUUGGACUGUAUAAAUUGGACUGGACACUGUACUUUUGAUUCAUUUUUGUUUUGUUUUUCUGUUUGAUUUUUUUACAUAUUUUGUGUGGUUUGUGCUUUCAUAGUGUCAAAAAUAGCUGAUACGCUCCACCAAGCGACCGUGGUCGAACCACGGGAUCGAGGGGUGCCUAACACCUUCCCCUCGAUCAACAGAAUUCCUUACCCGGAAUCUCUGUUCACAAACCAGUUUCAAAGAGUCAAAUGGUUUUGAAAAGGAUUUUAAAAGGUAACUUGACACACCGAGUUUAUGUCAUGUGGUGACUCUGAAUAAAAAUGUAAAUAAUCCUUUUUCGAAAUAAAUUUUCAAUCUUUUGUCACUCAAUAAAUCAAAACCCUUUCGAACCUUAAACCAUAUCUUUUUAGAGUCGAAAAAAGGGGUGUGACAGCUCUGGCGACUCUGUUGGGGAUCUUUUUAGAACUCGAUCUUAUUUUUGGAGUCAUAUCGGCUUUGUUUUGCAUUAUGGGUGUAUAAACAUUGUUUGUGAUUAUUUUUUAUGUUAUUGUUAUCACUGUUAUGAGUUUUUGUGCUCUUUUUGUACAGUAUUUAUCCUAUAUAUUACCGCUUUUAUAUCUGGCAUCAUGUGUCUACCCCUAGGCCUUCUUUCUGUAACAAGUCCAUAGUACACGUGUUGUACACGACCUCUAGUUGAGUAACCCUUAUUUUAGGGGGGGAUCCAUCGGUGUUAUGGAAUAGGUGAAAAGCAAAGCAGCUACUAUCGACCAUACGCUCCCCCGAACAGCCUUGUUAGUGAACCACAACGUAGGUCAGCCUUUAGGUCAUGCUUAUGUGCAUCAUACUGAGACCUAGUAGGAUACACAUGGUCCUUUGUAGGAGACUCACCUCUAAAGUAUCCCUACGUGCUAACUAUUGCAUCUUUAAGGGUAACGUGGUCAUUUGACGGAUUGAUUUGAAAAAAAAACAUUUGUUAGGAGUAAGGUGCAUAGGCAAAAAACAAAAAAGAAAAAAAAAAGAAAGAGAGAGAAGAAAAAAAGAGAAAAAAAAUAGAAAAAGUGAGUCGAAAAGAAUGAAUCAAAAGGAGUGUCGUAGUUUAUUUUAGAGUUCUUUAUGGCUUUUGUUCUUCAUGAUCCAAAAACUCAAAAAGAUUUUUUUUUUUUACGUUUUGCAUCUAUCUUCUCAAAGUACCGUAAGUUCAAUGAAAAAAAUAAAAAAAAAGAGAGAUUUUUUUUUCCUUUUCUACUUAUUUGUCAAAAGUAAAAAUACCAAAAAGAUUUUUGUUCAUAAUUGGUGGUGUCAGUCUUAGUUAAAGUGUCUAGUUGAAAAUCCAAAAAGUUUUUUCGUUUGUUUUUGGUUGUGUCUCUUAAUUUAGGAUCAAUUUAUUAGUUAAUCGUUAAUUGUCCAAUCUGGAUGAACUACGCAUACCUGAUUUCCUUCCCUCGGGUUGGGAUACGUAGGCAACCCUCGGUGGGUCCGGUAAUCUUGGUGUUGGACUUUGUCUUAUUAUUAGCCUAGGUCUCUCUUCUCGUAAUCUAGAAUUGUUAGCCAAGUAGACUAAUUUUGCUCAGUACUUCUGUUUGAAAAAUUGGAGUCAUGAAGUGUUCUAUCCCAUCGAUAUAUGUCUGCAUCAAAAAGCCCAAGGGUUGGGAAUCUUCUACUCCUAUCGAAUUUUUGAGAUAACGUCUUAUGUGUUAUUACAGGAUGGAUUUGUCCACCAAGUUUAGAGUCCUUAUGGUUGUCAAGGUGCCCAAAAAUUUAAUCAAGUGGUGGGAAAUGUUUAACUAUGUUGAUCAGCAGAAACUAAUUAAAAUAUUAGGUGAUCUUAAGGAACUUCUGCAUGUUACCCCUCUUCCAGAUUUAAUAGAGGCUGUGUUAACCUUUUGAGAUCCAUGUUGUUUGGUGUUCAGGUUUAGGGAAUGUGAAAUGACUCCUACUUUGGUAGAAAUAUCCAGUUUGUUGCAUUAUCCCUAUAUCGAGAAGGAUAUGAUUCGAGCAUGAAAUUAUACUAGCGUGAGGUUUUUACAGUCUUGUGGUUUAAAAAGUAAGGGUAUGCAUUUGGGUUGCUUAAGUGAUUCGUGAGUUUUCUUAGAUUUUUUGUUCGCUAGAUUCGAGCCCUCGGAAGGUUUUGAUUGCUUUUGGGAUGAAUUUCAUGUGACUAAGGAGAAGUGGGAGAGAAAGCGUUUUGAAGUCUUCACCCUUGCUUUGUUAGGUACUUUAGUGUUUCCGCUAGAAGAAAGACGUAUUAAUAUACGUUUGCAAUCUGUGGUGAUGACUCUAUUUCAUAAGGAUCAAAAUGACAAGGGCACUAAUCAAAAGGGCAAGGUCAUUAAUCAAAAGGGCAGGUUCACUCUCAUACCCAUGAUCUUAACAAAAAUAUAUACGGCAUUAACCGAAGUGAAGGGGGGAUGAGAUUUUUUGAGGGCAGUAACCUGAUAUUACAGUUAUGGAUGAUGGAGCAUUUGCAUGCGCCUUCUUUAGUUAGACCAGACAUGGUUGAUCAUUGUAUUCCCAAUCGAGUGAAAGCCAUGGACCUCAGGUUGCGUUUGGAUAAAUUCUCGCUACCCGUGGGAGUCGAUGCUUUGGAUUGAAUUUCUUGAGUCAAGAACCGGGGAUAACAUUUUAUGGACUUGUCUGUUUUAAGUCGAACCAGCGCAGCUUAGGGGAAGAAUACAGGAAGAAUGCAUAGUUGACGAUCAUCAGGAUGAAAAGUACGGGGUCCAAAGUGGAGACACUGAGAGUUUAGUUAGCAGAUUUGUUCAAGACGGUAGAAAAGUAUCAGAAUAAUCUUUCCAAGUGCACUCCUCAUGAGGCAGGAAUACGGGCCCGAAGCUUCUUCCCUAAUACCAGAGUGUCUUUACUUGAUGAGCUACAAAUUUUGAAUGGGAGAAAGAGAACUUCACAGGCAGGUGCAUCUCAGCCAGGGUCAUCACGCAGAGCACCAGUCUGAAAGAGCAUUUCUUAUCUUUAUUCAGUUUUGAGUCUUUUAUGUUUCUGUCAUUGUAGGGUGGUGUCUGUUUUAAGUCGAAGUGAAGUUGUUUUUGAUAUUAGGGUCUUUAUUAGAAAUUUCACGUAUGUCGUCUUAGGGGUCUAGAAUGUUGUUUUGUAUUUGUUGUUUAGUUUUAAAGUGGUCCUAAAUUCUUUGUAUGUUUUUGUUUUUUCUUUCAUCAAAAUGUUAUGAUGUUACAUCUUUCUUUUGUUUGUUUGUAUUCGUUUUUCGUAAAAAAAAAAACCUUCAAUUAUGUGAUGUUUAUGCAUAUGCAGCCCGAACUACGCAAGAUCUGAUUCAUGUACAACAUGAUACGUAGGCAACCUACUUUUUAGUUCGAUCUAAUCAUUUUGUUUCAUUGUUUUUCAUUAUUUUUCCUCUUUUAAAGAAAAAACAAAAGUCAUAAAGAAUGAUAAAAUGAAGGUAGAUAGUGAGAGAAAAAAAGAAAGAAAGGAUGAUGAGACAAUAAAGGGAAAGAACAGAGACUGAUACGAAAAAAAGAGAGAGGGAAAGGAGGGCGAAAAAAAAUAAUAAGUGCAGAUAAAAAUUGGGAUGAUGUUAAAAUGACCUCGCUACCCUCAAAAGUUGGUAGAAAUGAACAUGAAUUUAGGACAAUUUUACCAAUGUGAUUCCCAUGCUUGUUGUGUGCCCUAAUCCUAACGGAUGUCGUCUUUGAUGAGCAUGUUCUUUCAGAUAACAGUGGUAGGUUUUCAGUACACUGGCUAGUCACCCAUACUUCACUAGAUCCAAAGCAAAGCUCGCCAUGGCUUGCAGGGAGAUUGAAAAUUCGCUCAUUGACCCAGAUCAGGAUCACAGAGAAGAAAGUUCUGAACACAAUGACGAGGUAGUAAGGCUCAGGCAACAAUUGAUAGAUUUGCACUGGGCAUGGGCCAGCGGAAUGCCUCCUCCUCCACUCCCUGAAGGUCUUGGGAAUAUCUCUAAUUUCCCACCGCUCUCUCAGGAACAAUUCUCUGCUCCUACUGAGUUACCUGAGUACGUGCCAGGAUUCACUCUGCGAUAUUAUUUUCCUGGCAGUUCUAGUGUGCCCUUUGAAACUCCCCAAUCAAGACUUGCUGCUCAUCCGGCACCACCGAUCACACUAGUAUUCGUGGCUCUUCCAACACCUGAAGCACCCACAUAUGUUGUGCAUCCGAUAAUGGGGCUUCCUCGGUCUGCCAGUGAGCCAGCAUUGAAGGUUCGAGAUAGUUAGUAUUAUGCCCCGGAGCCUACUUUGAGAGUGAAUGAUGGGUACACUCAGCCACCUGCAUUUCCAUUUGAUACGAAGAAACCUGUUGCAACAGAGGAACAAGAAGUCAUAGCGCGGAAUUUGAAAAGUUUAGAACAGGCCAUGAGGAAUUUACAGGGAAUCGGAGGUUAUAAGAGUGUUUCCUAUAAAGAUCUUUGCAUGCUCCCAGACAUCAACCUUUCCCUCGGUUUUAAAAUGCCCAAGUUUGAGAAGUAUGCAGGGCAUGGUGAUCCCGUGGCACACUUGAGACGUUAUUGCAACCAAUUGAGGGCUGCAGGAGGAAGGUAAGAGCUGCUCAUGGCUUUCUUUGGCGAGAGUCUUUCUGAUCUGGCUUCAGAAUGGUUUAUCGAUCAAGAUAUCGACAAGUGGAACAACUAGGAUGACUUAGCUUCUGAGUUUGUGUAAUAUUUUUAGUAUAACAUCGACCUAAUUCCAGAUGAAAAAUCCUUGGUCAACAUGAAGAAGAAAAAUACUGAAGGUUUUAGAGAAUACGCGAUAAGGUGGCGUGAACAGGCCGCCAGGGUAAAACCUUCAAUGAAAUAAAGUAAGUUGGUAGAGGUUUUCAUUUAAGCAUAAGAUGAGACCUAUUUUCAACAUUUACUUUCUGUAAUGGGAUAGUCUUUUAUUUAAGUCCUCAAAAUGGGGGACAUGAUAAAGGCCGGAAUCAAGACCGGCCGAUAGUAAGUUUUUCCGCAUUGAAAGCCACCACACAAGUGAUUCAAGGUGGAUCUGGCACAUUUGGAGGUAAAAAUAAGAAAGAGGACGUGGCGACUGUCGUAGCUGGACCCAUUCCUAUCCCAAAAGAACACCUCACCCCUAUCCCCAAUCCCAAGCCCAAGUCUAUGCCCAAGCUCCAUAUAUUCCUCCCCACCAUUACUACCUUCAACAAAACCCUUUAUAUUCCAUUCCACCACCCCCGUAUCUAGUAUAUAGCGCGCAGCCAUAUGGCUAAACCCUUUCUUACCCGCAAUGGCAUGCGCAAGCUCCACAAAAUCGCCCAUCUGCUCCACUGAAUUACCAAAACCCCUCCAGACUCGGUUUUCAACCUAGGCCCAAGUAUAAGAAAGAGAAGGCGGUCAAAAAUCAAUUCACACCUCUUGGGAAGCCAUAUGCUAGUUUGUUUGAUAGGUUGAGAAAGUUGAUGGUCUUAAGCCCAAUUUAAGGAAGGCUUUCAAAUCCACUGCCGAGGAAUCUCGAUUAUUCUUUAAGGUGUACGUACUGUUCUGACAUACCAGUCCAUGAUAUCGAGAAAUGCUAGCAUUUAAAGAGAGUUGUCCAAGAUUUAAUUAACACAAAUCAGAUGCUGGUCCAGGCCCCGGAGGGUCCAAACAUUAAUCAGAAUCCACUGUCAAACCAUGCUGAAACCAAUAUAUUCGAAUUGAUAUAUGACGGGAAAAAGUCAUCAAGGUGUUAUAACUCUAUCGUCAAGAUACAGACCAUUGAGGAGAAAUAGAUGAAUGUAGCAGAGUCAUUGAAAGCAAUGUCAUUGAUCUAGGAAUGAAUGAGAGAAGAUAAAGCCCAAGAAAGCACAAAGAAACCCCUGAUCAUGGUGCAAGGUUCCAGAAGGUAUGUUGAUUUAAGUCAGGAUAAAUCUAAGUUGACAGUGGUAGGAGCUUUGAGUAAGCCCAUCUUAACGGUGAAAGAAGCGCUGGCAGCGCCUAUAGUCCUCAAACCGGUGACCCAACCUCCGAUAGUUGAUACGAAAAGGGUUCCCUAAAAUUAUGGGUGUACUGUGAUGAUCUAUGAUGGGAAAGAAGUAGUGGAAGAUAUAGAUGAGGUAGGGGUUUUGACUCGGUCAGGAAGAUACUUCGUGCCUGAAAGUUUAAGAAAGUCCAAGCCAAUUGUGAGUGGACCGUCAUCUAUUAAAAAUCCUAUCACCAAAGAAGCCGAAGAAUUUUUGAAAAAGAUGAAAUUGCCAGAGUAUUCAAUAAUAGACCAGUUGAAGAAAAUCCCUGCUCAAAUUUCCCUCUUAUCUUUGUUGUUGCACUCCAAGGAGCAUCGUGAUAUUUUACUGAAGGUAUUAAAUGAAGCAUAUGUUCCUAGGGAGAUUACAAUAAAUCAGCUUGAGAAAAUAGUUGGAAAAAUCUUUGAGGUCAAUAAGAUCAUCUUUUCUGAUGAUGAAUUGCCUGUUGAAGGUACAGGGCAUAACUGGGACCUUUACAUUUCAGUGAAGUACGAAGAUUUCUACGUCACUCAUGUUAUGAUUGAAGAAGGUUCAGGUGAAAAUAUCUUCCCUAUUUCUACUUUGCAAAAAUUGAAUAUUGGUGCUAAGAGGAUCAGGCCUAACAAUGUAUGUGUCAGGGUUUUCGAUGAUGCAAAAUCAAACUCCAUUGGUGAAAUAGAACUAAUGUUGAUCAUAGGGCCUGUUGAGUUUGCCAUAGAUUUUCAAGUAUUGAAUAUAGACUUCUCUUACAAUUUUUUGUUGGGAAGGCCAUGGAUCCACAAGGCUAAGGCGGCUGCAUCUACACUACACCAAAUGAUUAAGUUUGAGCAUGACAGGAAAGAAGUGGUUAUUCACGGUGAAGGAGAUUUGUCCGCCUACGAAGAUUCUCCCUUGUCUCUUAUUGAAGCAAAUAACGUAGAGGAUAUAUUCGUCUAUCAAAUUUUUGAUACAAUGCUAGUGAAUCGUAUCCUUAAAUGACAGGCUAUACCGGGACCGUAAUUGUCUUCCGCUUCUAUCAUGAUGGUGAGUGAACUUUGGAAAUAUGGAUUUGAACCAGGAAAGGGUUUGGGAGCGUCUCUGCACGAUAUAGUUGAGAACGUGGGAACGUUUGGUCUGGGAUUUGAGCCUACGGCUGAAGAUCUGAAGAAAGCCAAGGGAAAGAAAAUGAAAACAUGGUCACUCCCUCGCCCAAUGGCACUACUCAGUAAAUCAUUUGUUAAGAGCACUGUCAUGAAGCAUGUGGAAUUUGAAGUUGAAUUGGUUGAUAACUGCCAGAACCUUUUUAUUGAAGUUGAUAUGGUCGAAGCAGGAAAAGGUAAUUGGGAAGUCACUUCUCUCCCCGUCAGGAGGGAGUUUUGGUAGUUUUUUUGUUUUUCUUUCUGUUUAUCCGAGUUAUUUCAGGAUUGUAAUUAUGAUUUUAGUUUGUUUAUGUUAUGCUGGCAUCUAUGAUUAAGCCCUUCUAUCUUUUUAUUUAAUGAAAUGCAAUGUCCCUUUUGUUUUGUGUCUAACAUAUUUUGUUUUUCUUUUUUUUUAUAUACAGUUCUCUUUAUGCUAAUUCUAAUGACAUGACAUGUAUGCGGAAUUUUCAGCCUGAUCUUAAAAUCUAAACUAAUCAAGAUAUAAUGAAGCAGGAUGGGGAAUAUGAUGAAGAAGAAGCACUAGAAGAAAUAAGCAAAGAGUUGGGACAGUUUGAAGACAAAUCGAAUCCUAAUUUGAAUGAGACUGCACCAAUAAAUCUAGGGAAUGAAGAAGAUGUUAAGGAAACUAAAAUUAGUGUACAUGCUUUGCCACAGCUAAAAGAUGGAAUGAUUCAAGCAUUAAUUGAUUAUAAGUAUGUUUUUGCAUGAUCUUAUGAUGAUAUGCCUGGUUUAAGCACUAAAUUAGUGACUCACAAAUUGCCAACUGACCCUAUAUUCCCUCCUAUCAAAUAGAAGUUGAGGAAGUUUAAAACUGAUGAAAGUAUUAAAAUCAAAGAGGAAAUUAUGAAAAAACUUGAAUCAAAGUAAUUCGAGUGGCUCGUUUUCCCAUGUGAUUAUCCAAUAUUGUUCCCAUACCAAAGAAAGAUGGCAAAAUUUGAGUGUGUGUUGAUUAUCGUGAUUUGAACAGAUCAAGUUUGAAAGAUGAUUUUCCACUGCCUAACAUCCAUAUUUUGCUAGACAACUGUGCUAAACACGAGUUUUCCUCUUUUGUGGAUUGCUAUGCCAGAUAUCACCAGAUCAUUAUAGAUGAUGAAGAUGCAGAGAAAAUAUCUUUUAUCACACCAUAGGGGACCUAUUAUUAUCGAGUGAUGUCGUUUGGUUUGAAGAAUGUUGGAGCAAUAUACAUGAGAGCCAUGACCACUAUGUUUCAUGAUAUGAUACAUAAGGAGAUUGAGGUAUACGUUGAUGAUGUGAUUAUUAAGUCAAAAAUUUGGGCCGACCAUGUUAAAGAUUUAAGAAAGUUCUUUGAAAGGUUUUGCAGGUAUAAUCUCAAGCUCAACCCGGAAAAAUGUGUAUUUGGAGUUCCAUCUGGAAAGCUGUUGGGGUUUGUGGUCAGCUGUCGAGGGAUUGAAUUGGAUCCCUCAAAAUCAAAGCCAUUCAGGAUUUGGCCUUGCCCAAGAAUAGGACGGAGGUAAUGAGUUUGCUUGGUAGACUGAACUACAUUAGCAGGUUUAUUACUCAACUCACAACCACUUGUGAGCCCAUAUUCAAGUUGCUAAAAAAGAGUGCUAUGGUAGAAUGGACUGAAGAAUGUCAGGAAGCGUUCGACAGAAUCAAAAGAUAUUUUUCAAAUCCGCCCGUGCUGGUACCACCAAAGCCUGGUAGGCCUUUGAUCUUAUAUUUAUCAGUCAUGGACAAUUCUUUUGGUUGUGUCCUGGGUUAACAUGAUGUCACAGGCAAAAAGGAGCAGGCUAUUUAUUAUUUUAGCAAGAAGUUCACCGCAUAUGAGGCCAGAUAUACCCUUCUUAAAAUGACAUGUUGUGCCUUAACUUGGGUAGCAUAGAAGUUGAAGCAUUAUCUCUCAUCCAAUACUAUUUAUCUCAUCUCCUGCAUAGAUCAUUUAAAAUAUAUCUUUCAGAGCCUAUGCCGAUAGGUCGAUUGGCAAAGUGGAAAAUAUUGCUUACCGAGUUUGACAUUGUAUAUGUGACUCGAACCUCCAUGAAAGCCCAGGCCUUAGUAGAUCAUCUUGCUGAGAAUCCCAUCAAUGAAGAGUACGAUCCAUUAAAGACAUAUUUUCCUAAUGAAGAAGGGUCGUGUGUCGAUAAAGUCAUUAUAGAUGCUGAUCCAGGUUGGAAGUUGUUCUUCGAUGGACCAGUUAAUAUGAAAGGAGUCGGAAUAGGUGUGGUUCUUAUCUCUGAAUCGGGUCAAUAUUUCCCAGUAACAGCACAACUUUGAUUUUACUAUACUAACAAUAUGGCGGAGUAUGAAACUUGCAUUCUUGGUUUGAGGUUCGCUGUUGAUAUGGGAGUCCAGGAAUUAUUGGUGCUGGGGGAUUCGGAUUUGCUCGUCUAUCAAAUUCAAGGAGAUUGGGAGAAGCGAGAUUUGAAGCUCAUCCCGUAUCGACAAUGCUUGUAGGAGUUAUGUCAACGGUUUGUGUUAGUAAAAUUUAUGCAUAUUCCAAGGAUUCAUAAUGAAAUUGCUGAUGCUUUAGCCACUCUGUCUUCAAUGCUCCAACAUCUUGAUAAAGCCUAUAUUGAUCCUAUGCAUAUACAGAGUCCUGAUUAGCAUGCUUACUGUAAUGCGGUUGAAGAAGAGCUCGAUGGAGAACCAUGGUUCUUGGAUAUCAAGCGAUACAUCUAGUCAGGAGAAUAUCCAACAUAUGCCACCAACAAUCAAAAGAGGACUGUUAGGUGUUUGGCUAGUGGAUUUUUCUUAAGUGGGGGGAUCUUAUAUAAGAGAACCCCAGAUCUAGGACUUUUGAGGUGUGUAGAUACAAGAGAAGCCUCAGCAAUCAUGGUUGAAAUACACUCUGGAGUAUGCGGGUCGCAUAUGAACGAUCAUGUCUUUUCAAAGAAGAUUCUUCGAGUAGGUUAUUACUGGCUUACUAUGGAGAGAGAUUCUAAUUGAUUUGUUUGAAAGUGUCAUCAAUGUCAGGUACACGGUGAUUUGAUACGUUCUCCUCCUGCUGAUUUGCAUGCAAUGGCUUCUCUAUGGCCGUUUAUGGCUUGGGGAAUGGAUGUGAUUGGACUGAUUGAGCCAAAGGCAUCAAAUGGACAUAGAUUCAUUUUGGUAGCCAUUGAUUACUUGACAAAGUGGGUAAAAGCAGUAACUUUUAAGUCAGUAACAAAGAAGGAUGUGGUAGAUUUUGUUCACGCCAACAUCAGUUGUAGGUUUGGAAUUCCUAAGAUGAUCAUUACAGAUAAUGCUGCCAAUCUCAAUAGUCAUUUGAUGCAAAAAGUGUGCCAACAGUUUAAGAUCGCACAUCGAAAUUCUACUCCAUAUUGCCCAAAGGCCAAUGGUGUUGUAGAAGCCGCCAAUAAGAAUAUAAAAAAGAUACUACAAAAAAUGGUACAAGGGUCUAGACAGUGGCAUAAAAAGUUGCCGUUUGCAUUGCUAGGUUAUCGCACCACUGUUCGCACUUCAACAGGGGCAACUCCAUAUUUAUUGGUGUAUGGGACAGAAGCAGUCAUCCCUGCAGAAGUUGAAAUUCCCUCUCUUCGAGUCAUUGUAGAAGCAGAGAUUGAUGAUGACGAAUGGGUCAAAACCCGACUGGAAUAUUUGAGUUUGAUUGAGAAAAAAAAUACUAAUGUUUGUGUAUCAUGGUCAGUUGUAUCAGAGGAGGAUGGCUCGAGCGUAUAACAAAAUGAUCCAUCCCAGGAAUUUUGAAGUUGGUCAGUUGGUAUCAAAACGUAUCUUUCCUCACUAGGUUGAAGCGAAAGGCAAGUUCUCCCAUAACUGGCAAAGUCCCUUCGUUGUGAAGAAAGUGUUGCCUAAUAGAGCCUUAUAUUUGAUAGAUAUUGAACGUAAAAUGGCUGAAAUGGCUAUCAAUGCUGAUGCAGUCAAAAGAUAUUAUGUAUGAUAUUUUAUCCUUUGUUGAUUUUAUUGCAUGUUUAGUACUUGCAUUNNNNNNNNNNNNNNNNNNNNNNNNNNNNNNNNNNNNNNNNNNNNNNNNNNNNNNNNNNNNNNNNNNNNNNNNNNNNNNNNNNNNNNNNNNNNNNNNNNNNNNNNNNNNNNNNNNNNNNNNNNNNNNNNNNNNNNNNNNNNNNNNNNNNNNNNNNNNNNNNNNNNNNNNNNNNNNNNNNNNNNNNNNNNNNNNNNNNNNNNNNNNNNNNNNNNNNNNNNNNNNNNNNNNNNNNNNNNNNNNNNNNNNNNNNNNNNNNNNNNNNNNNNNNNNNNNNNNNNNNNNNNNNNNNNNNNNNNNNNNNNNNNNNNNNNNNNNNNNNNNNNNNNNNNNNNNNNNNNNNNNNNNNNNNNNNNNNNNNNNNNNNNNNNNNNNNNNNNNNNNNNNNNNNNNNNNNNNNNNNNNNNNNNNNNNNNNNNNNNNNNNNNNNNNNNNNNNNNNNNNNNNNNNNNNNNNNNNNNNNNNNNNNNNNNNNNNNNNNNNNNNNNNNNNNNNNNNNNNNNNNNNNNNNNNNNNNNNNNNNNNNNNNNNNNNNNNNNNNNNNNNNNNNNNNNNNNNNNNNNNNNNNNNNNNNNNNNNNNNNNNNNNNNNNNNNNNNNNNNNNNNNNNNNNNNNNNNNNNNNNNNNNNNNNNNNNNNNNNNNNNNNNNNNNNNNNNNNNNNNNNNNNNNNNNNNNNNNNNNNNNNNNNNNNNNNNNNNNNNNNNNNNNNNNNNNNNNNNNNNNNNNNNNNNNNNNNNNNNNNNNNNNNNNNNNNNNNNNNNNNNNNNNNNNNNNNNNNNNNNNNNNNNNNNNNNNNNNNNNNNNNNNNNNNNNNNNNNNNNNNNNNNNNNNNNNNNNNNNNNNNNNNNNNNNNNNNNNNNNNNNNNNNNNNNNNNNNNNNNNNNNNNNNNNNNNNNNNNNNNNNNNNNNNNNNNNNNNNNNNNNNNNNNNNNNNNNNNNNNNNNNNNNNNNNNNNNNNNNNNNNNNNNNNNNNNNNNNNNNNNNNNNNNNNNNNNNNNNNNNNNNNNNNNNNNNNNNNNNNNGACGAAAGUUUUUUAAGAUGACGUCAAUCGAAUGUGAUGUAUGAGUCCAAUGGAUUUGAAGAAGCGGCUCAGCAGCAAAGGCAUGAACUCAACAACAAAUGGGGAGUUUGGAUAGGAAGAUCAGGCAGCUCAAUCCAAAAUGCAUGUCAUACUCAUUGGAGUUGGUUGUCGUAUUCAGAUAAGUUUUCUUUUUGAAUAUGGGACAUUUCCCUUUUCUUUCAUUUACAUAUUCAUGAUUUUUGUCUUUUUAGGUCAUUUAUCAAAAUAAAAGUCACCAUCAUUUCUUUAUAUUUUAAGUCAAGUCUGUGUCAAAAUAAGCGAGAAAGGAUUUCAAAAUUUAUUACCAGUCUUUUCAAUUAUAUGAGAAAAAGCCAAGGACCAGCACAUGAAAGAAAUAUGAUCAUAAUUCAACAUGAAAAAGAAGGAAGUCUAUCAACCGACGGGCUGUUGGAUUCGUGGAAGCAUUCAAAUUUGGGAAAAGAGUGCACCUCAGAGACAUGGUAAAAUGAAAACCCAUUGUUCGAGUCAGAGCUCAUUUCCCUCAAUCUGGAUUCGGGUCGAUGAUGCAGCAAGACAGGGCAAGUGUCAGCAAUUCAAAACAAAGAUGAAAGGAACGAGUGCUGGGGCAGAUACCUGAGAAGCCAAGAGCUGCAAGCCACCACUAAGUUUAAAACUGACAGAUUUUCUUUGUUGAAAUAGGGGCAAAUUCGCUUCACUUAAUUCAGCUACUAAUGGAAAUGCACAUUCGUGGGAUUUUAAUUCCAAUUUAGGACCUUCCUGAAAAAUGGGAUUUUACUUUUUGUUCAAGACCUCCUGAUAAAUGGGAUUUUACUUUAUGCUCAAGACCCUCCUGAAAAAUGGGACUUUACUUUCUGUUCAGGACCCUCCUAAAAAUGGGACUUUACCUUCUGUUUAGGACCCUCCAAAAAAAUGGGACUUUACUUUCUGCUCAGGACCCUCUUGGAAAAUGGUACUUUACCUUCUGUUCAGGAACCACCUGAAAAAUGGGAUUUUACUUUAUGUUCAGGACCAUCCUAAGAAAUGGGAUUUUACUUUCUGCUUAGGAACCUCCUGAAAAAUUGGACUUUACUAUUUGUUCAGGACCCUCCUGGAAAAUGAGAUUUUACUUUCUGCUCAGGACCCUCCUGAAAAAUGGGACUUUACCUUCUGCUUAGGACCCUCCUAAAAAAUGGGAUUUUAUUUUCUAUUCAGGACCCUCCGGAAAAAUGGGACUUUACCUUCUGUUCAUGACCCUCCUAAAAAAUGGGAUUUUAAUUUCUGCUCAGGACCCUCCUGAAAAAUGGGACUUUACUUUCUAUUCAGGACCCUCCUGAAAAAUGGGACUUUACCUUCUUUUCAGGACCCUCCUGAAAAAUGGGAUUUUACUUUAUGUUCAGGACCCUCCUGAAAAAUGGGAUUUUACUUUCUGCUCAGGACCCUCUUGAAAAAUAGGAAUUUACUUUAUAUUCAGGACCCUCCUGAAAAAUGGGAUUCUACUUUCUGUUCAGGACCCUCCUGAAAAAUGGGAUUUUACUUUCUUCUCAGGACCCUCCUAAAAAAUGGGACUUUACCUUCUGUUCAGGACCCUCCUAAAAAAUAGGACUUUACCUUCUGUUCAGGACCCUCCUAAAAAAUGGGAUUUUAUUUUCUGUUGAGGACCCUCCUGAAAAAUGGAAUUUUACUUUCUGUUCAGGACCCUCCUAAAAAAUGGGAUUUUACUUUCUGCUAAGGACCCUCCUGAAAAAUGGGACUUUACUUUCUGUUCAGGACCCUCCUGGAAAAUGGGACUUUACCUUCUGUUCAGGAUCCUCCUAAAAAAUAGGACUUUAUUUUCAAUUCAGGACCUUCCUGGAAAAUGGGACCACACUUUCAAAAAUGAAAUACUAUUUUACUAUAAUCUUUGUUUUGGUAAUUUUAUUUCUAGUUUCUGUUUUGAUUUUAGGAGCCCACCUAAAGAACAAGUGAUGAAAUGGAAAAUUAAAAGCCCGCUUGAAGAGCAAGGCGAAUAAAUGAAAGUCGAGCAACGAAGUGAAGCAAUGGAAAAUCAAGCAACAAGUUGAAAGAAAUUGCAAGCUAGAAGCCCGCUUGAAGAAUAGGGUGAUAAAACUCAAGGCAAGAGUAAAGAAAACUGUAUAGAUAAGAUUUUUGUGAUUUCAUUUAUGCUUUAACUUGUAAUUUUUAUUUUGAUGUAAUGACAGAACCACGGACCGGAACCUGUAAUACGAUGUCUGAGUCCAAUGAAUUUGAAGAAGCGGCUCAGUGGCAAAGGUACGAACUCAACAAAAAAUGGGGAGUUUGGAUAGGAAGAUCAGACAGCUUAAUCCAAAAUGCAUGUCAUACUCAUUGGAGUUGUUUGUCAUAUUCAGAUAAGUUUUUUUUUUGAAUAUGGGACAUUGCCCUUUUCUUUCAUUUACAUAUUCAUGAUUUUGUCUUUUUAGGUCAUUUAUCAAAAUAAAAGUCACCAUCAUUUCUUUACAUUUUAAAUGAAGUAUGUGUCAAAACAAGUGAGAAAGGAUUUCAAAAUUUAUUACUAAUCUUUCCAAUUAUAUGAGGAAAAGCCAAGGACCAGCACAUGAAAGAAAUAUGAUCGUAAUUCAACACGAAGUAAAGGAAGUCUAUCAACCGACAGGCUGUUGGAUUCGUAGACGCAUUCAAAUUUGGGAAAAGAGUGCACCUCAGAGGCAUGGUAAAAUAAAAACCCAUUGUUUGAGUCAGAGCUCAUUUUCCUCAAUCUGGAUUUGGGUCAAUGAUGCGGCAAGACAGGGCAAGUGUCAGCGAUUUAGAACAAAGAUAAAAGAAACGAGUGCUGGGGCAGAUACCUGAGAAGCUAAGAGCUGCAAGCCACCACUAAGUUUUUAACUACCAAAUUUUCCUUGUUGAAAUAGGGGCAAAUUCGCUUCACUUAAUUCAGCUACUAUUGGAAAUGCACAUCCUUGGGAUAUUAAUUCUAGUUUAGAACCCUCUAAAAAAAUGGGAUUUUACUUUAUGUUCAGGACCCUCCUAAAAAAUAGGAUUUUACUUUCUAUUCAGGACCCUCCUGAAAAACAGGACUUUACUUUCUGUUCAGGACCCUUCUAAAAAAUGAGACUUUACCUUCUGUUUAGGACCCUCCUGAAAAAUGGGAUUUUACUUUCUGCUCAGGACCCUCCUGAAAAAUGGGACUUUACCUUCUGUUCAGGACCCUCCUGAAAAAUAGGAUUUUACUUUCUGCUCAGGACCCUCCUGAAAAAUGGGACUUUACCUUCUGUUCAGGACCCUCCUAAAAAAUGGGACUUUAUUUUUUAUUCAAGACCCUCCUGAAAAAUGGGACUUUACAUUCUUUUCAGGACCCUCCUAAAAAAUGGGAUUUUAUUUUUUGUUUAGGACCCUCCUGAAAAAUGAGAUUUUACUUUCUGUUCAGGACCCUCCUGAAAAAUGGGACUUUACUUUCUGUUCAGGACCCUCCUGGAAAAAUGGGACUUUACCUUCUGUUCAGGAUCCUCCUAAAAAAUGGGAUUUUAAUUUCUGUUCAGGACCCUUCUAAAAAAUGGGACUUUAUUUUCAAUUCAGGACCCUCCUGAAAAAUGGGACCACACUUUCAAAAAUGAAAUACUAUUUUACUAUAAUCUUUGUUUUUGUAAUUUUGUUUCUAGUUUUUGUUUUGAUUUCAGGAGCCCUCCUGUAGAACAAGUGAUGAAAUGGAAAAUCGAAAGCCCGCCUGAAGAACAAGGCGAAUAAAUGAAAGUCGAGCAACGAAGUGAAGCAAUGGAAAAUCAAGCAACAAGUUGAAAGAAAUUGCAAGCUAGAAGCCCGCUUGAAGAAUAGAGUGAUAAAACUCAAGGCAAGAGUAAAGAAAGCUGUAUAGAUAGGAUUUUUGUGAUUUCAUUUAUGCUUUAACUUGUAAUUUUUAUUUUGAUGUAAUGACAGAACCACGGACCGGAACCUCGAUGGAACCUCACUCGACUCUCCAACUCGAUAUAGUCCAUCUCCUGCCAUUUUUUUGAGAUACUAGUCGCUCGAUCACCCCAUAACUUGGGUAGGUAGGAUGUCCUAAGUCAAGACCUGGGUUCCCUCCUUCCUCUUGCUCCGUGCUUUUGAAUAAAGGUCAGGACAAAAUUCCAUCUCGUUGUCUUCUGCUUUGUAUGAAAACACCAUGUGUUUACAUCCAAAGGGGGCAUGCUGUAGACACGUGAUUUUGUCCUCCUAAAGUUUAAUUUUAUUCACUUUUACCCAUUUAUUACUUUAUCCUACCGUGUUCCCUCAUCUACGUGAUUAUACUCCACAAAAAUACAAAAAUACAAAAAUAACAAACUUCCUAACAAAUUCUAUCCUAUCCUAACCUCCUUUACACCUCAACCAAACAACCUACCCAAUAAAAAAUAAACAUCUAACCCUUACCCCUCCAAUUAAAAAAAAUAACACCCCUACCCCACAUAACCCCAUUUACAUAUUUUUCAUCAAAGCAUUAACAAAAAUUAGAUAGAGAUUCUUAGGUGGAAAGAAACAAUACAACAAAAAAGGAUAGAGAAGAGGGGCCCAUAGGAAACUUCCAGGAAAGGCACCCUAGGAUUUUUUUUGUUUUGUUUUCACUCUAUAAUAUAUAUACAUAAAUGAUGAUAAGAAUAGGGGGGAUUUGGCUUUCUUCUACAUGGUUCAUUCCAGGAGAAGCUACCAUUGUCACUCUCACAUACACACACACAAACCUCCAUUAACACACGAACACAGAAGCCAUUAGGGAGUUGUUGUUUUUUUCUCUUUUUUUUUUUGCUUUUUGGUACACUCACAACACUAGAAGGGGACGGGAUUUCAUAAGAAAAGGGGGAAAUUAUCGAAAACUUGAUUUUCUUAUUUAUUUCUUUUUUUCCUCUUCAUCAUGCACAGUCACAAGCCUGCAUACACCCACAAAAAUGGAGUAAAACGGAAAGAGAGAAGACACGAUGAGGGAGAGAUAGGGGAGAUCGAGAGGGACAACAGAGUGUUUGAGGUUUUCCGAUGAACCCGGCAUUGGAGCUGUUGGUUUUGGUCGAUUCUAGUUGAAUCUGGCUGGAAACAGCGAGUUUCACUGAAAUCUGUUGUUAGCGUUGUGGUUCCCAUCAUUGAUACAACCAACGCUGAUUUGUUCAUCGCUGUCUCAAUCAUUUUCUUACGAAAAAUCUCACUUGGGUUGAGUUUAUCACAUUUCUGUUUUGAAUAUUUUGGGUUUACGUUGGUUUGGGAUUUGACUUCUGUUCAUCUCAAAUUGUGUCAUAUUAUAGUCAGUUUUAGUUUACUAUUUAUUGAUACCGAGUUGGGGUUUCAUCAUUGUUGAGGUUUUCUAUUUGAGCUUUCAGAUUUGGACUUCUUUUGACUCUUAUUGUUAUUAAAAAUUUGAUAUCGGAAGGUCCAUUCCUUAACUCUAUCAUUUCAUUAUUUCGAAUGUGGUUUUAUUGUGAUUUUGCGAUUUGGUUUUGGAUAUUUUAGUCGUAUUAAUUGUUGUUGCGAGUAUGAAUUACUCAUGUGCAUGAAAUGUUUUCAAUCUUUUGUCACUCAAUAAAUCAAAACCCUUUCGAACCUUAAACCAUAUCUUUUUGGAGUUGAAAAAAGGGGUGUACAAGGAAUAAAAAAUAUGUGAGGCGUUGGUGACAUGAGUGGGGUAGGGGUAGGUGAGGGUAAGGGUAUGGGUAGGUGAGGGUAAGGGUAGAGGCUGUGUUGACCUUUUGGGAUCCAAGUAGUUUGGUGUUCAGGUUUAGGGAAUGUGAAAUGACUCCUACUUUGGCAGAAAUAUCCGGUUUGUUACAUUUGCCCUAUAUCGAAAAGGAUAUGAUUCGAGCAAGAAAUCAUACUGGCAUGAGGUUUUUGCAAUCUUGUGGUUUAAAAAGUAAGGGUAUGCAUUUGGGUUGUUUAAGUGAUUUGUGGGUUUCCUUAGAUUUUUUGUUCGCUAGAUUCGGGCCCUCGGAAGGUUUUGAUUGCUUUUGGGAUGAAUUUUAUGUGACUAAGGAGAAGUGGGAGAGAAAGCGUCUUGAAGUCUUCACCCUCGCUUUGUUAGGUACUUCAGUGUUUCCGCUAGAAGAAAGACGUAUUAAUACACGUUUGCAAUCUAUGGUAAUGACUCUAUUUCAUAAGGAUCAAAAUGACAAGGACACUAAUCAAAAAGGCAAGGUCAUUAAUCAAAAGUGUAGGUUCACUCUCAUACCCAUGAUCUUAACAGAAAUAUAUAAGGCAUUAACCAAAGUGAAGGGGGGGAUGAGAUUUUUUGAGGGCAGUAACCUGAUAUUACAGUUAUGGAUGAUGGAGCAUUUGUAUGCGCCGUCUUUAGUUAGACCAGACAUAGUUGAUCGUUGUAUUCCCAAUCGAGUAAAAGCCAUAGACCUUAGGUUGUGUUUGGAUAAAUUCUCGCUAGUCGUAGGAGUCGACGCUUGGAUUGAAUUUCUUGAGUCAAGAACUGGGGAUAGUAUUUUGUGGACUUUUCUGUGGCUUCGACCAAAGAUAAUCUUGUUUGGUUGUCAAAUGCAGAUCCUUCUAGUUAUGUUAGGGCUCAAUUGCACUAGACUAUACAGUCCUUCUAGGGUAAUGCGCCAGUUGGGUAGGCCGCAGGACGUGCCACCAGUAGUGGAUCUUCUAAAGGAUGUUGAGUACUUCAAGGACCAAGCCUUAGGUGAAAUCAAACACAAGCAGUUCUGGAAGUAUGCAACAAAGCUUGGUGUGGACACUCUCAAAGAAAGUUUGGAUAAUCCGGGGUACACUCAGGGAUAUGGGGUCUGGCUUCAAUCUAUACCUCGGGGUAUCAUCCAACCCUUACCAGCGCGGCUUAGGAGAAGAAUACAGGAAGAAUGCAUAGUUGACGAUCAUCAAGAUGAAAGUGCGGGGUCCAAAGUGGAGACACUGAGAGUUCAGUUAGCAGAUUUGUUCAAGACGGUAGAAAGGUGUUAGAAUAAUCUUUUCAAGUGCACUCCUCAUGAGGCAGGAAUACGGGCCCGAAGCUUCUUCCCUAAUAUCAAAGUGUCUUUAUAGGACAAGUUACAAAGUUUGAAUGGGAGAAAGAGAACUUCACAGGCAGGUCCAUCUCAGCCAGGGUCAUCACGUAGAGCACCAGUCUAAAAGAGCAUUUCUUAUCUUUUUUUAGUUUGAGUCUUUUAUGUUUCUGUCAUUGUAGGGUGGUUUCUAUUUUAAGUCGAAUUCAAGUUGUUUUUUAUAUUAGGGUCUUUAUUAGAAAUUUCACGUAUGUCGUCUUAGGGAUCUAGAAUGUUGUUUUGUAUUUGUUGUUUAGUUUUAAAGUGGUCCUAAAUUCUUUGUAUGUUUUUAUUGUUUCUUUCAUCAAAAUGUUAUGAUGUUACGUCUUUCUUUUGUUUGUUUGUUUUCGUUUUUUGUAAAAAAAAAAACCUUCAAUUGUGUGAUGUUUAUGCAUAUGCAGCCCGAACUACGUAAGAUCUGAUUUAUGUAUAAUAUGAUACAUAGGCAACCUACUUUUGGGUUCGAUCUAAUCAUUUUAUUUCGUUGUUUUUCAUUAUUUUUCCUUUUUUAAAAAAAAAACAAAAGCCAUAAAGAAUUAUAAAAUGAAGGUAGAUAGUGAGAGAANNNNNNNNNNNNUUGUUUUUCAUUAUUUUUCCUCUUUUAAAGAAAAAACAAAAGCCAUAAAGAAUGAUAAAAUGAAGGUAGAUAGUGAGAGAAGAAAAGAAAGAAAGGAUGAUGAGACAAUAAAGGGAAAGAACAGAGACUGAUACGAAAAAAAGAGAGAGGGAAAGGAGGGCAAAAAAAGAAUAAUAACUGUAGAUAAAAAUCGGGAUGAUGCUAAAAUGACCUCGCUACCCUCAAAAGUUGGUAGAAAUGAACAUGAAUUUAGGACAAUUUUACAAAUGUGAUUCCCAUGCUUGUUGUGUUCCCUAAUCCUAACGGAUGUCGUCUUUGAUGAGCAUGUUCUUUCAGAUAACAGUGGUAGGUUUGAAGUACUCUGGCUAGUCACCCAUACUUCACUAGAUCCAAAGCAAAGCUCGCCAUGGCUAGCAGGGAGAUUAAAAAUUCGCUCAUUAACCUGGAUCAGGAUCAAAGGGAAGAAAGUUCAGAACACAAUGACGAGGUAGUAAGGCUCAGGCAACAAUUGAUAGAUUUGUACCGGGAAUGGGCUAGCGGAAUGCCUCCUCCUCCGCUCCCUGAAGGUCUUGGGAAUAUCUCUAAUUACCCACCGCUCUCUCAGGCACAAUUCUCUGCUCCUACUGAGUCACCUGAGCACGCGUCAGGAUUCACUCCGCGAUAUUAUUUUCCUGGCAGUUCUAGUGUACUCUUGGAAACUCCCCAAUCAAGACCCGCUGCUCAUCUGGUUCCACCAAUCACAUCGGUAUUCGUGGCUCUGCCACCACCUGAAGCACCCACAUAUGUUGUGCGUCCGACAAUGGGGCUUCCUCGGUCUGCCAGUGAGCCAGUAUUGAAGGUUCCAGAUAGUUAGUAUUAUGCCCCAUAGCCUACUUUAAGAAUGAAUGAUGGGUACACUCAGCCACCUGCAUUUCCAUUUGAUACAGAGAAACCUGUCGCAACAGAGGAAAAGGAAGUCAAAGUGCGGAAGUUGAAAAGUUUAGAACAUGCCAUAAGGAAUUUGCAGGGAAUCGGAGGUUAUAAGAGUGUUUCUUAUAAAGAUCUUUGCAUGUUCCCAGACAUCAACCUUCGCCUCGGUUUUAAAAUUCCCAAGUUCGAGAAGUAUGCAGGGCAUGGUGAUCCCGUGGCAUACUUGAGAUGUUAUUGCAACCAAUUGAGGGCUGCAGGAGGAAGGGAAGAGCUGCUCAUGGCUUUCUUUGGCGAGAGUCUUUCUGAUCUGGCUUCAGAAUAGUUUAUCGAUCAAGAUAUCGACAAGUGGAACAGCUGGGAUGACUUAGCUUCUGAUUUUGUGCAACAUUUUUAGUAUAACAUUGACCUAAUUCCGGAUGAAAAAUCCUUGGUCAACAUGAAGAAGAAAACCACUGAAGCUUUUAGGCAAUACGCGAUAAGGUGGCGUGAACAGGCCGCCAGGGUAAAGCCUCCAAUGAAAGAAAGUAAGUUGGUAGAGGUUUUCAUUCAGGCACAGGAUCAGACCUAUUUUCAACAUUUACUUCUGGCAAUGGGAAAGUCUUUUAUUGAAGUCCUCAAAAUGGGGGAGAUGAUAAAGACCGGAAUCAAGACCGACCAAAUAGUAAGUUUUUCCGCAUUGAAAGCCACCACACAAGCCAUUCAAGGUGGAUCUGGCACAUUUGGAGGUAGAAAGAAGAAAGAGGACGUGGAAACUGUCAUAGCUAGAACCCAUUCCUAUCCCAAAAGACCAUCUCGCCCCUAUCCCUAAUCCCAAGCCCAAGUCAACGCCCAAGCUCCAUAUAUUCCUCCCACAAUUACUACCCUCCACAAAACCCUUUAUAUUCCAUUCCACCACCCCCGUACCCAGUAUAUAGCGUGCAGCCAUAUGCCCAAACCCCUUCUUACCCAUAUUGGCGUGCACAAGCUCCACAAAACUCCACUGAAUUACGAAAACCCCUCCAGAUCCGGUUUUCAACCUAGGCCAGCGUAUAAGAAAGAGAAGGCGGUCAAAAAUCAAUUCACACCUCUUGGGGAGUCAUAUGCUAGCUUGUUUGAUAGGUUAAGAAAGUUGAAGGUCUUAAGCCCAAUUCAAGGAACGCUUUCAAAUCCACUGCCGACGAAUCUUGAUUAUUCUUUAAGGUGUGCGUACUGUUCUGACAUACUAGGACAUGAUAUCGAGAAAUGCUGUCAUUUAAUGAGAGUUGUCCAAGAUUUAAUUAACACAAAUCAGAUACAGAUCUAGGCCUCGGAGGGUCCAAACAUUAACCAAAAUCUGCUGCUAACCCAUGUUGAAACCAAUAUGUUAGAAUUGAUAUAUGACGAGAAAAAGUCAUCAAGGUGUUAUAAGUCUAUCGUCAAGAUACAAACCAUUAAGGAGAAAUCGAUGAAUAUAGCAGAGUCUUUAAAAGCAAUGUCAUUGAGCCAGGAAGGAAUGAGAGAAGAUAAAGCCCAAGAAAGCAUAAAGAAAUCCCUGAUCAUGGUGCAAGGUGCCAGAAGGUAUGUUGAUUUAAGUCAGGAUAAUCCUAAGUUGAUAGUGGUAGGAGCUUCGAGUAAGCCUAUCUUUACGGUGAAAGGAGCGCUGGUAGUGCCUAUUGUCCUCAAACCGGUGACCCAACCUCCGAUAGUUGAUACGAAAAGGGUUCCCUAGAAUUAUGGGCGGACUGUGAUUAUCUAUGAUUGGAUAGAAGUAGUGGAAGAUAUAGAUGAGGUAGGGGUUUUAACUCGGUUAGUAAGAUGCUUCGUGCCUGAAAGUUUAAAAGUCCAAGCCAAUUGUGAGUGGACCGUCAUCUAUCAAAAAGCCUAUCACUGAAGAAGAAGCCGAAGAAUUUUUGAAAAAGAUGAAAUUGCCAGAGUAUUCAAUAAUAGACCAGUUGAAGAAAACCCCUUCUCAAAUUUCCCUCUUAUCUUUGUUGUUGCACUCAAAGGAGCAUCGUGAUAUUUUACUGAAGGUAUUAAAUGAAGUAUAUGUUCCUAGGGAGAUUACAAUAAAUCAUCUUGAGAAAAUGGUUGGAAAAAUCUUUGAGGUCAAUCGGAUCAGCUUUUCUGAUAAUGAAUUGCCUGUUGAAGGUACAGGGCAUAACCGGGGCCUUUACAUUACAGUGAAGUACAAAGAUUUCUACAUCACUCAUGUUAUGAUCGACGGAGGUUCAGAUGAAAAUAUCUACCCUAUUUCUACUUUGCAAAAGUUAAAUAUUGGUGCUGAGAGGAUCAGGCCUAACAAUGUAUGUGUUAGGGCUUUCGAUGGAGCAAAAUGAAACUCCAUUGGCGAAAUAGAACUAAUAUUGAUCAUAGGGCAUGUUGAGUUCACCAUAGAGUUUCAAGUAUUGAAUAUAGACUCCUCUUACAAUCUCUUGUUGGGAAGGUCGUGGAUCCACAAGGCCAAGGCGGCUGCAUCUACACUACACCAAAUAAUUAAGUUUGAGCAUAACAGGAAAGAAGUGGUUAUUCACGGUGAAGGAGAUUUGUCCGCCUGCGAAGAUUCUCCCUUGUCUCUUAUUGAAGCAAAUAACGUAGAGGAUACAUUCAUCUAUCAAAUUUUUGAUACAAUGCCAGUGAAUCGUAUCCUUGAAUGGCAGGCUAUACCGGGACCAUAAUUGUCUUCCGCUUCUAUCAUGAUGGUGAGUGAAUUUUGGAAAUACAGAUUUGAGCCAGGAAAGGGUUUGGGAGCGUCUCUACACGGUAUAGUUUAUCCCAUGUGUCUGAGUGAGAACGUGGGCACGUUUGGUCUGGGAUUUGAGCCUACGAAUGAAGAUCUGAAGAAAGCCAAGGGAAGGAAAAAGGAAACAUGGUCACUCCCUCGCCUAAUGCCACUACUCAGUGAAUCAUUUGUUAAGAGCGGUAUCACGAAGCAUGUGGAAUUUGAAGUUGAAUUGGUUGAUAACUUCCAGAACUUUUUUGUUGAAGCUGAUAUGGUCAAAGCAAAAGAAGGUACCAGUAUGACAGACAUGCAAUUCAUAGGUCCAACUGUCCGACUCAAUAAUUGGGAAGUCACUCCUCUCCCCAUCGGAAGGGAGUUUUGGUAGUUUUUUUAUUUUUCUUUCUGUUUAUCCGAGUUAUUUCAGGGUUUUAAUUCUAAUUUUAGUUUGUUUAUGUUAUGUUGGCAUCCAUGCUUAAGCCCUUCUAUCUUUUUAUUUAAUGAAAUGCAAUGUCCCUUUUGUUUUGUGUCUAAUAUAUUUUGAUUUUCUUUUUUUUAUAUACAGUUCUCUUUAUGCUGAUUCUAAUGACAUGACAUGCAUGCGGAAUUUUCAGCCUAGUCUUAAAAUCCAAACUAAUCAAGAUGUAAUGAAGCAGGAUGGGGAAUAUGAUGAAGAAGAAGCACUAGAAGAAAUAAGCAAAGAGUUGAAAUAGUUUGAAGACAAACUGAAUCCUAAUUUGAAUGAGACUGAGCCAAUAAAUCUAGGGAAUGAAGAAGAUAUUAAGGAAACUAAAAUUAGUGUACAUGGUUUGCCACAGCUAAAAGAUGGAAUGAUUCAAGCAUUAAUUGAUUAUAAGGAUAUUUUUGCAUGGUCUUAUGAUGAUAUGCCUGGUUUAAGCACUGAAUUAGUGGCUCACAAAUUGCCAACUGACCCUGCAUUCCCUCCUGUCAAAUAGAAGUUGAGGAAGUUUAAAACUGAUGUAAGUAUUAAAAUCAAAGAGGAAAUCAUGAAACAACUUGAAGCCAAAGUAAUUCGAGUGGCUCGUUAUCCCAUGUGGUUAUCCAUUGUUGUUCCCAUACCAAAGAAAGAUGACAAAAUUCAAGUGUGUGUUAAUUAUCAUGAUUUGAACAAAGCAAGUCCGAAAGAUGAUUUUCCACUGCCCAACAUUCAUAUUUUGCUAGACAGCUGUGCUAAACAUGAGGUUUCCUCUUUUGUGGAUUGAUAUGCUAGAUAUCACCAGAUCAUUAUAGAUGAUGAAGAUGCAGAGAAAAUAUCUUUUAUCACACCAUAGGGGACCUAUUAUUAUCGAGUGAUGCCAUUCGGUUUGAAGAAUGCUGGAGCAACAUACAUGAGAUCCAUGACCACUAUGUUUCACGAUAUGAUGCAUAAGGAGAUUGAGGCAUACGUGGAUGAUGUGAUUAUUAAGUCAAAAAGCCGGGCCAACCAUGUUAAAGAUUUAAGAAAGUUCUUUGAAAGGCUUCGCAGGUAUAUUCUCAAGCUCAACCCGACAAAAUGUGUAUUUGGAGUUCCGUCUGGAAAGCUAUUGGGAUUUAUGGUCAGUCGUCGGGGGAUUGAAUUGGAUCUCUCGAAAAUCAAAACCAUUUAGGAUUUGCCCCUGCCCAAGAAUAGGACGGAGGUAAUGAGUUUGCUUGGUAGAAUAAACUACAUUAGCAGGUUUAUUGCUCAACUCACAACCACUUGUGAGCCCAUAUUCAAGUUGCUAAAAAUGAGUGUUGCAGUAGAAUGGACUGAAGAAUGUCAGGAAGCAUUCGACAGAAUCAAAAGAAAGAUGGUUCUUUGCGUAUGUUCAUUGACUAUCGCCAUCUUAACAAGGUUACGAUCAAGAAAAAUACCCUCUUCCUAGAAUUGAUAACCUGUUUGAUCAAUUGCAAAGUGAAAGUUAUUUCUCAAAGCUAUACCUUAGAUCUGACUAUCACCAACUCAAAGUAAAGGCGUGUGAUAUUCCAAAGACUGCCUUCCGAACCCGUUAUGGUCAUUUCGAGUUUCUAGUCAUGUCUUUGGGGAUAACCAAUGCUCCAACAACUUUCAUGGACAUCAUGAAUUGAGUGUUCAAAUAGUAUUUUGAUAUGUUUGUCAUAGUGUUCAUAGAUGAUAUCCUUGUAUACUCCUGUAGUGAGGAUGACCAUACAGAUCAUCUUAGAGUUUACUUGCAAACUCUUAGAGAUCAUCAAUUAUUUGCCAAAUUCAUCAAGUGUGAGCUUUGGCUAAGUUCAGUAGCCUUCCUGGGUUAUAUCGUUUCAGCCGAAGGCAUUAGAGUUGAUCCCCAAAAUAUAGAAGAUGUAAGAAAUUGGCCUAGACCUAUCUCUCCACAAAAAAUGAGGAGUUUCUUAGGUCUACCUGGCUAUUACCAAUGUUUUGUUGAAGGUUUCUUAUCUUUUGCAUCUCUUAUGAUCCGGUUGACUCAAAAGAAGGUUAAGUUUCUGUGGACAGAUUCUUGCGAGAAGAGUUUUCAGGAGUUGAAGACUUGACUCACUUCAACCUCAGUGCUAGCAUUACCUGAUGGUACAGAUAGAUUUGUGGUGUAUUGUGAUGCCUCUAGAGUUGGUUUGGGUUGUGUGUUGAUGUAGAGAGGUAAGGUUAUAGCCUAUACCUCUAAACAGUUGAAGCUGCAUAAAAAGAAUUACCCAACCCAUGAUCUUGAAUUAGCUACUGUGGUUUUUGCUUUGAAAAUUCAGAGACACUAUCUAUAUGGUGUUCAUGUGGAUGUCUUUACAGAUCACAAAAGCUUGCAGUAUGUGUUUACUCAGAGGGAGUUGAAUCUUUGUCAGAGGAGAUAUUUGGAGUUGCUAAAAAACUAUGAUAUGAGUGUGUUGUAUCAUCUAGGCAAGGCCAAUGUAGUGGCAGACGUCCUUAGUAGGUUGUCUAUGGUCAGUGUGGCUCACGUGGAGAAGGAUAAGAAAAAAUUAGCUCAUGAUGUUCAUUGUUUGGCUAGAUUGGGAGUUAUAUUGCUUGACUCGGUUGAAGGUAAUGUUUGGGUUCAGAGUAGUUUCGAACCCUCUUUAGUUUCAGAAGUGAAGAAGAAGCAAGCCAUGGACUCUAUUUUGGUCAAACUGAAGGAUUCAGUUAAAGACCAAAAGGUAGAGGUUUUCUCCCAAGGGGAAGUUGGUGUGUUGAGAUUUUAUGGUAGAUUGUGUGUCCCUUGUGUUGAUCAUUUGAGGCAGAGAAUUAUGGCUGAUAUGCAUGGCGCGCGAUAUUCUAUUCAUUCCAGCGCUACCAAGAUGUACCUCGACUUGCGGGAAAUCUAUUGGUGGAAUGGUAUGAAGAAGGAUAUAGAAAAGUUUGAAGCAAAGUGUACAACUUUCCAACAGGUUAAUAUAGAUCACCAAAGGACUGGUGGUAUGGUGUUUGGCAUCCCCACUUGGAAGUGGGAAGAGGUGAACAUGGAUUUUGUAACUGGUCAACCCCUUUUGCUUCAUCAUCAUGAUUUGAUUUGGGUUGUUAUAAACAGGUUAACUAAGUCAGUGCAUUUUCUGUUAGUGCAUACAUCUUAUACAGCUGAGGAUUAUGCUAGGUUGUAUAUCCGAGAGUUAGUCAAAUUGCACGGAGUUCCCUUGUCUAUCAUUUUGGAUAGAGGUACUCACUUUACUUCUCAGUUUUGGAGAACUUUUUAGAAGAUCCUUGGUACCUAGGUUCAUCUUAGUUCCGCUUUUGAUCCGCAGACAGAUAGUCAGGCUAAGAGGAGCAUUUAGACUUCGGAAGAUAUGUUGAGAGCAUGUGCUCUAGAUUUCAAAGAUAGUUGAGAUGAGUAUUUGCCAUUGAUUGAAUUCGCGUAUAAUAAUAGUUAUCACUCUAGUAUCCAGAUGGCCCGUUUGAGGCUCUUUAUGGAAGGAGAUAUAGAUCACCCAUAGGUUGCUUUGAAGUGGGUGAAACUUCUUUGCUUGGGCCUGAUACAGUGUUUGAGGCUAUGGAGAAAGUUAAGUUGAUUAGAGAAAGAUUAAAGACAGCCCAGAUUCAUCAGAAGUCAUAUGCAGACGUGAGGAGAAGGGACCUAGAGUUUGAGGUGGGUAAUUUGGUGUACUUUAAGAUUUCACCCAUGAAAAGGGUGAAGAGAUUUGGCAAGAAGGGGAAGCUUAGUCCCCAUAUUGGCCUCCAUCGAAUUCUGAGUCAAGUUGGGAAAGUAGCUUAUGAGGUUGAGUUGCCUGCAGAUUUGUCAGCUAUUCAUCCUGUCUUUCAUGUGUCCUUGCUUAAGAAGUGCAUCAGUGAGUCCGCCUUAGUAGAUCCUUCAGAGGGCUUAGAUAUUUAGAGCAGUCUUUCGUAUGAAGAGGUUUAAGUUGAGAUUCUAGAUCGCCAGAUCCGAAGACUAUGGAACAAAGAAGUUCUCUUGGUCAAAGUUCUGUGGAGAAAUCAAUCAGUUGAGGGCGCUACUUGGGAAGCAGAAGCAGACAUGCGAGACAAGUACCCGUAUCUCUUCUCCACAAACUCAGAUAUAUUUGAAGGUGCUGCUCUUCCUUAAUUCAUCCCCUUUCUAAUCAAACAUUUAGCUAUAAAGUUAUUCUUAUUAUGAGAUCAUACAUUCUCUAAAGUACUCAAAAGUGUAGAAUGAUGUGGAGUCAGUUUAGCAAUUUAUUUCAGUUGUGCAUCCUUAGUUUUCUCUGUAUUCUUAGCCUAACUAGUGGCAUUCCAGGACGAAUGUUCCCAAGGGGGAGAUAUGGUAAGGCCCCGCAAAAUCCUCAUCGUGUAAGUCCCUUAAAGAGUUCAAAAGAGUUCCUAGACUUAGAAAAUCUAGCUAAGUGUUGGUAUUUAGUCAUUUUUGAAGCCUCAAAACAUUGAGGAUUUUAUGGCCGACCUUCCCGACAUUCGAUAGUUGAUAUAUUAUCUUAUUCAUGAUCAGGAAGGUCAAUAGGUGUUCCCAAAUAAGUUUCAGAUUUUUCAGACUGAGUUUAGACCACGUUUGGUAUCCCAAAAUAGUGGACCAAUGUGAUCUUAGCGCGCUGUGUCUCCUAUCGCAUUGGUCAAUAUUGUUGUAGGAAUUUUCAGUCAAAAGUACUGAGGCUUGGCAUGAUCAUGGCGCAAUGCGUCGAGUAUCGCAUCGAUGCCAUCAACGUGCCUCGUCGACAACCGCAUCGGUGCCCAGUUUUUAGCUUUUGAAAAUCCACGUCCAAGGGGCCAAGUAAGUCAUUUUCCCUUAUCCUAAUUCAGUCUUAACACGAUAUUAAAGUCCCAAAACAUAAAAAAUAGCAAGUUACUCAAAUUCUAUCAAGAACACCUCCUAGAGUUUCAACCCUAAGUUCAAAAAGAUUCAAGAUUUCAUCGUUACUUCUCAAAUUUUAUUCAAGAAUUAGAAUCCCCAGGCCAAGAGUUUCAAGAAUCAUCCUUCAAAAGUACAAAUAGUCUCACAAAAUAAAGAGUUCAUCCAAAGCUAAUAACCUAAGGUAUGUGGGGUUUGAACAAAAACAAUCUUUCGUUCUUGUGCCAAAAGUUUUUAUUUUUAUUAAAGAAUUUUAUGAUUUGCAAUUGGGGUUGAUGCCCAAACUACUUUAUUUUGAGUUUAUGAAUUUAUAAGUUGUUCAAGUGUUAAAAUUGCAUGUUAUUUCACUAAGUUAUGCUGGAAUUUGAGAAUUUAUGAUAUGAAUUGCACAUCCCUACAAUGUAGUGGCGUUUUUGAGUGUUUUUUAAGGUUGAAGUCAAGAUUUAAACUUCAUUUUGAAAAUUGUGAUCAUUUAAGUACAAGCAUAUGUAUAUUCCUUAAGUCCAAGAAUGGAUUUUGAUAUUUGUUGAAGUAUUUCAAGAAGUGUAUUGAUUUGUUGAAGUAUUUCAAGAAGUGUAUUGAUAUCUCCAUGAGAUUAUGAUUUUAAGCCUCUUGAUGAUUGUCUACCAAGAUUUAAAGAAAAUUGAUGAUUUGACCCUAAGCUAAGAUAGGAAUCCACAUUAUUGAUGAUUUGAAGAAAAUAGAAACUUAGAUAGCUUUAAGUAUACAUCCUUGUGUUAUUUUAAGGUGAAUUUCUUAAAAGUUCUGAGCCUAAGUAUGGGAGUAGUAUUUAUCAUCGAGUUGGUCUUGAUUCCAAGGUCUCAUGCCCCAGAACUACAAGCCACCAUAGGAUUUUGAUUUACCCCAAGUGGGUUAAGAUAGUGAUCACCAAAGUUAAGGUUCUAUUCUAAUGGCAAGGGUAGAACAGCUCUCCCCAACGUGGGAAAAACAUUGGACUCCAUGUUAGGUCACAUGGUUUAUGUUGGUUAGAAGAAACUCCCAAAGUCACAAAGAGUCCCAAAGUUCCAUAAUCCCAAGUCUUUGAGUCCCUAAGUUUUAAAAGAAGUUCUUUAUUCUCCUUAAGAUAAACAUUUAUGUUGUGAAAAUUAUUGUUUUAAGAUUUCUUUCAUUUACAAGCUUUGAGAAUAAGAGGAGAAUACAAAUUUUAAAACUAAGUAUAAUGACUCACGAGAUUUAUGCUACAUGCUUCGUUAUUCAUGAUUUAUAUGAGAUUUAGAUUUCAGAUUUAUUCAAACCAUGUGAGUCAUUUAUGUCAGCAUGCAUAAUUUUAUAAAGAUUGAUGUUAUUGUUUAAUUAAUACAUACACCCCCAUAUACUCAGUACAUCCUUAAAGUACUGAUCUACAUAUACGUUUGUGUGCUACAUUAUCUCAUAAUGUAGGUUCAGGUGCUCAGUCUCAGCAGCGACAGUUAUUUUCGAGUACCUUUAUCUAUACUUUCGCAGUUGGUGAGUCCUCAUGGUUCGAGGACCUAUUUCCUUGAUUUUAGUCUUCGUAGUAGUUGGUUUAUUUGUUUUUAGUUGGGGGUUUAUCCUAAUGACUCUGUAGUUCCUUAGCAAGUAGAGGCUUGUCGAACUAUUAGUUGAAGUUUUCAGAUUUCCAGUAUUUGCUAUCCAUAUGAUGUUUUCUAUCAUUUCAGUUCAAAUUUGAUAUAAUAUAGUAUUAUUGCUUGGUCUACUCAUCCUAAAGUAAGUGUUAGAAGUAGUAGCAGGCUCAAAGGGUUAGCUUAAGGCUACUUGUAUUCUUAAGCACUGUGUGACGCUUCAGGAAGAGAUUUUGGGGUGCUACAUCGAAUUCCUGAUCCAACAAUUUUUAUUAAAUAUUUAUUAUAAAUAUUUCCUUAUUAGAAUUCAUCAGAAUUUAUAACAAUUAAUACAAAAUGUAAUAAAUACCUAAUUUUUAAAAGUUUUAAGUAAGUAUUUAAAGAUUUUCUAUAGACCUAACUAUAAAAAUAAGAAAAAAAAUUAAAUAUUGAAAAAGUAAAAAAAAAUAAUUGUACUACAAAUAUGGUUCAAAUCAAUGCAUCUAUUUUAACCUCUAGCAGCAAGAAAAAGAUCUAGAGGUACUGCAUGACACACGUAACCUCUAGCAGCAAGGAAAAGAUCUAGAGAAACUUCAUGACAAACGUAAAACUGAUGAUUCAUGAACCACUUGAAACUUCUAGUGGUAAAAUAUAUAUAUGCUUACAAUAAAAUAUAUAUUAUGUUUACUUUUUUAUAUUUAAGUGUGAAACAUCUUUUAGAAGUGGUUUGAACAUUUUGCAAUUCAUUAAAAACAUUCACAAUAGAUAAAAUCAUCUAAUUUAAAUAAUCAAAUGUUACACGUGCGAGAGAUGUGUGGCUAAACUAGUUGAAAAUAAAAGUGAAAACAUUGUGUGACCCCAGGAUCCUGUUUUAGAAUACAAUUAACCAAAACAUGUUAACUAAUCGAUUACGAUAAAUUGGAUUGCAUUUUUCUCUUUUUUUCUGUAGUACCUCGACGUGACAUAAGCGUGAAAGGGGUUCAAGAAUCCAUUUUCUUUAUAUAAAGGCUAAAUCACUUAUUUGGGCUUUUUUACCCCCGACCUACACAAGUGGUUUCCCACAUAGAAAAGUUCUGUUAUGUUCUUUGUAGAAAUCGACGAACCUUUCUUCUCUUACUUCACAUAUCUUUUAGUCUCCUUGAUAGCUGGAAGUUCUCCAAAAGUAUGAAAGGUUGGAGGACUUUGUACCAUCCAUUUCGGUGUGGUUGGAUUCUGUUCAACAUCCCAAGGACUUGAAGCACAUCUUUUGUUCUUUCCACUACUUGAAGUGAUUGUUACGACCACGAAGAAAUGAAAAAUCCCAACUACGGAAAUAUAAGAGCCUAAACUGCUAAGGGAAUUCCAUCCAGUGUAAGCAUCUUGAUAAUCUAGAAUGUGAUGUGGCAUACCCAAAAACCCUAAGAAAUGCAUAGGAAAGAAGGUUAUAUUAACCCUGAAAAAAGUGAUCCACAAAUGGAUUUGACCUAAAGUUUUAGGGUAUGUCUGACCAAAGAUUUUACCUACCCAAUAGUGAAAUCUUACAAAUAAAGAAAAAACGGCUCCCAUAGAAAGUACAUAAUGGAAAUGUGCAACCACAUAAUAAGUAUCAUGUAGUGCAAUGUCUAGCCCAAAAUUUUCCAGAACUAUUCCAGUGAGUCCUCAUAUAGUGAAUAAAAAGAUGAACUCUACAACAAAUAACAUGGUUGUUUUGGAAUUUAUCGCAAACACCCCCCCCCCCUUCCCCCAUAGUAGCGAUCCAACUAAAGAUUUUGAUUUCAGUGGGGACAACUAUGAUCACGGUAGCUGCGGUGAAGUAGGCACAGAUAUCAACGUCUAAGUCCACAGUAAACAUAUUAUGAGACCAAACAAGAAAUUCAAGAACACCUAUACUAAUCAUGGCAUAAAUCAUGCCUAGAUACUUGAAAACUAAUUUUCCCAAAAAAGUCGAAAUGAUAUGACUUAUGAUACCAAAUCCAGGCAGAGUGGGAAUAUACACCUUUGGAUGAUCGAAGAACCAAAAGAGAUGCUGGUAUAAUAUGGGGUCUCCCCCUCCAGCAGGAUCAUAAAAGUUUGUAUUAAAGUUUCAAUCGGUUAAUAACAUGGUAAUUACCCCUGCCUGUACCGGAAGUGAUAAUAAAAGUGGAAAUAAUGUCACUAGAACGGACGACACAAAUAGAGGUGAUCUAUGCAUAGUCAUUCCAGGUCCACUCAUGUUGAAGAUAAGUUUUAUAAAAUUAAUAUAACCUAAACUAGAUGAAACACGAGAUAGAUAAAGACUAGAAAUUGCCAAAUCAACUACUCCUCCAGAAUGGCUGGUAAUACCACUUAAGGGCGGAUAGACUGUCCACCAAGUGCUGCUACCUACUUCUACUAAGGCUGAUCUUAAUAGAAGCAAGAGACUUGGAGGAAACAACCAAAAUCUAAUAUUAUUUAAUCGUGUAAAUGCUAUGUCAGUCGCACCUAUCAGAAUCGGAAUAGACCAAUUACCAGAUUCACCUAUCAUUGCUGGUAUAACCAUAAAAAAAAUUAUUAAAAAAGUGUGAGCCAUUAUUAAAACAUUUUAAAGUUGAUUAUUCCCACCAAGAAUUUUCUAACACCUCAAAAAUCUAUCCCAAGAUGUCACACAAUGCUAAGGACCACAAGUGAUCCCAAGCUAACCCUUCUACUGGCAUAACUCAUAAGCAACUGAAUAAUAUGUAAAAAAUGAUUGAGUUUACUAAGAGAAAACAUAAAAAUGAUGGAAUUUGUAAAAUACAAUACUGAUACAACUUUUACAUUCUGAUGAAGUUUGAAAAGAGGGACUAAAAGUUACAUAACUGACUUUAACUUUCAUAUGUGAAGCCUCUACUAUACUGACUAUAGAUAGCUAGGAUGCGACCCCAACUACCACUAAUCGAUACAAAUGAGUAAGGAAGUAAAGAAAAUAAAUAAAUCUAACUGAAGUCCCCAAAGUAGGAGGACUCAUCAUCUCGCAGACAGGAAUCUGCAACUGUCUGAUUCUGAAUACGCAUACUAAAACUUGUACCUACAUUAUGAGACAAUGUAGCACAUAAACAUAUAUGUGGAUCAUUACUUUGAGGAUGUACUAAGUAUAUGGGGGUGAAUGAAUAAGUAAAACAUAAUAUCAAUCAUCAUAAUUUGUAAAAAUAAUGCAUGCUAAAUGUAAAUGACUCACAUAAGCUGAAAUAUCUGAAAUACUGAAAUUUGAAAUCAUGAAUAAUAAAUCAUACUUUACAAAUCUAGAGAGUCAUAACAUUUAGUUAUAAAUAUUGUACUUGUAUUCUCUCUUUAAAUUAUACUAUCUAAGUGUAGAAAGGACUCACUUUUAAAUCUGAAAGCUGAAAUCUGUAGCUAAUAUCUUUUUGUAAAGCAUAAUCUGAGUAAAAUUUGUGAGCUUUUACACUUAGUUUUCUGAAAGUUUUUCUGUAAGACUCUUAUCUUUAGGAAAACACUUUAAAACUAUACUGCAAGGGCGGUUCUCUUAACCAACAUAAACCAUAGGAGCUACAUGGAGUCAACCGUCUUGUCCUCCUAAGGAAUAAACCUCAUGUUGGAGAGAGGUGUCAUACUCAUGCCAGGGAGUAUAACCUACCCAGGUCAUCAAUCACAAGCUAAAUCUGUCAUCCAAGUAGAAGUGGGAAUAAUCUGAUAAUCUGCACCUACGUUAGCUACGUAGUUCUGUGGAAGUAGGAUGCCCUAAACCCACACUCCCAGCUUGGUGCUAAAUACUACUCUCUUUUUAUUUUCUACGCUCAUUUUAUUUGAAAAUCCACUUUAAAACUAGCAUAUUAUCAAAAACUAAUUAUGCGUUUAUCUGAUGAAAUUCGUAAAUCAAACUGAGCUAAAUUCUAUACUCAAAUUUGUAAUCUGUAAUAAAUUCUAAAAAGUGGAUUCCAUAGCUAAAUUAAGGAUCUAAAGAUCAAAUACUGUUUAUAUAACUGAAAAUAUGCUAAUCUCAGCAUGCUUAAAAACACAAGUUCUUGAAAUAUCAAUACUCAAACUAGGACCUAAUAACCUAUGCUUCAAACUCAUGUAAAUUCAUAAUAAAUCAUCAUGCUCAAUAUGUUUCUUGAAAAUAUUUCAACCAUAUCAAAAUAAUAAAAUCAGGAAUCACAAUGUCAUGCUUAAACUCAAUUGGAAAAGUUGUAAACAAUAUCUCAAAUCAUGCUCAUGGCAUUCAAAAUCAUAAAAGAGCAUUCUUUAACUCAAAAUAAAUAUGGGAUUGCAUAAUUCAAUCAUACCGUACUCAAAAUCAUCAAUAAGAUACUUUGGGUAUAAACCCCAAUUUCAAAUCAUAAAAAAUUUGUUGAAAAACAUAAUUUUGGCACAAGUAUGAAAGGAUUGUCCUUGUUCAAUCGCCACAUACAUUAAUUAUUCUUGAAUUGUGAAGAAAGCUUAAAUCUUGGAGUUUGAAUGAUGAACUUGUGAAAGAUACUUUAUUUUUUAUAUCUCUUGAAGAAUAAUUGAACUUGGAAGAUUGAACUCUAGAUUUCUUGGAUGAAUCUUGAAAUUAAUGCUUGAAUUCUAAUGUUCUUGAGAGAAAAAUCUUGAAACUCAUUCAUAGGGGAAAAGGGAGGGUUUACGUGAGUUUUGAUGAUGAAAAAUGGGAAAAUAAUGCCCUUAGGGGUGUUAUAAAUCAUUUUGGAUGGCUGGGGAUGGGAAAAGGACUAUACUACCCCUUCGCCUCUCUUUCGUGUAAAUGACCAUCAUGGAGUGACCCCCAGAAGUGAAAAUGAAUCUCACUUCGCGCCUCCCAAAAAUGUGAAUGAAACUCGCAUCGUGAGCUUAUCGCGAGGGCUCACUACCUCACACAAAAAAUAACAUAACUUUUCACUCAGGAAUCGGAUUUUAGCGAAAUUGGUAUCGUUGGAAAGCUAAUUAGAUUAUAUACAAUUUGGUGGGUCAUAAGAUGAAAAAAUCCAUGUAUAUAAAAAUUUAUACAUAUUUAAAUUAUACCCUUAUAGAAUCGAAUACCAAACUCUAGGCGAAUCAAAGGAUCUUAGCUCAAAUUGGCUCUAAAUGAUUUCUAUGAACAUUUUUAACCUCAUGAGCAUUUCAAACACUAGUAUAAGGAUCAUAAAACUUGUAUCCACAUGGGGAUCAUUUUUAUUAGAGCUUAAACGUGUAGGAACGAUGGUUCAUAGACUAUCCUAAAAAUGCGAGGUGUUACAAAUUUGAUUGCCGGGUCGUGCUAAUUCUAUAUGAAUUAGUAUUGAGAAACAUGUGCCCAUCACUCCAGCAAUGGAACUGAAUAUGAAAUAAAGAGUCCCUAUAUCCUUGUGGUUAGUAGAGAACAGCCAUCAGACUAGAUUUGUCAUAAAAUUGAGAUUCUUUUGUUUUCUUCCUUAUCAGAGAAGGGCGUGCGAGGCUUAUUUAUUAAAAAAAGGGGGUGGGGAAAGGGUGUGGAAUAAUGGAAAGCCCAAACUUUUUUAAUCAGAAAUUUUGAUCCCCUUUUCCUCUCAUCCUCCCCCAGUUCUGGUUCAGGAAAUGGUCAACGCAAGGAUCUUAUUUUGAAGGAAUCUUUGGAGUUUUCCCUUAUCCGAACGGGUCUCGCAAGAAAAUUGGAUUUCAUAUUGAGCUCCAAAUAUAAUCUAUUAGGAUAGUAUGGCUCCUACUAUCUCUCCACCCUAAGGACCCUACGUGUGAGUUCCCCUGUAUACGGCUCAAGUGGCGAAGGCCCUUAUCAAUAUGAGGUGAUCGUAACACAGUAUAUAAGACUCGUGAUUCAAGCAAUCCAAUCUUCCGUGUGUAAGGAGGAAGCUCCCCAAAUUUUUUUUCAAAAGAUCGAAUUACUAUGCCUAUCUUGGUGGUCGUUACUUUUGGUGCUCUUUCUUUCUGGCUGGCUUGUCUAAGUGCUCUCCUUUAUCCAUUGUUUAUCUCAUAAUCAUUCGAUUCCACCUCUAAGGCUAGCUCCUUCUCCUCCUCCUUCUCCUGACGGAUAGGAUCCUCCUUAGUCUUUUUUACAUAACACUCUUGACCACCCAAGAGAACUGGCUAUCUUUCUCUUUACUUACGCAAUUUCUUUUUUUUUUGAAGAGUCUCUUCUUUUUUGGAUGCUCCCGCAACAAGUUCUUUUCGAUAUUGUAAUAUUAUUGCUUGCCACUCUUCGGUCCGGUAAAUUAACUCCAACCAAGCCCAACACUUAAGACGACACUACUUCAACAUUCAAUCGCACAACAUUAAAGGUAGCAAGACUGAUGGAUUAUAACAGCAUCAGACCAUUGAAAACAUACCUAACCAAUUAGGAACUAGACAAACCGCAAGUCGAUAUAAUAGUAGUUCCUUCCAAAGGCAAAGUGAAGUCCCAACUUUCCUCAUAACACUAGACAUCUCGUACUAGAGAUUCUAACAAAGAACGACUGCUUCGUAACUGCUACUUCUGUAACAGAACAUGUUACUGCUUAAAGCAAUAAAAAUGGCUAAAACUUAUCGCAAGAUUGGAAAGAACACCAGCCCGCACAGACAACAAUGACACGAUUUCAAAUACAGGUAAAAGGGGGAUAGAAAUAAACUACAAACCCAUCUGUUAUACUAUAUAAAACCUAAGCUGAUAGAAAAGGGUUGUGACCACCAAGCAAGAAGGACACCAAAAUGAGUCUAUAGUCUAUACCAGUGCCGGUAAUAGUGAGGUUUCUUUUUACUUAGCCAAAGAUGAAUAAGGCCAAUAGCCAGCCUUUUUAACAAUCGGAAGGGAAGAAAGAUCCAACUGAAAAGGCUUUAAAGAAGAGAUGAAAGAAUUGUUACAAACAAAGCAAAGAGCUUGAUGGAAGCCCUCUCAUACUUUCUCAACUGAUAAAGCGAGCUAGGUUUGAGGGGAAUCAGAAAGGGAUCGAACGCUCUAUUAGUGGUCGACUGCCACCUUUCCGCUUUGGAUUCUCUUUUCCCCCAAAAGAAAUAUCGAUCGUCCUUACCAUUUCAAUCCCCACCCUCAAGUGAGAAGGAUAUUUUGUUGCUAUCUACUCUAGUAAUAUUACUCAUUCAUAUCCCUCAAUCAAUCAAGCAAAGGGGGCUAGGUUGUAAUACAAAAUCAUAACCAUUUAUUUCCCCACAAUUCCUUACCUUAAGUAGCGGGGUAAGCCAAUAAAGGGGAAGGACUAAAAUGCUAUAGUGACCCAUCGAAAGAGCUAGACAAAAAGGAGAAAACCAUACUACUAUAUCCCAACUCAAGUUAUAUACACAGAUAUACAAAUAAUUUUUUUUGACGUUCACGGUUGCACGUGCACCCCCACCUAUAUAUAUGUGGGUUCGCCUCUGUAUUUAGUGGUUAUUCUCAUAAAUAUUUUGAUUAAAUUAACAAGAAAAAAAUUAUAGUGUUUUAAUAUUAAAAAAAUUUAAAAACUUUCCAGCGUUUUAAUGAAAAUCUAUUUCUCAUCAUGCAUUUUUUUAAGUGAACCGAUUCAUUGAAAAAUGGAUAGAAUAUAUCAUGCUUAUGACACACAUUUUUCAUUUUGAUUCGUUGUGAAAAGAGACUACUUGAUGAGAAUAUAUUGGAUAUAUUAUUGUUGCAAAAAAAAAAGGCCUCAAUAAAAAUAUAUAUGGAAGGAACUUUUGGGGAAAGAAAGAUAACGACCAACAUAUGUUUGGAAACAUAUGAGAACUAGGGAGAGAUUUUGUAAGUAAAUCCGCAGAAAUAUGAGAAACACGAAGCUCGCCAUUUUGAACCAUAUUGUGAACAAAAUGAUAAUCAACCUCGAGAUGCUUCAUCCGCGUAUGAAACACUGGAUUGGAAGCGAGAUAUGUGGCACCUAAAUUAUCGCAGUAGACAACUGGCUGCCUUGGUAAUGAAAUAGCAAUCUCACGAAGUAAGUUCUGAAUCCACUAAAUUUCAGUAGUAGCAGAGGCAACUGAGCGGUAUUCUGCUUCAGUCUAUGAUCUAGCUACACUCUGAUGUUUCUUUGAGCUCCAAGAGACUAGAUUUUUACCAAGAUAUACAAGAAAAGCACUGGUGGAAGAGCAGUCAUCCUUAUUGCCUGCCCAAUCUGCGUCUGAGAAGGCAUGAAGAUCAAGCAGAGACUUAUGAUGGAAAAAGAGACCAUAGUUCACCGUUCCAACUAAGUAGCAAACAACACGUUUGACUGCAGACCAAUGAUUUUCAGUCGGACGAUGGGAGAAUUUUGCUAGCUUAUUUACGACAAAGGCUAUAUCUGGUCUUGUUAAUGCCAAAUACUGUAAGCUGCCAACUACAGUAUGAUAAAGCUUGAAAUCAUCAAGAUGUGAGCUGUCCUCCAAGCAUAAUGAAUUUCCAAUAGACAUGGGAGUAUUGACUACUUUCGCACCUGCCAUUUGUGUCUUGGAAAUUAUGUCAUUAAUAUACUUCUUCUGAGAUAGGAAGAUUCCAUCAGACAUUCUCACAACUUGAACACCAAGAAAAUAAUUAAGAGAGCUAAAAUAUUUGAUAGAGAAGCAUUGCCCAAGUCUCAAAAUAAAUCUAUCGACAACAUUAGGAUUACUCCCAGUAACAAUCAAGUCAUCAACAUAGACGACCAAGUAAAUAGUGAUGCACAACUGAUUGUAAAUGAAGAGACAAUGAUCGGCUUGAGAAACUUGAAAACCCAAAGUUAGAAAAUAGCUCCGUAGUUCUGAGUACCAAGCUCGUGGUGCCUGUUUAAGCCCAUAAAUUGCCUUCUUGAGUUUGCAGACAUGUUGAAGACUUGUUUGGUUAACAGAACCUUUAGGUUGAGCCAUAUAAACCUCUUUCGUUAGUUGACCAUUCAAGAAGGCAUUAUUAACAUCUAAUUGUCGCAAAGGCCAAUCUCUGGUAAUGACUACAGUUAAAAUAACUCGAACUGUAGCGUGCUUAGCAACUGGAGAAAAGGUCUCAAUAUAAUCAAUGCCCGGCCAUUGUGUAAAUCCUUGAGCGACAAGAAGUGCUUUAUAUUUGUUUAAUGUCCCAUCAAAAUUUAGCUUGACUCAAAAAAUCCAUUUAGAGCCAACUAACUUUUGCUUUGCAGUAGAUGGAACGAGCUCCCAUGUGCCUUGUUCUUGUAAUGCAUGAAUUUCUUCUUCCAUGGCUGCCCUCCAAUCAGGAUUAUUUAGUGCUCUUGACAAAGACUUUGGCUUAGAUUUGAUGUUGGAUGUAUUGACAGGGACUUUAGAUGGCGUGUCAUUGGCUUGGAUGAGAGAGUUGUCUUUCAUUUCAGAAAGAGUAGUGUGCAUGCAUAACUCAUGUGUUGGCUUAUGAAUAUUAUUCUUUGCUCGGGUGAUCAUGGGAUGAGUGUUUCUUGGUAAGUCCCUGUCAUGAUUAGAAGAUAAUAAAGUGGGAGAUGAAUUUAGUAAGGAGCUCAUACCUGAAACAUAUACUGAUGAUGAUGGAAUACUGACGUUUGAAGCUAUUGGAGUGGUUGGGCCAGCGAAAGGACAUUCAUGGCCGACCAAAUUUGUACUAGAAGAUAGAGAUCGUCCAGUAGUCGGGGAGGAACAAGUUGGGUUAGAAAGGGGUGAGUGUCGAACGAUGAAAUGAGGAGUCCACUGGUCAACAGUAGCAAAAUCUACAUGUCUUGAAAUAAAAAGUUUUGAGGUGACUGGAUCAUAGCAUUUAUAUGAACUUUGAUUUAAAGAAUAUCCAAGGAAGACACAUGGAGAUUCCAUUAGAAGCAAAGAAACCCUUCAAAUUGAUAAAUUCACCACCAUUGUCUGAGUAAAAUAAGACUAUAGAAUGAUUAAAGAAUUUCUCUACAAUAGCUUUAAAUUUUGGAAAAAUAUGCCCAACUUCAGAUUUUCUUUUCAUAGGAUAGAGCCAAACAUAUUUCGUAUAAUGAUCCAAAAAAUUGAGAUAAUAUUUAAAGCCAUCGAUAGAGACUAAAGGUGAAGAUCCCUAUACAUCAGAAUAAAUAAAUCCAAAGGACGCGUUGAUUUUAUUGAAGAAACUUAAAAAGGAGUCUUGUGCAUUUUAUUGCACUUACAAGAGUUGCAAGAAAAUUUAGAAGGAUUUAUUUGAAUCGGUAUAUCAAUCAGCUGCAGAGUGCGACGCAAUAUAGGAAAGGAAGGGUGACCAAGACGACAAUGCCAUUGUGAAACUGUGGAGAGUUCCGUGGAAUUGACAGUUGGGAUAGAAGAAGUAGAUUUUGCAGGGAGAAAUGAUGGUCACUCGUAAACGCCGUCCAUAGGCUUUCCCACUAUCAGAUGCUUCCUCGUGUAGUAAUCCUUCACAACAAAUGAGAAAGGUGAGAAUUUAACAGUAACAUUAUUCGAAGAGCAUAAUUGAUAAAUAGAAAUAAGAUUCUUUUUCAUUCGAGGGACACAGAGAACAUUAUUAAAGUAUAAAGGCCUUGAACGAGAAGGUAAGAAAGUAGAGCCAGAAUGUGUCAUAGCCAAGUUUUUACCAUCGCCCAACAUCACAUCUUCACUACCAUCAUAGUCGGAAUGAAUUGACAGAUUUUUUAGAUCUGCAGUAACAUGGUGUGAUGCACCAUAGUCUACCAACCAAUUAGGAUUAUUUUGGUUGGCGGUUUGAACAAAAUUUGCUCUUGGAUGAGCCCUUGUGUUUCCAGUAGUCGAGGAAUUCGAGCCACCAAUGGAAGAUGGCUUAGACCAAGUAAAUAAAUUCCAACAUUGCUUCACUUUAUGUCCAGCUUUGUCACAAUAUUGACAGAUCACAGUAGAACCAUCUCUAUGAUUCUUUGAUGAGGCAGAAUGAUUUUGCCUCAGAUUUGGGUUAGGCUGGACUUUGGAAGCAGAAUAAUGAUUUGUACGAUUGGUGUGUCUAUUUAAUCUACCAUUGUGAGAAGUAUAAUUUGCUAUUAUUGGACCAGAAAUGGAUGAAGCUUCAUGAGAAACACUGCUCUCAUAAUCACAAAGAUUUUCAUGGAGUUCAUCAAAAGAGAGAGGAGUUUCUCGCACACGAAUUGCAACAGAUAGCGUCUUAUACUCAGAGGGGAGUCCAUUAAGAACAUGAAUGGUAACAUCAUCUAUAGUUAGAUUUGCUCCAGCAGCAUUCAAAGUGGUAACAAGUUGCUUCACUUGUUUAAGGUACGACGCCAUAGAUUUAGUACCUUUGUUCCCUCGUAUCAAAGACUCCUUGAGUGUAAGGAGACGAGCACGCGAGGGUCGAGCAUACAAAUUGUGGAAAGUCAUCCACACAUCAUAGGAAAUUGCAUCUGAAAGGACAUUCGCUGCCACUUUUAAAAUGAGAGAGGCUACAAGUGCACUUUGGAGCAAUUGAUCCAGUCGGACCUAAAACAAAGAGUUCAAUUGUACUUCGGUAGGAGAAGAAACAACAUAAGAGGUAAAAUUAUAUCCAAUCAAUAUAGAACGCCAUUGAGAAUACCACAGUUGGUAAUUGGAUAACGAGAGUUUCACAGGAGAUUGAGCAUUUGUAUUAAUAGAUAUAAGUUGUUGGUCGUUUUCUGGUAAAGUGGUGUUUGUGAGUGGUAUGAAAGUUAUAACAGUGGAGUUGGUAUUAGGAAUAGAAGGAAGGCAUGGAAGUGCAAAAAUAACUUAUGGAGUGGUGGGAACUGUUGAGAGAUGAACAAUAGCAAAUGAUGUUAACGACGCUACUGAAGGGUUAACUGAAGUAGUAAUGGUUGUUGUUGGUGAAACGAAAGAUUGAGUGGUUUGAUCCAUAUGUACAGGAAAGUACUGGAGGACUCAGAGUUUGGGAAAAAAAAUUAGAUUUGUUGUAAGGCGAGCAGCUCCGAUACCAUAAAAGAUUUAGAAGAUGGUUGAAUUUCAAUGUUUAUUAUUCACAUAUUGUUUCACUAUUUAUACAAGAAGGUAAGAGAUAUUCUACCAAAAAUAGAAGAUGCUAAUUGUAGUAAAAUCCUAUCAACGUAAUUCAAGAAUAUUACAAAAGAUCAAAUCAUAUCAAUCACUUGAGAAUAGGAUGCCUUCCUUAUAAGUUCCAAGAUAAUCUUCAUCAGUAAGAGCGCGCUUGCUAAAAUAUGGAACAAUAAUUCAGAGUAAAAUAAUUGUAGACACAGUGCCUACAAAUGAUCUCAUCACUGCAAUCGCUAUCAUCAUUGCAAAAUCGAUAACAAGUAAUAAGACUAUCACAAAGUAAAAGUAAUUUACUUUCAUCUUUGCAAUAUCAAUUGGUAACUUUUUUAAAGAUAUCAUUUUAGGACGCCAACACAGAUUAAUUGCACGUUACAAAAUAUUUUACAAAGAAAAGUUAGGACAAUAAUAGAUGUUUCUUUACCUCUUUUUUUUUUUUCCUAUGAAGAGUUGGUGGAGACUUUCUUGAUAGAAAAAUAUUUCUAUAGAAGAACUAAUAUUGUAACUAGAAAUUUAUUAUGGGCAAAAUUUGAAAGGAAUAAUUGGAGAUAAAUAGGUUUGGCUUUUCGUAAAAUGCUCUUUUUUCAGUUAGUUAAAUUCAAAUAUUUGACAGAGGUAAAAGUAUUUAAAGUUUGGCUUUUCGUCUGCUCCUUUUUUUCAGUUAAUUAAAUUAAAAUAUUUGACAAAGAGAGAACAAAUCCACUCAAGAUGAAAGUUCAUAUAACAAAAAAAAGAAUAAUUGAUAAUUAGGAUAUGAAACUCAUAAAAAUAUAUUAAAUCACGUGUGGUAUUUUAAUCAGUAUCUCAACAAACAAAUAGUAAAUUGCAUAUAAAAUGAACACAAAUUAACAAUACAUAUUUAUUUAAGUUGUAACCCAUAUAUUACAAUAGUUGGAUAGUUCUCCAAUAAUUGGAAAACUAGCUAGGUUACAUAUUUAUCUUGAUUAUACAAACUUAAAAACACAACAUUAUUUAAAAGGCUUGCAUAUACACAAAGGCAUAUCAAACAUUUAAUAGUAGUUACAUUCAUCCUUUGCACACAAUAAAUGUAAUCUGGGCGCUUUAAGGAUACUUCACUCAUAACAACACACUAACUUUAUAAUUUUCUUAGAAGCACAAUAUUAUUUAAGUUGUUCGAAAGAAAGUUUCAAAAUAACCUUCACCAGUAAUAAUCCUGAACUUCAAAAUACGGAACAAUCAAAAUAAUACUUAGAAUAAAAACUUGAUUGUCGAUAACAAAUUUUACAUAAAGUUCCAUCACUGCAAUCACUAUCUGAAUUGCAUCUUCGAUAACAAGUCCUAUCAUUAUCAAAUGGAAGAAGUAAUUUUACUUUCAUCUCUGCAACAUCAAUUGGUAAGUCUCUUAAAGCCAUCACUUUAGGACCCCAAGAGAUAUUAACUACACAUAAAUUAAUUGUAAUAAUAAUUAGAAUAAUUAAUAUACACAAAUUAUUACAAAGAUAGAAGAGUGGUAAAAGUGAUACAAAAUCAUAUACAUUGAAAGAAAUAAAAAGUGAUACAAAAUCAUAUACAUUGAAAGAAACCUGAAGACGUUAAUUUUAAGCAUGGAGAGGAAAAAUUGGGUGUCAACAGGGGGGAUAAUGUCUUCGUCUAUCAAGAAUAUUCCUGAUGAAAUAUUAAGCGGUACGAGUUGAUAUUUUUUUAAUAUCUACAAGUCAUUUAUUAUACGAUAGUUGUAAAGAACUAAAAAUAUUUUAUAUUUUCUUGAUUUUUUCGUGUUCUUACUUUUAUAUAUUCUAAAUAAUUUCGCUCUGAAGAAUUUAAUUAUGUCACCAAUUAUAAUAUGUCAAUUUAUUUAUAUUGAUAAUACAAAAAUUCUUUAUUAUCUGAUUAUAUUUCAUAGAGUCAAUGGUAUUUAAGUAUAUAAGAACAUAGAUCAUGAUAUUAUUAUACUCCCUCUUCAUGUGUAGAAAUUUUUUUAAAGUAAGGACAAUAAUAGAUGUUUCUUUUGUCUUUUUUUUUUUUUUUUUUGUGGCUAUGAAAAAUUGGUUGAGACUUUCAUGAUUGAAAGAUAUUCUUAUAGAAGAACUAAUAUUGUGACUAAGUGUUGGAGUUCCACAUUGACCGGUUAAAGGGUCCUUAAUCUCCUUAUAUGGUCUUAGGCAACCUUCCCUCAUGAGCUAGCUUUUAGGGUUGAGUUAGGCCAAAGGCUUAUUCUUUACAUGAUAUCAGAGUCGGACCCAUAAUCUUUGUUCAUCGAUGUUGGGCUUUCAUAUUAUAUUGUCCGUGCUCUAGUUAACGAGGCCUGUGCAUGCGAGGGAAGGUUAAGUAUCUCACAUAAAAAAAGGAAUGGGUAAUUGAUCUCCUUAUAUGGAUCUAGAAAACCCUACCCUCAUGAGUUAGCGUUGGAGGUUGAGUUAGGCCCAAGAUCCAUUAUUUACACUAAGAAAUUUGAUCAUGGACAAAAUUUGAAAGAAAUAAUUGGAGAUAAACAGGUUUGGCUUUUCGUCAUGCUCUUUUUUCAAUAAGUUAAAUUUAAAUAUUUGAUAGUUAAAAAUAUUUAAAGUUCACUUUUCAUCGUGUUCUUUUUUUUCCAGUUAAUUAAAUUCAAACUUUUGAUAGAGAGAUCAGAUCCAUUUAAGAUGAAAAGUUCAUAUAAAAGAGAGAAUAAUUGAUAAUUAGGAUAUGAAACUCGCGAAAAAAAAUUAAUGCGCGUGUUAUUUUGACAAGUAGCUCAACAAAUAAAUGAUGAGUUGUAUACAAAAUGCAGACAAGUGAACAAUAUAUAUUUAUUUGAGUUGUAACUCAUAUAUUACAAUACAUAGAUAAUUCCCCAAUAUUUGGAAAACUAGCUAGUUACAUAUUUAUUUUCUUACUAUACGAACUUGGAAACACAACAUUAUUUAAAUUGCUUGAAUAAACACAAAGGCACAUCAAGUAUAUAACAGUAGUUACAUUCAUUCUUUGAGCACAGUAAUUAUAAUCUGUGUGCUUCAAGGAUACUUCACCAAUAACAACGCGCUUAUUAUUUAAUUUGCUUAGAAACACAAUAUUAUUUAACUUCCUCGAAGGAUAGUUUCGAAAUAAUCUUCACCAGUAAAAGCGUGCUUGUUGAAACAAUAUGGAACAGUCAUUCGAAGUAAAUAAUUAUAGACACAACAUCUGCAGAUAGUCACAUCACUGCAAUCGCUAUCACUUUUGCAAAAUCGAUAACAAGUAAGACCAUCACCAAGUAAAGGUAAUUUUACUUUCAUCUUUGCAAAAUCAAUUGGUAACUCUUUUAAAAUCAUCACGGGAUACUCUAUUUCAGAGAAACAUUGCGUUCAAUGACUUGGCGAUGUUUGUGGUCAUGAUGUUGAAUCUAUUUCCCGGGAAGUAAACCCUGCCUCAUUUUUUAAAUCCAACGUCAUGUUCGAGGCAAGCUGCUACGUCGGGGUAUAUUUUUAAGCAAGUUGACUUAGUCAUUAAACCCAUCCAAUGUGUACGCCUUAGCCGCAUGGUAGUACACAUGGAGAUAAUCUCCACAAUGGUGUUUCUUUCGAAUAUUUUCACUGAGAUACCUUAUACGCACUACAUGAUGUGCACAUGGAUAAUACUUUGUAAGGCCGUUGGCUAUGUUUACAUGUCUGUCGGAAAUGACGCACAAUUCAGGUUUGACUACGACAACAAACUUAACCAUCUCGAAGAAGAAGCUCCAUGACACAUCAUUCUCCUUGUACAUCAUACAAUACGUUAAGAAAUAGGUAUAAUUCUGCGUAUCUUGUGCAAUAGCGAAUAGUAACACACCCUUGUAAUUGCCGGAAAAAUGCGUUUCAUCAAUGAAAAUGACCUUUCUCAUGUGUUCAUAUCCAUGGAUAGAAGCCCCAAAAGUCAUAAAGUAGUACAUAAACUUGCCCGAGUCCUCGACCAUGAGGAAAUUUGUAGACCCUAGAUUGAGGCAAUUAAAAACAUAUGAAAAAGCUGUGUUUGGGUAUUCCUCGGACUAUGUUCUUCGCAGUGAUGCUUCCCAUCCAACACUUUAAAUAAGCAGGCCUGCAAUGUAUCUCCGUAAAGAUGAUCUUCUUGAUCUCUCUCGGGCUUGGAUCUUCGUUGUCGAUGAAAAAGUUCAAACAAAGUGAGGUAAUGACGUCCACACUGACAUUCUUGUGCUUAGCCGUCACAUGUUCAAUGCCACAACUAUGCUCACUGACGUACUUGUAGAUUUGAAACCUACUCGAUGCUUCGUUCGUACCACAUACCUCACCUUGUAGUAUUUCUUACAAGUCUUGUCCAUAGUGUAAUUGAAACACUUCUUCACCGAUGACUUCUUCAAGAAAAGUUUCAACAUUUUCUUGUCCUUGAAUAUUCAUCCUACACAAAAAUCGGUGCCAUUCGAAAAGAGUGGUUUGCUUGUGGUCCGAACUGUCCCUCAACACCGACUUCACACUCUUCUUCUUUAAAUUCUUCAGAAUUUUCCCAUGCAUGAUCACCCAUGCACUUGUAUUUCAUUGAGCUAUCAUCCGCUGCUUGGGGUGGGGGUGGGGAGGUUGAUGCGGAAGGUUGCUCCCGGGACCUUUCAACAACUUUAACCAUCAAAAUAGGCCUGAAAUUAUCAAAUUCAAUGCAAAGCAUGGACAAUUUCACGUGUCUAUCGUUCUUUAUGAAUGUUGGAUAGAUCCCCCCCCCCCCUCCCGUUCAUCAAAUAACUAAUGACCACGUCGCUUGGAUCGUAACUUGAUUCUCCACUCUUCAUUACGUUUUUAACUUUGUCGGGUAUGAACCAUUGCUAUGAAAAUCUUUGGAACAAGCUAAGGAGUGUUGGAAUGUUGCUAGUGAGCCUAAAAUCGAUUUGAAAAGUAGGAUCGAUUUUCAAGCUUUUUGACUGAAAAUGUAUGGAUAAAAAUAUGCGAAAACGACUUAAAAUAAUGGAGAUAAUGUCACUUUUUGAUAUAUGCACGGCGAAAUUUAUGAAAAAUCGCCAAAAAAUGACCGAAAAUCGCGAAAUAAUUGCUAUUAGUCGAGCUUGGUUGAGAAGAUUUGCUUUUUUAAAAAAAAAAAUAUCAAAUAUUUUUAUUUUUGACAUGGGCUAAAGUUUAGUUUUUAAAACAUAAGGGUUGAAGUGGGGGUCGAUUAAAGUGCACGUUUUUAAACUUGUGUGGUAGAAUUGAUACUUUUUUUAUGGUCUCAUUAGAGUGUCUUUUUGUAUUUCAAUUACAGCCAUCUUAUUGGUUUAGAUAACUUUUUCCUUUUUGUAGCAAAACCGAUUGCUAUAUGCCCAUAACAAUAUUUGAUGUUUUAUUUCAUUAUUAUUGACAGUAAAUUAUUUAGGAAUUUUUAAAUUAUUUUUAAUAUUGUAAAAGAUAAGAAUGAUAUUUAAAUUUUAUAUCGGAAAAAAAACAUGCAUAUUUUACUAAUUCAAAAUUAAAGAAAGCUAUGUCUUAUCAGUAAACAAAAAGUAAAGAUUUGUACAAAUGUUUUAGUAUUGUCGCAUAUUAAGAAACUGAAAUCUAUGAAAUAUCAUUUGUAUUGUUUGUACAUAUUACUCAAAUCUUAAAUUAAACUUUAUACAAGAUGAAAUUUUUUUGUCAAAUUUAAUAAAAAUAUAUGUGCAGACGAUCUUUUAACAGACUAAAUCUUUUCUAUGAAGAGUUAGAUAAAAUUAUUGUCACGUGAUUAAUAGGUUAUAGGUUCUCUUGCGCUAUUAAACUCGUAUCUUAAAAAAUACAGGACAAGACUGUAUAUAAUAAAUCCUUUUGAUUCAAUCAUAGCUCGGACAACACACAUAGAGAAAACAUAGCAUACACAUGCAUUAAACCUUGUGAUUCAAUCCUUCCUCGAGAUAACUAUACUCUGUCCUAACUGUAGAUAAAUAAGAAGAUAAAUGAUAGGUCAAUUUUUAUUCUUACAGUGUAUAACAUUACUCAAUUCGAAAUGAAAAUUAAUACAAAAUCAUAUACAUUGAAAGAAAAACGUUUAUAUGUUCUUGAUUUUUAAUGCAAUAAAAAGAGAAAGGGGGGAAACAAUAUCUUUAUCUAUCAAAAAUAUUCCUGAUGAAGUGUUAAGUGGUACGAGUCAAUAUUUUCUUAUGUAUCUGUAAGUCAUUUAUCAUACGAUAGUUGAGCACUGAAAAUAUGUUAUAUAUUCUUGAUUUUUUAGUGUUCUUACUUUUAUCUGUUUUGAACGUUUUGCAGUAAAGAAUAUAAUUAUGUUAUCAAUUAUAAUAUGUCAAUUUGUUUGUACUAAUAACACAAAAUUCUUUUAUUAUUGGAUUAUAUUUCAUGGAGUCAAUAUUAUUGAAGUAUACAUCAGCCAGUGCGCUAAGGUGCACUUCCAUUCAUCUUUGGGUGCAUUAUUAGUUAUAUCCCAAUUUUUCAAGAUAUAUACACAUAUAUAUAAAUAAUUUUUUUCGACAUUAAUGGGUGCACGUGCACUCCCACCUAUACAUAUGGGUCCGCCUCUAUAUUUAAUGGUUGUUCUCAUAAAUAUUUUGAUUAAAUUAACAAGAAAAAAAAUUAUAGUGUUUUCAUAUGAAAAAAAAUUAAAAACUUUACAGCGUUUCAAUGAAAAUCUAUUUUUCAUCAUGCAUUUUUUAAGUGAACCGAUUCUUUGAAAAAUGAAUAGAAAAAUAUAUCAUGUUUAUAAUACACAUUUUUCAUUUUGAUUCGCUGUGAAAAGAGAUUACUUUAUGAGAAUAUAUUGGAUAUAUUAUUGUUGAAAAAAAAAGCCUCAAUAAAAAUAUAUAUGGAGGGAAGUUUUGUGGAAAAAAACAUGACGACCAACAUAUAUUUGGAAACAUACACAAUAUUAUUUUAAUUUACUCUAACAAUAAUUUCGAAAUAACCUCAUUAGUAACAUGUUUAGAGUAGGUACUUUCCAAUUAUAUAAAAAAAUUAUUUGGAGCACAAUAUUAUUUAAUUUGCUCGAACAAUAAUUUUUAAAUAACCUCAUUAGUAACCUGUUUAAAAUAGGUACUUUCCAUUAUAUGAAAAUUUUAUUUGAAAACAUACACAACGUUCUUUAAUUUUGAAAUAACCUUCAUUAGUAGGUACUUUGCAAUAUAUGAAAAAUUAUUUGGAAAUAUACAUAAUAUUAUUUAAUUGGAUCGAAUGAUAAUUUCGAAAUAACCUUUAUUGGUGACCUUCUUAGAGUAGGCACUUCAAAAAAAAUUAGAAGGUUACAUUUUAUUUAUCUUAAACUUAGAAACACAACAUUAUUUAACUUGCUUCGAAACACAACAUUAUUGAACAAUAGUUUCGAGAUAAUCUUCAUCAGUAAGAGCGUGCUUGCUAAACUACGGAACAAUAAUUCGGAGUAAAAUAAUUGUAGGCACAACACCUACAAAUGAUCGCAUCACUGUAAUAGCUAUCGUCGUUGCAAAAUCGAUAACAAGUAAUAAGACCAUCAUAAAGUAAAAGUAAUUUCACUUUCAUCUUUGCAACAUCAAAAGGUAACUUUCUUAAAGCCAUCAUUUUAGGACCCCAACGCAGAUUAAUUUCACGUUACAUAAUCUUUUACAAAGAAAAGCAAGGACAAUAAUAGAUGUUAGAUGUUUCCUAUAAUAGAUGUUUCUUUGUCUCUUUUGUUCUUUUUUUCCUAUGAAGAGUUGGUGGAGACUUUCUUGAUGGCAUAAUAUUUCUAUAGAAGAACUAACAUUGUGACUAGAAAUUUGUGUAAGGGCAAAAUUUGAAAGAAAUAAUUGGAAAUAAAUAGGUUUGACGAAAGGUUUGGCUUUUCCUCAUGCUUUUUUUUUUUCAAUUAGUUAAAUUCAUAUAUUUGACAAAGGUAAAAGUAUUUAACGUUUGGCUUUUGAUCUUCUCUUUUUUUUUUCCAGUUAAUUAAAUUCAAAUAUUUGACAAAGAGAGAACAAAUCCACUCAAGAUGGAAGUUCAUAUAGUAAAAAAGAGAAUAAUUGAUGAUUAGGAUAUGAAACUCAAAAUGUACUAAUUCACGUGUGGUAUUUUAACCAGUAUCUCAAUAAAAAAAAUAGUAAAUUGCAUAUAAAAUGAACAUUAGUUAACAAUACAUAUUUAUUUAAGUUGUAACUCAUAUAUUACAAUAGUUAGAUAGUUCCCCAAUAUUUUGAAAACUAUCUAGGUUACAUAUUUAUCUUCUGAUUAUACAAACUUGAAAACACAACAUUAUUUAAAAUGCUUGAAUAUACACAAAGGCAUAUCAAACAUAUAAUAGUAGUUACAUUCAUCCUUUGUACCCAGUAAAUAUAAUCUGCGCGCUCCAAGGAUAAUUCACUCAUAACAACACACACUUACUUUUUAACUUGUUUAGAAGCACAAUAUUAUUUAACUUAUUUGACAGAAAGUUUCAAAAUAACCUUCGAUAGGCGGAACAAUCAUAAUAAUACUUAUCACCCAAAAAAUAUCUAUUCGGAGCACAAGUUUUACAUAUAAAUCCAUCACUGCAAUCACUAUCUGAUUUGCAACUUUGAUAACAAGUCAUAACAUUAGGGUCAUUACCAAAUGGAAAAAGUAUUUUUUUUUUUCAUCUCUGCAACAUCAAUUGGUAAGUCUCUUAAAGCCAUGACUUUAGGACCCCAGUGAUAUUAAUUGCACAUAAAUUAAUUAUAAUAAUAAUUAAAUUAAUUAAUAUACAAAAAUUAUUACAAAGAAAGAAGAGUGGUAAAAGUAAGUUUAGAACCUGAGAUUGCAACUAAGAGCGCAAUAAAGAGAGUUUGCGUAAGAGAAACCAUCUUAACUUAAUUAAUUUGGCUCAAAGAUGAUAAUUGAACAAGUGAUGUUUUAUUUGCUUCAUGGAAGAUGAUAUUUAUACUAACAUUGAUAUAAGGGCAUUAUAGUCAUUUGAAGUUUAAGAUGUGAAGCACACUCAUCCAACCUUAAAUUAUAAAUUAGAACUGGUCAAAAUCAAAUAAUGAAACUUCUUAUUUCUUUGUUCAAAUAAUUCAGAAAGUGUUGUUUUAUGAGAAUUUUAACGUUAAUUUUAAUAUUUGUUUAAUGCCUAAUUCUUGAUUCUAACAGCCUCUUUAAGUCAACAAUGUGGGAGUUUUCUUUUUUGCUACCUUUAUGUGUUAUUACUCCCGUCUGCUGAAUGCUGCAUGGUGCAGCAAUUAUUUUCUUUCCAUUAACAUGGCACUAUUUCACGAGUGAACGGCUGUUUCCUUUCAGCAUUCAUCUUCCGAUGCACUUAUUUGUAACUCUUCUGUCUUUAAUCACAAUAGUUAGUGGGGGUAGAAUGUAGACAUAAGUUUCAUAUAACUCUUGUAACCUUCAUUCUUUAUUUCUCCAUUACCCUAUUUUUUAUGUGGUGUAACUCUUGUAACUUAAAAGCCAUUGAUAUUCCAUCUUUACUAUACCAUUUAUUCUUCCUAUUCAUUGCAUGGAAGAGUUCUUCACCUAUAAAUAAAGGUGGUCUUGCAUGGUUUUGAUACACACAAGAUAAUAGAGAGUUCACAAAAGUUAGUAAAAAGUAGAGUUUAUUAAUUGAAGGGAGGUGUUCUUUUUUGUGGAGCUUUGAACUCAACUCUAGUUCAGAGUUGUUGAGUUGUUCUUUGAGAAGGCUGUUGUAUCCUGGAGGGGACAAGUCAAGAAGAUUACUGCUGGACCGAUGAAAUACUUUGCUGCAGUGGGCUUCAAUCUCCUUAAACAGAGCAAGACAUCCGCGCGAAGAAGAAGACAUUCUUUUUUUUUUUUCUACACUUGUAAUUUUCAGUUGUAAUUUUAUUGUAAUUUCACCAACAAAAAUUAUACUACUUCCCCACUUAGAAUGCCAAGUCGAAAUAAUUGCAAGUGCAUGGUAUAUAUUAUAUAUUUAUUUUGAUAUUUUUUGUCUCUUUUUGUAGCAAAAUUGAUUGUUAUAUGUACAUAACAAUAUUUGAUGUUUAUUUGAUUGUUAUAGACAGUAAAUUAUUUAGGAGUUUUAAACUAUUUUUUAAUAUUGUAUAAGAUAAGAAUACUAUUUAAAUUAUAAAUCGGAAGAAAAUGCAUAUUUUACUUAUUAAAAAUUAAAGAAAGCUAAGCUUUAUCAGUAUAUUCAUAACAAAAAGUACAAAGAUUUGAACUCUAAGACACAUGCUAAGAAAUUGAAAUCUAUGAAAUAUCAUUUGAUUGUUUGUACGUAUUAUUCAAAUCUUAAAUUAAACUUUAUACGAAAAUGUUUUAUCAAAUAAAAUAAAAAUAUAUGUGCAGAUGAUCUUUUAACGGAAUAAAUCUUUACUGCGAAGAGUUAGAUAAAAUUAUUGUCACAUAAUUAAUUGGUCAGAGAUUUUCUUGAGCUAUAAAAAUCACCUCUUAUAAAAAUACAGGACAAGACUAUAUGCAAUAAACUUUUAUGAUUCAACCAUUCCUCAAACUACACAUAGUGAAACAUAGCAUACACAUUCACUAAACCUUGUGAUUCAAUCCUUCCUCGAGAUAACUGUACUUCGUUCUAACUGUAGAUAAAUAAUAAGAUAAAUGAUAUUUACAUCACUAGAUCACUUUAUUUUAAGGAAAGUCGAAAUGACACCCUUCUUUGAAAAAUUAUACUUAUAGAUAGGCUAAUUUUUAUUCUUAUAGUGUAUAUUACAACUAUGGCUGUCAAGCGAGCUGGGUCGGGCCAACCUGAAAUUGGCCCGUUAAAAUUAAUCGAGUUGUGGGCCGGGUCAGGUUCAGGUUAGUUUUAAGUGUGCCGGUCUGGUCCGGGCUCAACAGUAAAAAUUUCAAAAACCAUCCUAACCCGGCCCACUUAACCCAACCCGGUCAAACCCACCUAAACCCGGUUAAAAAUCCAGUCAAGCCCGGUUAAAAAUUUAAAAAAUAACUUUUUUUCAAUAUAUACCCACCUAUAUACAUUUUAAAUACGUUAAACAAUAUAUAUACACUAUAUAUAUAGUAUAUACUACAUUAGAAUUUAAAAAAUAUAUACACAUAUACACAAUUACACAUAUAUACGCACCAUCCAAAUAUAUAUGUACUACUUUAAACUUUAAAGUUUAAAUAAAUUUAAGUAAAACAUAUAUACAAUAUAUAUAUAUAUUUAAAUAUAUAUAUAUAUAUAUAUAUAUAUAGUUAUAUACUAAUUUAUAAAACAAUACGCAUGUAUACAUUAAAUAUGCACGUCUAUAGAAGAUAUUUACACAAAUAUACACACCAUUCAAUAUAUAUGUACUACUUUAAGUAACACAUAUACUACAAUAUAUGUAUAUACUACAAUAUAUAUAGUUAUAUAUUAAUUUAUAAAACAUAUACAUAUGUAUACGUUAAAUAUACACGUCUAUAGAAGAUAUAUACACACAUAUACACACCAUUUAAUGUAUAUGUACUACUUUAAAUAAAACAUAUACUACUGCAAUAAAUAUAUAUAGUUAUAUACUAAUUUAUAAAACAUAUACGCAUGUAUACAUUAAAUAUGCACGUCUAUAGAAGAUAUAUACACAAAUAGACGCACCAUUCAAUAUAUAUGUUCUACUUUAAGUAAAAUAUAUACUACAAAAUAUGUAUAUACUACAAUAUAUACAUAGUUAUAUACUAAUUUAUAAAACAUAUACGCAUGUAUACAUUAAAUAUGCACGUCUAUAGAAGAUAUAUACACAAAUANNNNNNNNNNNNNNNNNNNNNNNNNNNNNNNNNNNNNNNNNNNNNNNNNNNNNNNNNNNNNNNNNNNNNNNNNNNNNNNNNNNNNNNNNNNNNNNNNNNNNNNNNNNNNNNNNNNNNNNNNNNNNNNNNNNNNNNNNNNNNNNNNNNNNNNNNNNNNNNNNNNNNNNNNNNNNNNNNNNNNNNNNNNNNNNNNNNNNNNNNNNNNNNNNNNNNNNNNNNNNNNNNNNNNNNNNNNNNNNNNNNNNNNNNNNNNNNNNNNNNNNNNNNNNNNNNNNNNNNNNNNNNNNNNNNNNNNNNNNNNNNNNNNNNNNNNNNNNNNNNNNNNNNNNNNNNNNNNNNNNNNNNNNNNNNNNNNNNNNNNNNNNNNNNNNNNNNNNNNNNNNNNNNNNNNNNNNNNNNNNNNNNNNNNNNNNNNNNNNNNNNNNNNNNNNNNNNNNNNNNNNNNNNNNNNNNNNNNNNNNNNNNNNNNNNNNNNNNNNNNNNNNNNNNNNNNNNNNNNNNNNNNNNNNNNNNNNNNNNNNNNNNNNNNNNNNNNNNNNNNNNNNNNNNNNNNNNNNNNNNNNNNNNNNNNNNNNNNNNNNNNNNNNNNNNNNNNNNNNNNNNNNNNNNNNNNNNNNNNNNNNNNNNNNNNNNNNNNNNNNNNNNNNNNNNNNNNNNNNNNNNNNNNNNNNNNNNNNNNNNNNNNNNNNNNNNNNNNNNNNNNNNNNNNNNNNNNNNNNNNNNNNNNNNNNNNNNNNNNNNNNNNNNNNNNNNNNNNNNNNNNNNNNNNNNNNNNNNNNNNNNNNNNNNNNNNNNNNNNNNNNNNNNNNNNNNNNNNNNNNNNNNNNNNNNNNNNNNNNNNNNNNNNNNNNNNNNNNNNNNNNNNNNNNNNNNNNNNNNNNNNNNNNNNNNNNNNNNNNNNNNNNNNNNNNNNNNNNNNNNNNNNNNNNNNNNNNNNNNNNNNNNNNNNNNNNNNNNNNNNNNNNNNNNNNNNNNNNNNNNNNNNNNNNNNNNNNNNNNNNNNNNNNNNNNNNNNNNNNNNNNNNNNNNNNNNNNNNNNNNNNNNNNNNNNNNNNNNNNNNNNNNNNNNNNNNNNNNNNNNNNNNNNNNNNNNNNNNNNNNNNNNNNNNNNNNNNNNNNNNNNNNNNNNNNNNNNNNNNNNNNNNNNNNNNNNNNNNNNNNNNNNNNNNNNNNNNNNNNNNNNNNNNNNNNNNNNNNNNNNNNNNNNNNNNNNNNNNNNNNNNNNNNNNNNNNNNNNNNNNNNNNNNNNNNNNNNNNNNNNNNNNNNNNNNNNNNNNNNNNNNNNNNNNNNNNNNNNNNNNNNNNNNNNNNNNNNNNNNNNNNNNNNNNNNNNNNNNNNNNNNNNNNNNNNCUCGGAAGGAUGAGGAGCGACAGUUGGAGUGAUAUUUGUAGGUACGACUAAGUCAAAUAAAUAAGCAUAGUGAUUAUAUAAUUUUUCUAUGUAUUCAUUCGCAUCACUCAUAGCCGUCCACAAAUCAGGUUCUACUUGUUUAGAUUCAGAAUCAUUGUUAGUAUUUAUUUCUAAGUUAGCAUAAAUAAUAGUACUAAAGUGGUACAUAGUAUUAUAUAUCAUGCAUGGAUUUAACAUAGCACCAACCAAGUAAAUAGGGGGAAUCGGGGAAAAAUAAUUUUUAAAUUUAGUAAACAUGGCACUAACAACUUCUUUAUAACCAUCUUUAUUUUUAUAUUCUUUAAGCAAACCAGAAAUAUCGGCUAUAUAUCCCAAAAUAUUACAAACAGUAGGAUAAUACGCACCGAAAAAUUCAACCAUAGCUACAUAAAAAUUUUCUAAAAACUUAACAAGAUCAUUAGUUACAACCCAAUCAAAAUCAUGCAGCAUGCAAUCAGCAGAAUUAGUAAAUGAAGCGCAAUGUUGGUUAAAAGCUGGUGUAAUAAGAACUCUAUAUUUAUAACAAGUUUUUAAAAUAUCAUAUGUAGAAUUACAUCUAAUAUCAAUUUCCUCAUACAUCAAUAUCGGUGCAAGUCCAUUUUCUUGACAUUUANNNNNNNNNNNNNNNNNNNNNNNNNNNNNNNNNNNNNNNNNNNNNNNNNNNNNNNNNNNNNNNNNNNNNNNNNNNNNNNNNNNNNNNNNNNNNNNNNNNNNNNNNNNNNNNNNNNNNNNNNNNNNNNNNNNNNNNNNNNNNNNNNNNNNNNNNNNNNNNNNNNNNNNNNNNNNNNNNNNNNNNNNNNNNNNNNNNNNNNNNNNNNNNNNNNNNNNNNNNNNNNNNNNNNNNNNNNNNNNNNNNNNNNNNNNNNNNNNNNNNNNNNNNNNNNNNNNNNNNNNNNNNNNNNNNNNNNNNNNNNNNNNNNNNNNNNNNNNNNNNNNNNNNNNNNNNNNNNNNNNNNNNNNNNNNNNNNNNNNNNNNNNNNNNNNNNNNNNNNNNNNNNNNNNNNNNNNNNNNNNNNNNNNNNNNNNNNNNNNNNNNNNNNNNNNNNNNNNNNNNNNNNNNNNNNNNNNNNNNNNNNNNNNNNNNNNNNNNNNNNNNNNNNNNNNNNNNNNNNNNNNNNNNNNNNNNNNNNNNNNNNNNNNNNNNNNNNNNNNNNNNNNNNNNNNNNNNNNNNNNNNNNNNNNNNNNNNNNNNNNNNNNNNNNNNNNNNNNNNNNNNNNNNNNNNNNNNNNNNNNNNNNNNNNNNNNNNNNNNNNNNNNNNNNNNNNNNNNNNNNNNNNNNNNNNNNNNNNNNNNNNNNNNNNNNNNNNNNNNNNNNNNNNNNNNNNNNNNNNNNNNNNNNNNNNNNNNNNNNNNNNNNNNNNNNNNNNNNNNNNNNNNNNNNNNNNNNNNNNNNNNNNNNNNNNNNNNNNNNNNNNNNNNNNNNNNNNNNNNNNNNNNNNNNNNNNNNNNNNNNNNNNNNNNNNNNNNNNNNNNNNNNNNNNNNNNNNNNNNNNNNNNNNNNNNNNNNNNNNNNNNNNNNNNNNCAUUCAAUAUAUAUGUACUACUUUAAGUAAAACAUAUACUAAAAUAUAUAUAUAUACUUCAAUAUAUGUAGUUAUAUACUAAUUUAUAAAACAUAUACACAUGUAUACAUUAAAUAUAUACGUCUAUAGAAGAUAUACACACAUAUAUACUACAAUAUAUAUAGUUAUAUACUAAUUUAUAAAACAUACAUACAUGUAUACAUUAAAUAUACACGUCUACAGAAGAUAUAUACACAAAUAUACGCACUAUUCAAUAUAUAUGUACUAGUUUAAGUAAAACAUAUACUACAAUAUAUGUAUAUACUACAAUAUAUAUAUAGUUAUAUAAUAAUUUAUAAAACAUAUACACAUGUAUACGUUAAAUAUACACGUCGAUAGAAUAUAUUGAAUAUUUGAGAAUUGAGAAUUGAGAGAGAAUGAGAUUUGAGAGAGUGAAAAAUUGUGUGAAAAAUGAUUUGAAGCUGUAGGGUAUUUAUAGAAUUUUUUUUGGGAUUAAAAAAUUAUUUUAAAAUUAAAAGAUAUUUUUUUUAAUUAAUGGGCUCAUACUAGCCGUUUGGACCCAAAAAUGGCUAUAUAACUGUUGGGCCAACGACUAGUUUGGCCCAAAAGCCCAAAUUUUCAAAAAAAAAAAAAGAUUAUUAUUCCGGGCCGGGUUAACCAAGCCCAAAUUAAAAGAAAAUGGUCCGGAACCCGGUACCCUAAAGCCUUUGGGCUUACCGAGCCGAGUCAAACUGGGCCAGGUAGGGCCGCGUCAGCCCGGCCCACUUGACACCCUUAAUUACAACACUACUCAAUUCGAAAUAAAAAUUUAUACAAAAUCAUAUACACUGAAAGAAAAACAUUUAUACGCUCUUGAUUUUUAAGGCAAUAAUAAGAGAAAAGGGAGGGGGGGAGGGGGGUGUCAAUGCCCUAUAUUUACCUGAGGUCAAAACGAGCAUGUGACAUUAUGGACUCUAAGAGAAUUGAAAUUUGUACAGAGUCGCCACCUAAUUUUUAAAGGAAAAUAAGGAAACCUAUUUAUUUGUUAAUACGUAUGAUUAAUGCUUUAGUCUUUGAAACCUAUUGAGACUCUAGGUAAGGGUUCAAAUUAUCCCGAAGGGAAGGGGUUAGGCAACCUUCAGGAUCCACAAAUGUGGUACCCAGCUAGACUAAACUUAUCAACGAGGGAGGAGGUAUAAAUAUUUAAAAUAAUGUAAAAGUGUAUGUGUAUUAAGUAUAAAAUAAUUCUUUCAAAAAAUAUAAAUGUUUAAAACCAUGUAAAAGUAUAUGUAUAUUAACUAUAUAUAAAACAUGUAAACGAUAUGUAUAAAAUGCAUAAAUUACAUGUGAAAAAGAAAAGUAUUUUAUGACGUACGAAAAGAAAUGUAUUUUAAUGUGUCUUGAAAAGAAAAGGUAUUUACAAGUAAUAUUUUUACUUGAUUUAAAUUAUGAAAACGUAAAAUUUAUUUGAGAAGAAAAGACUACACAAUACGUGAAUUACUUGAUUAACUUGAUUCUUGUAUGUAAAUAUUAACGGCCUAAGUUUUGCCUAAAAGUGAUGAAAUUAUGUAAAUAAUGAAUAUCUCCUCCCGGCACCCAAAAAGGUAAAGUUUUCACUAUAUUCGAUAUGUACAAUUACAAGAAAAUAAUAUAAAUAAAAGAUUCUUCUUCUGAAUGUCAUUUUCCGACAAACAAUCUCGAAAAACCUGUACAAACACGUUAGUAACAAAGUAAAAUAAACUAGAAACUAUGUGUGCAUGUAUACAUAAAAAUAGAAAUGUUUUAUCAAAGUGUGAUUCUUCUUGCUCGAUUAAUCGGCCAUCCUAAAUCGCCUUACCAAGAUACAAAUCAUAAAACCCUUUGUGUUGCCGUGAAAUUGUAAAGUUUCAUCAUUGCCCGAAUUUAUUUAUUUUUGUUACGUAUUUGUAUAUGUAAUAUCCAUCUUUUAUUUACGGAGGCCUCGAAAAUUGACGGAAAUUUCUUUAUUGGCUAUGUGUCUAUUUUUGAUAGAAAUAAAUAACUUGGAAAAUAAAGAUCCGUCUUUUGUAUUGGUCACCUCAAGUAUCCGACGGAGAGAUAAUGUCAUUGGCUGAGGUAUUUAUUUUGAGUAUAUGUAUGUGUUUUUUAGAAAAAGAAAAAGAUGAACAAAUUUUGUGUAUGAAAAAAAUAUGUGUGGUGAAAAAUAUGUGUGUGUAGAGAAGAAGUGUGUGUUUGAGAGAGAAGAAAAAUAUGUGGGGAUGAUAAAUGUGUAUAUGUAUUUGUGAAUGUGUAUUUUAUUUGUGUAUUUGUAUGUGAGAAGACAAAAAAUGUGUGUAUUGUAUUUAAAAAAAAAAAGAAUAAACCAUAUAAAAAGAACAUUGAUUUGUUUAUAUUUUGAGAGAGGGAGAAAGAAGAAUGAAAUGCAUAUAUGGUGACAAACGUAUGUGUGAGAGAAAGGAAAAAUAUGACUAAAAUUUUGUAUUUUAGGGAGAGGAGAAAGAGGUGAAAAAUAUGUGUGGAUUUUUUUGAGAGAGAGGAAGAAUAAAAAUGUGUGUGUGGAAAUGUCUUCCCAUCACUUGUAUUUAUAAUGAUAUUGGGCACCUCUUAUUUUCCAAUGGAUAAAAAGAUGUCCCCUCUUUAUAUAAUAGCACAUCCUUUGGUCUUUAAGGUAUUGACCAAAGAAUUUUCAUAUUUUUGACCAAUGGAUAAAAUGAUUAUCCAAAAAAUAAAGUCAUUGAGUGGUCAUUGUCAGAUGUGACAAGACAUUAUGUAUAGUCAUUGUCGGAUGUGACAAGAUUUCAUUGUGUAGUCAUUGUCAGAUGUGACAAGGCAUUAUUGUGUGGUCAUUGUCGGAUAUGACAAGACAUCAUUGUGUAGUCAUUGUCAGAUGUGACAAGGCAUUAUUGUGUGGUCAUUGUUGGAUACGACAAAACAUCAAAUUAUUAUACUAUAUAAAAUUAAUUGAUCCGACUUAGCGUUUGCGGAUUAUAGAAAUAUAUAAAAAUUGAUAUGUAAUUAAAAAAUGUAAAGAAAAAUGGAAAAUGUAAUUAACUUGAAAAUAUUAUAAAAAUAAAUGUAAUGUCAUGUUGUGUACGUGUGUAGAUGAUUGUGAAAAAAUAUUAAAGACGAUAAUGAAAAAAUUCUAACAUAUAAAGAAUUAACAAUAAAUUAUGAAAAGCAAAACAUGAUAAUAAAUUGAUAAAAUUCUAAAGUGAGGAUGAUUAUCAGUAAUUUAUCAAAAAUAUAAAAAAUGUGUGAAAAAUGUGUUUUGCACUCUUUAACGAUCAGGAAGCCUGAAGACGUUAAUUUUAAGCAUGGAGGGAAAAAUUGGGUGUCAACAGUUGCCCCUUUUCAUUUGAGGAUGAUGUAGAAGUUUUCAAACGAAAAUGUUGACGUGUAGCCAAUUUUUCUUGAUAAAAAAUAAUUUUUUUUGUUAUAGAAAAAUUCGACUAAACUCUAAUUUAGAGUUGCCUAUAUACCUCAAGUUACAUGAGGAUAAGGUAGGGUGUAGUUCAAAAGAUUGGGCAAAUCGCCAUGCUAUUAAGAGUGAGAGACCGUGUGAAGUAAUUCAUGAAAUAUGGACUAUUUAAGAACAGAAGUGUUCAUCUAUUCUCGAUGUUCCUUUCAAAAUUUCUCCAGUAUCGAGCUGUGAGAUGCUGGGGAUGCAAGAUUAUGUACUUGCUGGGAAGAAAGAAUAAUUGUGAGAUUGUGAUGACCGAACUCUGCAUAGAGCUUCCUACAUAUCUCGAGUGUCACGAGAAUCAGGUCAAUGUAGUUCGAAAUGAGAAAAUAGCAAAUUUUGGAGUGAUUCUCAAAAUUUGCCCCAGUGUAUGAUGUAUGGGAUUUGAAAAAAAAAUUGCCCUUUUGUUUUGAAUUAUAUUUUUAGUUGAAGAGACGCAUGAUGUCUCCAAUUGUCUACCGGGACCUGAGGAUGAAUGACGUCUUCGAUUGCUUAUGGAAACUUGGGGAUAAAUGGCGUCUCCGAUUGUUUACGGGGACCUGAGGAUGAAUGAAAGAUGUCUUUGAUUGUCUACGAAGACUUGAUGCAUGUCAUCUCCAAUUGUCUUACAGAGACUGAUGUUGAAUGUCAUCUUCGAUUUUCUACAGAGAUUGAUGUGAUGAAUGAUGAUGUCUUCGACUGUAUAUGAAAACUGAUGUUGAUUGUCUUCUUCAAUUGUCUAUGAAGACUGACGGAUGACAUGCCCAAUUGUUUAUGGAUACUGAUGUUGAUGAUUUCCUCUGAUUGCCUACAGAGACUAAUGUGAUGAAUGGUGUAAUUGAUUGUCUACGAAGACUUGAUGACAUCUCCAAUUGUCUAUUUAGAUGGAUGUUGAAUGAUGAUGUCUUUGAUUGUCUACGAAGACUUGAUGUAUAAUACCUCUAAUUGUCUAUAGAGGCUGAUGUUGAUUGUUGUCUCCGAUUGUCUAUGGAGACUGAUCUGACGCCUUCGAUUGUUUACAAAGACAGAUGCAUGACCCUGCAAUUGUCUAUGAAGGCUGGUGUAGAUUAUUGUCUCUGAUUAUCUACGAAAACUGAUGUGACGCCUUCGAUUGUUUACGAAGACAGAUGUAUGACCCUCCAAUUGUCUAUGAAGGCUAGUGUGGAUUAUCAUCUCCGAUUGUCUACGGAGAUUGAUAUGAUGCCUUCGAUUGUUUAUGAAGACAGAUGCAUAACCCUCCAAUUGUCUAUGGAGGCUAAUGCGAUGAAUGAUGUCCUUGAUUGUCUACGAAGACUUGAUGACAUCUCCAAUUGUCUAUGUAGAUGGAUGUUGAAUGAUAAUGUCUUCGAUUGUCUACGAAGACUUGAUACAUGAUACCUCUAAUUAUCUAUAGAGGCUGAUGUUGGUUGUUGUCUCCAAUUAUCUACGGAGACUGAUGUGACGCCUUUGAUUAUUUACAAAGACAGAUGCAUGACCCUUCAAUUGUCUAUGAAGGCUUGUGUCGAUUAUUGACUUUGAUUGUCUAUGGAGACUGAUGUGAUGGUCGUCCUCAAUUUUUUAUGAAGACUAAAGUCAUCAACCGAUGAGGUAAUGGCCUUUCGAUUGGUGGAACAGCUGGAAGGUAAUAGCCUCUCGACUGGUGGGGCUAUGAGAAUGUAAAAAGCCUCUCGACUGGCGGGAUUGUUGAAAGGUGAUAGCCACUCGACUGACGGGGCUAUGGAAAUGUAAAAACCUCUAUACUAGCGGGGCUUUAAAAGGUAAUAUCCACUCGACUGGCGGGGCUAUGAGAAUGUAAAAGCCUCUCGAUCGGCGGAGCUUUGAAAAGUAAUAGCCUCUUGAAUAGCGGGGCUAUGAGAAUGUAAAAAGCCUCUCGACUGGUGGGGCUUUGAAAGGUAAUAGCCUCUCGACUGGCGGGGCUAUGAAAAUGUAAAAGCCUCUCGACUGGCAGGGCUUUGAAAGGUAAUAGCCUCUCGACUAGCCGGGCAAUGAACAUGUAAAAGCCUCUCGAUUGGUUGGGAUUUGAAAGGUAAUAGCCCCUUGACUAGUGGGGCUAUGAGAAUGUAAAAAGAUUCUUAACUAGCGGGGUUUGAAAGGUAAUAACAUCUCGACUAGCGGGGCUAUGAAAAUGUAAAAGCCUCUCGACUGGCGGGGCUUUGAACGGUAAUAGCUUCUCGACUGGCGGGGCUAUGAAAAUGUAAAAGCCUUUCGACUGGGGGGACUUUAAAAGGUAAUAGCCUCUCAACUGGCGGGGCUAUGAAAAUGUAAAAGCCUCUCAACUGGCGGGGCUUUGAAAGGUAAUAGCCUCUCAAUUGGUGGGGCUAUGAAAAUGUAAAAGCCUCUCGACUGGCGGUGCUUUCAAAGGUAAUAGCCUCUCGACUGGCGGGGCUAUGAAAACGUAAAAGCCUCUCGACUGGCAGGGCUUUAAAAGGUAAUAUCCUCUCCACUGAUGGGGCUAUGAAAACGUAAAAGCCUCUCGAUGGCGGGGCUUUGAAAGGUAAUAGCCUCUCGACUGGCGGAGCUGUGAAAACGUAAAAGCCUCUCGACUGGCGGGGCUUUAAAAGGUAAUAGCCUCUCGACUGGCGGGGCUAUGAAAAUGUAAAAGCCUCUCGACUGUCGGGACUAUGAAAAUGUAAAAGCCUCUUGACUGGCGGGGCUAUGAAAACAUAAAAGUCUCUUGACUGGCGGGGCUAUAAAAGGUAAUAGCCUCUCAACUAGCGGGGCUAUGAAAACAUAAAAGCCUCUCGACUAGCGGGGCUAUGAAAAUGUAAAAGCCUCUGAGAACACCCAAUUGAAAAGAAAAAUAUCCCAUGUUUGAAGGCUUUAUCUUGAAGAGAAAGGACAAUUGUUGGUAUUCAGAGAUAGACGUCUUGCACGUAAAGUGUGAUGCAUGUAUGUGAAGGCAUGGUUUGAAAGGAAAGAUUUUUUUUUUGUAUUUUCGUUGUAAAAAUGUGUUGAAAGAUGAAAAAUGUGGAAGAUUGUUUUGUGUUUUAUUUGUAAGAAAUGUUGAAAGGUUAAAAUGCAGAACAUUAUUUGUGUUUUCUUUUGUAAGAAUAUAGAAAGGUGAAAAUGCAGAACAUUGUUUUGUAUUUUCUUUGUAAGAAAUACUGAAAGUUUAAAAUGUAGAAAAUUAUUUUGUGUUUUACUUGUAAAAAGUGUUGAACUGCGAAAUAAAAUUGGUUUGUAUUUUCUUUUAUAAGAAAUGCUGAAAGUUGAAAAAUGUAGGAAAUUAUCUUGUGUUUUAUUUGUAAGAAAUGUUGAAAGUUGAAAAAAAGCAUAAUCAUGCCUUGACUGUAGUUCGUAUCAACAAUUAGUAGUGUGUAUAAGAAUUUUCCCAUCUCUUCCAGCUAACAAAGAUUGACUUCAGGGUAACUCCUAUAGCUUCGAGUGGUACCUCAGACAUACCUAAGUAUUGACAAGAUUUGGUCGUCUUGCUUCAAACAAAGAUUUUGAAUUAUGUUUGUUCCCAUGAUUCAAGUGCACUCUCUAGAAAGAAUGUCUCGUUCUCACACUUAUUUGAAUAUUAUUUUCUUUCAAAUUUGGAGACGUCUAGAAAUAUACACUCACACUUAGAAAGAAGUUCAAUGAAUGCAAUUGUGAUACCAUAGACUUGGCCUUCAUGUAAGUAUCCACUAAUGUGAGAAAACUUAGAGUAGGAUCUUGUAGGACUUAUAAUUGGCUUGUAAUGUAGGCUUGGGGUCGGGUAGGGUUCUUUAUUGUGCUUCUUUUCCCCUUGUUUGUAUUUGUUUCGACUUUUUUUAAAUCUUGUGUUGGAGUUUUUCCCCUUUUCGAUAUAUUUUCCUUAUUUUUUUCUUUUUGGGGGAUGAUGAUUCCCCACCUUUAUCAGAGUUAUCUUUUUUUUUUUUGCUUUGGGGGGGGGGGGGUGGGCUGUGUCCUGUGAGGUCUUGCUCCUUCUUUCUUUGAAGUCAUCUUUUAUUUUUGUUCUUCUGGGGAUAUACUUCCUUUGCCUUUGGCAACUUUGAUCUUGAAUCUUCAUUCGCAACUUGCACAUACUUAGUGCGCUCAAAGAGGUGGGCCAAAGAGGGAUAGUGCAUGUAAGCACUCAAAAGGUAUAGGCUCAAAUAUGGUUAUUCCAAUGAAAAGGUUUCAGGCUCAAAGGGAGGAAUACUAGGGAUCGAUGUCAUUUGGUAGGCUGUGGAAGUCACAAUCUAGUCAAGGAAGGCCUACAAUCCUUUCCCAAACUAAGUGUAACUCAAAAUUUUGCCUCAAUAGACAUUCAGGCCACGUUCUAGAUCAACAAUGCAAUACAAUGAACAAGUCUAAAACUUACCACACAAUGUACUUAAAACGAUGGAGUUGACUUUGUUCUUUUCUUAGAUGUAUACAAGAGAAUUUUCGAGUGUUACUCAGGUUUGACUAAGAGGUAUCAAAAGAAUCUAUCAUUUACCGUGAAGUUGGUCCUCUCCAUCAUACUAAUUUGUUCUUUCUCAUGCACAUUCCUAAUUGUGUUGAUACCAACCAAGUCAAAAUUUUAUUUUAUUUAAAAAAAAUGGGAUCGAACCCAAAUGAGGGUUGCCUUCGUAUCUUGUAAAAACAAGAAUCAGGACUGCGUAGUUCAGGUAAUUUUGUAAAUUUCUAUGUAACAUGUAUGAAUGUACAAAAGUGAUGGUCAUCUUUGAAAAAAUAAUGUGAAAGACGAUCAGGAAGGGAUUGCUUGUAUCAACAAAAUUGGUUCGAUUAGACGAUCAAGAGGAUGGAUGUCGAGCAUCAGGAGAGUUUUGAAAUUACUUUAAUAUGUCGACGAGAUAGAGAAGGUCAAACAUUGGAGAAGUUAUGGCAUUAUUUCACCGUAGUUGGCCAAAUUAUUAUGAAUGAAAGAAUAUUGAACCCUUGCUUUGAUAGUGGAGAUCGAUACACUGUAAAUUUAAUGAUUUACGAUUUUCGAAAGAAGAAGCUAGGUGCUCUCGAACCAAAAUUGGGUGAGGAUAUAGAGGUAGGUCGGCUAAGCACUAAUGUUAUUGAGAUUUGAAUUUGGGGAAUCAUUUAUUUGCGCUCUUGAAGACUUUUGGAGAGCGUCUUUGAACUGUUUCAAAAAAUUGCCCCAGUAUGAAUACCGAAGAAAUUAUUUUGAAACAGUAAAGAGACCGAACCCUAAUACAGGAUUGCCUACGUAUCUUGUCAGGACAAGAAUCAGGUUAAAACGUAGUUCAAAUCUUUUUUUUUUUUUGAGUUAUUAUGGCAUGAUUUAUAUUCAGAAUAGGAAUUUUCCUAAAUGGUUAAGAGUAGGACCGAAUAAUUACGAAAAGGCACACUAACCUAAAUGCACCAAUUCUGAAACUAAGGGAUCCAAAGAAGGUUCGGAGGAGUACGGUACAUCCCUCGCGUGUUCAGUGUGUGAAUUGUGUACGGCCAAAGACUCGAUGGAAUUGUGAUUAUGAUUAAAUAAUGUAAAGAAUAAUGUGUAACAGUUUUUACGCUAUACAGAUACAGUGUAUUAAACAAAUAAUAAAUAAUUAAAGAAAAUGAUAAGGCAGUAAAUUUAAUUUGCACAAAUAAUAUAAAGGAUUUAUGAAAAAUCUACACAAUUUUCAAUGUGAAAAAGAUAAAGAAUCAAAGAAUUAAUAUAUACAAAAAAUGUAAAAAUACCUCCCUCAAUUGAAAAAUUGAGUUUAUCAUAGUUAGAACAUGUUGUUUAUCCCCAGUGGAGUCGCCAUUCUGUCAAUGCCCUAUUUUUACCUGAGGUCAAAAUGAGCACGUGACAUUAUGGACUCUAAGAGAAUUGAAAUUUGUACAGAGUCGACACCUAAUUUUUAAAGAAAAAUAAGGAAACCUAUUUAUUUGUUAAUACGUAUGAUUAAUGUUUUAGUCGGUGAAAACCUAUUGAGACUCUAGGUAAGGGUUCAAAUUAUCCCGAAGGGAAGGGGUUAGGCACCCUUCAGGAUCCACAAAUGUGGUACCCAGCUAGACUAAACUUAUCAACGAGGGAGGAGGUAUAAAUAUUUAAAAUAAUGUAAAAGUGUAUGUGUAUUAAGUAUAAAAUAAUUCUUUCGAAAAAUAUAAAUGUUUAAAACCAUGUAAAAGUAUAUGUAUAUUAACUAUAUAUAAAACAUGUAAAAGAUAUGUAUAAAAUGUAUAAAUUACAUGUGAAAAAGAAAAGUAUUUUAUGACGUACAAAAAGAAAUGUAUUUUAAUGUGUCUUGAAAAGAAAAGGUAUUUACAAGUAAUAUUUUUAUUUGAUUUAAAGAUUCUUUUAUGUAAAUAUUAACGACCUAAGUUUUGCCUAAAAGUGAUGAAAUUAUGUAAAUAAAGAAUAUCUCCGUCUGGCACCCAAAAAGAUAAAGUUUUCACUAUAUUCGAUAUGUACAAUUACAAGAAAAUAAUAUAAAUAAAAGAUUCUUCUUUUGAAUGUCAUUUUCCGACAAAUAAUCUCGACAAACCUGUACAAACACGUUAGUAACAAAGUAAACUAAACUAGAAACUAUGUGUGAAUAUAUACAUAAAAAUAGAAAUGUUUUAUCAAAGUGUGGGCUCGGAUUAGUUUUUGAUAUGCCGUGGCUACGAAGUGGUUGCUCAAUUAAUCGCCCAUCUUAAAUCGCCUUACCAAGAUACAAAUCAUAAAACUCUUUGUGUUGCCGUGAAAUUGUAAAGUUUCGUCAUCGCCCAAAUUUAUUUAUUUUUGUUACGUAUUUGUAUAUGUAAUAUCCGUCUUUUAUUGACAGAGGCCUCAAAAAUUGACGGAAAUUUCUUCAUUGGCCAUGUGUCUAAUUUUGAUAUAAAUAAAUAACUUCGAAAAUAAAGAUCCGUCUUUUGUAUUGGGGUGGCCUCAAGUAUCCGACGGAGAGAUAAUGUCAUUGGCCGAGGUAUUUAUUUUGAGUAUAUGUAUGUGUUUUUUAGAAAAAGAAAAAGAUGAACAAAUUUUGUGUAUGAAAAAAAUAUAUGUGUGGUGAAGAAUAUGUGUGUGUAGUGAAGAAGUGUGUAUUUGAGAGAGAAGAAAAAUAUGUGGAGAUGAUAAAUGGGUAUAUAUAUUUAUGAAUGUGUAUUUUAUUUGUGUAUUUGUAUGUGAGAAGACAACAAAUGUGUGUAUUGUAUUUUUGAAAAAAAAGAAUAAACUAUAUAAAAAGAAAAUUGAUUUGUUUAUAUUUUGAGAGAGGGGAGAAAGAAGAAUGAAAUGUAUAUAUGGUGAAAAACAUUUAAGUGAGAGAGAAAGGAAAAAGAUGACUAAAAUUUUGUAUUUGAGGGAGAGGAGAAAGAGGUGAAAAAUAUGUGUGGAUUUUUUUGAGAGAGAGGAAGAAUAAAAAUGGGUGUGUGAAAAUGUCUUCCCAUCACUCCUAUUUAUAAUAAUAUUGGGCACCUCUUAUUUUCCAAUGGAUAAAGAGAUGUCCCCUCUUUAUAUAAUAGCAUAUCCUUUGGUCCUUAGGGUAUUGACCAAAUGAUUUUCAUAUUUUUGACCAAUGGAUAAAGUUAUUAUCCAAAGAAUAGUGUCAUUGAGUGGUCAUUGUCAGAUGUGACAAGACAUUAUGUGUAGUCAUUAUCGGAUGUGACAAGAUUUCAUUGUGUAGUCAUUGUCGGAUGUGACAAGACAUUAUUGUGUGGUCAUUGUCGGAUAUGACAAGACAUCAUUGUGUAGUCAUUGUCAGAUGUGACAAGGCAUUAUUGUGUGGUCGUUGUUGGAUAUGACAAGACAUCAAAUUAUUAUACUAUAUAAAAUUAAUUGAUCCGACUUAGCGUUUGCGGAUUAUAGGAAUAUAUAAAAAUUGAUAUGUAAUUAAAAAAUGUAAAGAAAAAUGGAAAAUGUAAUUAACUUGAAAAUAUUAUAAAAAUAAAUGUAAUGUCAUGUUGUGUACGUGUGUAGAUGAUUGUGAAAAAAUAUUAAAGACGAUAAUGAAAAAAUUCUAACAUACAAAGAAUUAUCAAUAAAUUAUGAAAAGCAAAACAUGAUAAUAAAUUAAUAAAAUUCUAAAGUGAGGAUGAUUAUCAGUAAUUUAUCAAAAAUAUAAAAAAAUGUGUGAAAAAUGUGUUUUGCACUCUUUAACGAUCAGGAAGCCUGAAGACGUUAAUUUUAAGCAUGGAGAGAAAAAAUUGGGUGUCAACAGCGGGAUAAUGUCUUCGUCUAUCAAGAAUAUUCCUGAUGAAAUAUUAAGAAGUAAGAGUCAUUUAUUAUACGAUAGUUGUAAAGAACUAAAAAUAUUUAUAUUUUCUUGAUUUUUCCGUGUUCUUACUUUUAUAUAUUUUAAUAUUUUUUGCAGUGAAGAAUUUAAUUAUGUCACCAAUUAUAACAUGUCAAUUUACAAAAAUUCUUUAGUAUCGUAUUAUAUUUCAUAUAGUUAAUGGUAUCGAAGUAUAUAUGAACAUAGAUCAUGAUAUUAUUCUACUCCCUCUUCAUGUGUAGACAAAAUCUUAAAGUAAGGACAGUAAUAGUUGUUUCUUUUGUCUUUUUUUUUUUGGCUAUGAAAAAUCGGUGGAGACUUUCAUGAUUGCAAAAUAUUACUAUAGAAGAACUAAUAUUGUGACUAAGUGUUGGAGUUCCACAUUGAUCAGUUAAAGGGUCCUUACUCAUCUUAUAUGGUCUUGGGCAAACCUUCCCUCAUGAGCUAGCUUUUAGGGUUGAGUUAGGCCAAAGACUCAUUCUUUACAUGGUAUUAGACUCAGACCCAUAAUCUUUGUUCACCGAUGUUGGCUUUCAUAUUAUAUUGUCCACAAUCUAAUUAACGAGGCCUGGACAUGCGGGGGAGUGUUAAGUAUCCCACAUCAAAAAAGGAAUAGGUAAUUGAUCUCUUUAUAUGGAUCUGGGAAAUCCUACCCUCAUGAGUUAGCGUUGGAGGUUGAGUUAGGCCAAAGAUUCAUUCUUUAUACUAAGAAAUUUGACCAUGAGCAAAAUUUGAAAGAAAUAAUUGGAGAUAAACAACUUUGGCUUUUCAUCAUGCUCUUUUUUCAAUUAGUUAAAUUUAAAUAUUUGAUAGAGUUAAAAAUAUUUAAAGUUGACUUUUCAUCUUGUUCCUUUUUUUUCAGUUAAUUAAAUUCAAACUUUUCACAGAGAGAUCAGAUCCACUUAAGAUGAAAAGUUCAUAUAAAAAAGAUAAUAAUUGAUAAUUAGGAUAUGAAACUCGCGAAAAAAUAUUAAUGCACGUGUUAUUUUGACCAGUAUCUCUAUAAAUAAAUGAUGAAUUGUAUAUAAAAUGAAGACAAGUGAACAAUAUAUAUUUAUUUAAGUUGUAACUCAUAUAUUACAAUAGAUAGAUAAUUCCCCAGUAUUUGAAAAACUAGCUAGGUUACAUAUUUAUUUUCUUAGUAUACGAACUUGGAAACACAACAUUAUUUAAAUUGCUUGAAUAUACACAAAGGCACAUCAAGCAUAUAAUAGUAGUUACAUUCAUUCUUUGAGCGCAGUAAUUCUAAUUUGUGUGCUUCAAGGAUACUUCACCAAUAACAACACGCUUAUUAUUUAAUUUGCAUCGAAACACAAUAUUAUUUAACUUACUCGAAGGAUAGUUUCGAAAUAAUCUUCACUAUUAAAAGGCGCUUGUUAAAACAAUAUGGAACAGUCAUUCGAAGUAAAUAAUUGUAGACACAACGUCUGCAGAUAGUCCCAUCACUGCAAUCGCUAUCACCGUUACAAAAUUGAUAACAAGUAAGACCGUCACCAAGUAAAGGUAAUUUUACUUUCAUCUUUGCAACAUCAAUUGGUAACUCUCUUAAAACCAUCAUGGGAUUCUCUUUCAGAGCAACAUUGCGUUCAACGACUUGGCGAUGUUUGUGGUCAUGACGUUGAAUCUAUUCCUGGGAAGUAAGCCCUGCCUUAUUUUUUAAAUCCAACGUCAUGUUCGAGGCAAGCUGUUGUGUCGGGGUAUAUUUUUUAAGCAAGUUGACUUAGUCAUUAAACUCAUCUAAUUAUCUUCUACUUUUUAAAUAUUGUAUAUUUCUAUAAGGUAUAAUUAUCUUCUAAAAAAAUGAUAUAAAAAUAAUAUAUAAACUGGUGCUCCUAUAAAUAUAAUAUGAAAUUGAUAUAGAAAUUAGUGUCCUUUAAAGAUUAUUUAAUUAUAUCCAAAAAAUAUAAUAUAAAAAAUGGUAUAAAAAGUGAUAUUUCGUAAAGGUUAUUUCAAAAGAACUUAUGACAGUUGAAUAGUUGGUAGAUUUUGUAAAUAAAAACUACCUUUUGUAAAUAAAAAAUAAUAGUGGUAGAUUUUGUAAUAUAGACUCUAAAUUUGUAUAUUUAUGUGAUUUGCCCAUUUCGAAAUAACCUUUAUUAGAGACCUUUUUAGAGUAGGUGCUUCAAAAAAAUUAGAAGUUUACAUUUUAUUUAUCUUAAACUUAGAAAUAUAACAUUAUUUAACUUGCUUAGAAAUAAAACAUUAUUGAACAAUAGUUCCGAGAUAAUCUUCAUCAGUAAGAGCGCACUUGCUAAAACACAGAACAGUAAUUCGGAGUAAAAUAAUUGUAGGUACAACGCUUACAAAUGAUCGCAUUACUGCAAUUGCUAUCAUCGUAGCAAAAUCGAUAACAAGUAAUGAGACCAUCACAAAGUCAGUAAUUUCACUUUCAUUUUUGCAACAUCAAUUGGUAACUUUCUUAAAGCCAUCAUUUUAGGACCCCAACACAGAUUAAUUGCAUGUUACAAAAUCUUUUACUAAGAAAAGUAAGGACAAUAAUAGAUGUUUCUUUGUCUUUUUUUUUUUUUCUAUGAAGAGCUAGUGGAGACUUUCUUGAUAGCAUAAUAUUUCUGUAGAAGAACUAAUAUUGGGACUAGAAAUUUGAGUAAGGGCAAAAUUUGAAAGAAAUAAUUGGAAAUAAAUAGGUUUGACUUUUCAUCAUGCUCUUUUUUUUCAAUUAGUUAAAUUCAUAUAUUUGACAAAGGUAAAAGUAUUUAAAGUUUGGCUUUUGGUCUGCUCUUUUUUUCAGUUAAUUAAAUUCAAAUAUUUGACAAAGAGAGAACAAAUCCACUUAAGAUGGAAGUUCAUAAAGUAAAAAAGAGAAUAAUUGAUGAUUAGGAUAUGAAACUCGUAAAAACGUAUGAAUUCACAUGAGGUAUUUUGACCAGUAUCUUAAUAAGAAAAAUAGUAAAUUGCAUAUAAAAUAAACAUUAGUUAACAAUAUAUAUUUAUUUAAGUUGUAACCCAUAUAUUACAAUAGAUAGAUAGUUCCCCAAUAUUUGGAAAACUAGCUAGGUUACAUAUUUAUCUUCUGAUUAUACAAACUUGAAAACACAACAUUAUUUAAAAUGCUUGAAUAUACACAAAGGCAUAUCAAACAUAUAAUAGUAGUUACAUUCAUCCUUUCCACACAGUAAAUAUAAUCUACGCUCUCCAAGGAUAAUUCACUCAUAACAACACACACUUACUUUUUAACUUGCUUAGAAGCACAAUAUUAUUUAACUUAUUCGAAAGAAAGUUUUAAAAUGACCUUUUAUAGGCGGAACAAUCAAAAAAUUUCCCAGUAUGACCUGUUGGAGCACAAGUUUUACAUAUAAUUCCAUCACUGCAAUCGCUAUCUGAUUUGCAACUUCGAUAACAAGUCAUAACAUUACGGUCAUUACCAAAUGGAAGAAGUAAUUUUUCUUUCAUCUCUGCAACUUCAAUUGGUAAGUCUCUUACAGCCAUCACUUUAGGACCCCAAGAGAUAUUAACUGCACAUAAAUUAAUUAUAAUAAUAAUUAAAAUAAUUAAUAUACACAAAUUAUUACAAAGAAAGAAGAGUGGUAAAAGUAAG
This 159621-nucleotide long non-coding RNA is filed under the name Capsicum annuum. Its description in RNAcentral is "long non-coding RNA (CANN_LNC007413)". The record is from RNAcentral. Lineage: Eukaryota; Viridiplantae; Streptophyta; Magnoliopsida; Solanales; Solanaceae.